AAAAAAUCACGGAUGAAAGAGACCACGGAUCCCCUAGUGAAAAAUGAAGAUAAUGAAUAAGGAGAUAUACAACUGAAGGGGCUGAUUUGGGUAAAUUGAGAAAUCUAGGGUUUUGAAUAAAACUCUCUUUCUCUCUGUUUUGGUGCAGAAACUGAUGGGGAUUCAGGCGGCCUCAUCGCUCAUCGUAGGGUCUCAGAGGCAACGAGCAAACCGCUCGCCUCAGCCAUUCACGCGGCUUCAAGGCGGAGAUGAAACAUCAAGCGAGCUGCUUAAACCAACCAGUGCAUCAACCAUCUGAUCCUAACCCUUCCAUGCGACUUCGAUUCGAUUUCGUGAGGCAGCGACCAAAACGCCUGGACAUCCAAAAUUAGAAUCGCUGCUAUUCUGAUUCUUCGCUGUAUGUUUCAAUCGACUUGAAGUGUCCUCGUGAGGCUAAGAUGAGACCGACUGGUUUUUCAGUUACAAGGUUUACCUAUUUUAACUCACAAUCUGAUCAUUUCCAUGUAUAUUGACGUGUUUGGCUGUAUAUAUAUCUGAUUCUAAAAAGAAUCGAUUUUGAAACCUUAAUUUUCCAAACUUACACUUCUCAUUUUUGGUGAUGAAUCUAAUCAACCGAAUUACUGCUGAGGAUGAUUAAUAUCCAUUUAAUUACCAAACAACAUACUAGAAUGAAGUUUAGAAGUGUUGAUUUGUUUAACAGAUAAAGCAGGCUAUGUGAGUGGUUUGGGUUUGCUCAUGACAAUGCUAUCUUUGAUGUAUGUUGGAUGAAGCUACAGAAAAAUCUAAUCAUUCAAUCACAGUUACAUAUAUUUACUGUCCUUUUUAUUCUGAAAUAAUGAGUUGCUCUGUAAUCAUACUACUUGUCAAAGCCGUCAUUCACUUCAAAACAGCCCCAAAUUAAUGUGUUGACAUUUGUUUGUAAUAAAAUUUAUCUUUUAAGUUCAUUUAUAUAUCUUGUAAAUUGGUAUUGGAAGUUUGUUUUCUGCUGGUUUAUUUUAAUUUUGCAGCAUUCAUAAAAUGGGAAUAGCUUUAAUUUUUUACAAUGUUGACAGAUGGAUGCUGCUCCUGUCCUAAUAGAAUGAAGUCAAGUGUUUUGGAAAUGCCAUCUUUUGGUGGCUGGAUAUGCUGAAUAGCAAAGCUUUUUGUAAACCAUAUCUGCAGUGGAUCGUCUUACUUGACUUUUUUUUUUCUCAGUUUGUAUAUACUAUGAUCUACAAUCUAAGGUUUUUUUUUUUUUAAUUUUUUUUUAUUUUAACAACUUUAUUAAUUCCAUAAGAAGAUUUACAUAGAUGUAGCAGGGUAAACAAGCAACAAGUUGUGCCGCAAUCCCUUUUUGCAUGGCAAAACUUAUUCUUUUAAAAACAUCUAUAGAAGUUAAUUAUAUGCCCUGCAAUGUGGAAUGGGCAUCCAUGGAACCAAAAUAUGGCAACAAUUUUAUUUCUGGAAGGAAAGAGACAUUUGAAUCCAAAGGGAGAAAGAAAGUUUUGUUCCAAAUGGACCAAGUAAUGAUUGAAGCCAAUACCAUUUGCUAAAAGUGUCACAAAGUUGGGAGGAUUUGAAAAUUGAAGAAUUGAGGUUGUGUUGUUAUUUUGUGCAUCUAUGCUACCACUUCAUCUUUUGAGUUAAACACGACAUUACAUGGUGAUUUUGGUUCACAAUUAUGUCAUAUUUGGUAUUUCACUUGAUCUAAUAAUUAGUGUGAUAUUCUGUCACUAAUGUUGCUAAGAAAGUUUAUGUUUGUCAACAUAUGGAAGGAUGGGUAGUUUGGUGAUAGAAAUAGGAGACUUGGAUUUGCAUUUUGCAAUCCAUUAAAUUAGUAAUUUUUUAGGUGUAGUACAAAUCAUUUGCAAUGAAUGAGAGCCAUCAUGCAAGAAAAUUCCAAUGAUGAAAUUAUACAAGAAAAUUAAGCAGAAAUGAACUUUGCAAAGUUGGAGUUGACUAAUUGCGAUUUAGAAGUUAUAGAUAUAAGUGGUAGGCAAGACCGAGUGUUAUGAUUUUUAGUGUAAAGUGUUUGAAAAGCAAAUUCAUAAAAAGUUUGGACUUUUACACAACAUUUUCUACUUGUCUCUUUUAAAUGUUGAAUGACAACGAUCUCUCAUACAAAUGGAUGGCUAACAUAUUUAAUUAUACACGAACACACUCAAAUAACUAACUAACGUCUCUAUUUAUGGAAACCCUCGAAUAAUUUACACUGACAAAAUUUGCUUCAUGAGGUGCUCCUCGUUUAACCGUUUCUCCCUUGCGAUCAUGGAAAAGUAUGUCGGAUGGAUGACAUGUUGGUUAACCACAUAGGCUGCUCUUGUAUUCCAAAUUUAUGUAUUUGUAACCGAGUCAGUAAGGUGAGGUGUUGUAUUUCUUCUGGCAUUGAUUCCCAAUCAUCCCAACCCUACAAGUCCAAUGAGUGAAGGUGGUCCCUUAACUUGUCGAUACCUUUGAGACUUGGGAGAUAAUCGAGCUCCUGUGAAAACAGACCAAGUUUCAACUUAUUUAAGAAUGCAAAACAAUCAAACAUUUUUAGAGGCAAGGAAUUCAGUUUGUUGCAGUAGGUAAUUUUCAAAGUCUUCAAAGAAUGACACUGGUUGGGCAAAUUGGUUAUUCCUAAAAGACUAUCACACCUGGAAAUUACUAAGGCCUUGUAUGCUCUUAAUGGACAUGAGACCUGUGCAAGCUCUAAUCUCUAAGGAAUUAAGAGGGUGGGGAUGGGAUUCAUCUAAGAGAACAAUCUUCGGGCAAUCCCGAAUGGAUAAGCUCUCGAGGACAGGAGAAAUCAUUUUUGAGCUGUUGGGUGUUUCAUCUAUCCACUUUUCCAGUCUUUUCAUAUGUAUUAGUCCGAGCGAUCUCAACGAUGGAAACAAAGGCUUCAUUGAUCCAGUAACAUUGGAAUUGCUUAAGCAUGUCAAAUUGUCCAUAUUAGAUAAGAAAAGAUUCCGAAGAUGUGGUAGGUGCACAAGCAUUGGAAGAGAGAGGCAGCUGCGACAUCUUCAUGAGAUUGUGAAGUGGCGUCCAAUCUGGAAAAUUAUCACCAGAAAAUUUGUUAAUUGUCAAUAUUUUCACAUCUCCAGGGGGUUGCAAGCCUUCCAAUACAUCCUUGUCAUUUCUGUUGGCACCUUCAUUAUACUCGCUCCAAUUAAAUUCAAUAUCGUAUAUGUUUUUUUUGCUAGAUAAACCUGCCUUGAUAGCAUCCUCUUUGCUCCUAACAUUUUCUAGAUUGAAAAUACAGCGCUUUCCACUAAGCUAAUUCAGAUGGCGUAGCACUUAAAUACCAUGUCCCAUACUACUAAGCACUAUGAAGGAAGACAAAUUUCGAAAAGAGGUUAGGUGUCCUACAAUAUUGGCGGGAAUCUUUAUGUGACCCUGGAAAUAUCGCAGGCUUAUCAAAUUUCUCAUGGAUUUUGGAAACUGGUUAAAUCCAUAAGGUAACUUUAGAGUUUGCAAGUGGUAUAAUGUAACAACCAAAAAUUUGAGCCAAUUUUAAACAUUUUAUUUCAUUCAAAAAUCAUUAAGUUCAUAUAUCUUAUUUUCAAAAUAGUUUAAACAUCAGAGUAUCCCCCAAAACCAUAUCACAUGAAUCAUAAAACAUGAGGAGCGGUACGAUCACGCCUUCGCCUUGCCAUAAUCUCCUGAAGUACCUAAAACAAUACACUGAACUGUAAGCCCGAAAGCUUAGUGAGUUACCCCCAAAAUACCAACCACAUACAACCAUAAUCAUAACAUAUCGUAUCACAAUACGGAACAGCCAUGCCUCUCAAGUCUGCAGCGUGACUGGUCUGCCCUCAACAGGCCUUCAGUUCACCUAGUCCACUCUCUGAGUCUACAGUAUAACUGGACCGCCCACACUGGGCCUUCAGUCUAUCUGGAUCUAUCCGAGCCUUUGGUAUGACUGGACCGCCAUACGGGCCUACAAUCUAUCUGGACCGCUCGUAGGGUAUGUUCGCCUUCAGCACACAGCAGGACUGCCUCAACCCAAACAUCAAGCAAAUAACAAUGUGUACAUAUAACAGGAAAUCACAUAACAGUCCCUAGGCAAACAAAUCGAUCUAGCAGAUCAUAAAGCAUAGCAUCAUCCUUACCAUGAUAUCGACCUAACCGAUCACUAACAUAGCAUCAUCCUAUAUACCAGGAUACUGACCUAAACCAGGUCACUAACAUAGCAUCAUCAUAUAUACCAGGAUACUGACCUAAACCAGGUUACUGACAUAAUACUGUCCCAAUUACCAGGACGCCGAUCUAACAGAUCAAUAAGCACAUCAACAGUACAAGUACAGAUAUCAGAUAUAAUUAUCUCAUAGAUCAUCGAUUAUAGCAAUCUCUCAUGACCAAGGCAUCGACCUAACCAGGUCACUAACAUACCAAUCCUAACGGAUCACAUGAGCAUAACAGCAUACUGUCUAUUCUGAUACCAAUCUAACAGAUCAUAACCACAUGUAGCAUACUGUAACCAAGAUAACAACUAAAAGGGUCGGCCUUGGUGCCUUAGACCCUAUUGAUAUAGUGAGGAUAACUCACCUGAAAUUGUUGACUGAAAAGAUAAGACCAAGCUGCUCCGGCCUUUGACACGAUCGCCACCACUGAACACUACCAAAGAACCAAUUCCAUAAAUACCAAUAUUACCAAAGUACCCUUGGAAGUCAAUGUCACACCCCCACGGGGGUAGCGGACUUCAUAUACAAUAUCACAACAACGUGUAUAAUAGUACUCAAAGUAAUUACAACCAUCAUAAAUAUAAUUGAAAAAGUUACACCAAAGUAUAUUUUUACAUGUUUCAAAAUCAAUUACAUUAUGAUGACAAAAUAAAUUGUUGACGAUUUAACGUCCCAUCCUCAAAGCGCUGAAAUUUUCCUGUUUCAUUGAUUUCCUGAGAAUACAAGUAGUUUUGAAAAAGUGUCAACAAUUAAGUUGAUGAGUUCAUAAGAGUUUUGUUUGAGGAAGAAACCGUUUUCCUUAUAAAAUUGAUAGAGUUUGAUUUCCAGAAAAUCCAAUAUUUUCAUAGUUAAGUGUGAAAAGAAUAUUCCUAUAUGAUGUGAUAAUGAACCCUAGAAAGACCCGUAGAUUUCUCCUAUAAUUGUCCAGCGUAUAUAAGUUAUAUAAGAUUUAAGUUAGAUAAACCGUUGAAUAUAGUGGGUCUGCCCUGGGUCCACAACCCAACGAGGAACAGGAAAUGAGGCGGGCCCACCAAUUCUAAGCCGAUCAAGACUAAAUUCUUAUACGACUCUAGCAUAUACGCUCAGCGAUUAUAACUGAAGCCUAACAAUUCUAAAUGAAAUAUAGUUUUCAUAUCAUAAUAACUAUUUUAUGUGAACCUGGUACUUUGUAUCUGUACCCCUUUUUGUAUAAAAACCUGGUACUUUGUAUUUGUACCCUUUUUGUAUAAAAACCGGUACUUUGUAUUUGUACCUCUUUUUGUAUAAAAAACCGGUACUUUGUAUUUAUACCCUUUUGUAUAAAAACCGGUACUUUGUAUUUGUACCCCUUUUCGUAUGAAAACCUCCUCUUUGUAUAUGUACCCCUUUUCGUAUGAAAACCUGGUACUUUGUAUCUGUACCCCUUUUUGUAUGAAAACCUGGUACUUUGUAUUUGUACCCCUUUUCGUAUGAAAACCUGGUACUUUGUAUCUGUACCCCUUUUUGUAUGAAAACUUGGUACUUUGUAUCUGUACCCCUUUUUGUAUAAAAACCCGGUACUUUGGAAUGUACCCCGUUUAUAUGAAAACCCGGUACUUUGGAAUGUACCCCAUUCGUGUGAAAACCUUUUGUAAUGUAAAUGAUCAUAAACUAUACCUAUUAUAGUUUAUCAAAAUGUUUGAAAUGUAUAUGCAACCUAACUAUACUUAUUAUAGUUUAGUAUGUUUAUUUGUGGUGUAUAAGAACCCUUUCUAUGUAAGUCAAAUGUAUAGUACAAUAUAGCUAUGUUUAUCUUGCUUUGUUUUGUACUAAUGGUUAUGAUGGAGGAUUCUUAUAAAUUCAGUAAGUAUUUUCCUAUUAUAUAAAUAUACCACUACAAGAAAUACAUGUAAUAUAUGAAGUCAUCAAAGAUUUAACACUUUGCUCAACAUGUUACAAAGUGUUUUGAAAGUUAUAAGCUGUUAACUAACUCUUAACCUUUCUGCACUGUUUUAGAAAGAUCAUAGAAAAAUCAUACGAAGUCGAAAACUAAAUCCGUAAAUUCUGAGAGUUCCUAAAAUGUGUCUAGUUUACUCAUAAUUUUUAUCAUGAUUUUUGGAAGCCUUUAACUUGUAUUAAAAUACUCAUAUUCACAGACUGGUCCGGAUUUGUGUUUGAAAAGACAGGCUGUUUUGUAAAAAUCACCAUCAAUUGUAGAAAAAUCGUGUGGAGAUGUGCAAGUAGUCAUUUUAAAGCUACGAACUGGAACUACUUGCACCUAAAACAGUUUUGAAAACUAAAAUGUUUAAGUUGUCCAAAACAGUCCGUGAAUGGAGUCCAACUUUUCUGAUAAAAGCUGUUAGAAAAAGUUUAGUUAUGUUCUUGGUGUUUUAACUUGUAUUCCCACCCUAAAAACUUAAAAAAUCAUGAAAAUAUAGGGGUAUGAACUCACCUUAUGUGAUUUCAGUAGAUGAUUGUUGAAGAAUAGAUGUGAUCAACUCAAGAACACUUGAAGAUGCCUUGAAGAUUUUCGAGAAUCUAACAUCAAAGUGAUGGAGUUUGUGUAAGCAAUCAAUGAUUUGAGUAGAAUGAAGUGCAAUAAUCACAAGGAGGAUGAAUUAUACUUACCAAGAGAAGAAUAAAGCUUGAAGAUCAGCCUUGGAGUCUUGAAAUAGAGAGAAAGAGUUUGAGAGAUAAGUUGUGUUUGAUUUUUGGUGAAAUGAGAGCAAGUGAAAGAAAAUGAGGAGAGAGGUUGAGUGACCAGCUCUAAAAACGUUGAAAUAACUUGUGAGAGGGGUAAAAAGUACAAGGAAGUGACAAGGUAUGGUAGGGAGGAGUGUGGGUUAGUCAUGGAGUGGGUAUGGGGGUUGCUUGUGUCAUAAUACAAAGAAAAGUCAACACUCAACCUUUGUACUUCACCCACUCUUCUUGGAUAAGGUUUUAUCCCCAAAAACGUGAUUAAUCAAUAAUUAGGGGGCCUUAUAUGUUAAAAUAAAAUUUUGGGUGAAAAUACCGCGUUAAAAUGAUGAAAAACGAAGCUAAAAUGAAGUCAUAGUCGAAAACCGGGAAGAAAUGGGCUUCCCUGCGAGACCUCUCGGUCCUGGCCGAGGUUCGGUCCCUUCUGAUCAUGGGCCGAAGGCGAAAUGGAGCGAAAGGAGUAAGAUGCGAAAUGGACCGAAGGUUCGGUCCGAAGGGGUGGGUUCGGUCCCUUAUGCGAGGUUCGGUCCGAAGGGAGGGUUCGCUUCUGAUGCCUUCGCUUCUGAUGUUUUCGCUUCUGACAAGUUCGGUACCUAAGAGGGGUUUCGGGUCCUUAAGAGGGUUCGGCUCCUUAAGAGGGGUUUUGGGUCCUUAAGUCCUUUUUAUCCGUUUUUACCCCGUUUUAAGCGGUUUUUGACCCGGUUAAGGGUCGGGAUGGCCCGAAAGACUUCAAAACGUUACGGGAACUUUUGAGAGAGAUUUGGGAGAGAUUUCACAUACUUGGAGAGAUUUCUCAUACAAAGAGAAAUUUGGGAGAGAUUCCUCAUUCUUGGAGAGAUUUGGGAGAGAUUUUCGAUAAAGAGAGAUAGAGUGAAAACGAUUGAGAGAGGUUUCGUGUGUGACAUUUGUGAGUGUCCGGCUUCGCAACGCAAGGUCCGUAAACCCCAUUAAGCCAUGUUUAAGGAUCUUACACACUCCCAAUGAGUAUGCAAAAUUGUUUUAUCGGUUUGGUUCGUUACUUACCACAGUUUUUGGUUAAGGAAAUCUAAAUGUAUGAACUUUUCAAUUUAUGAUCUCUCAUUAGAAUAGUGAGUUGUUUAGAAAUUACAUAACGUAAACCCUAGUAUACAAGGGUUAACUGAGGUGACCGGUCUGACUUGUUGACUUUAUUUUACUUUGACUUGACCAGAAUUUGACGGUUGUCAUAUCAUCCCCCCGUUAGAGGGAAUUUCAUCCUGAAAUUUGCAUUUUGAAUGGGGAUCCAAGAAUUCGGAGGAAAGAUGGGGGAAACUUUUCGUAGUACAAGAAAUUGAUUAUGGUGAGGAAAAACCCGCCUGAUGUCACAUGACGGCCUUGGAAUUUCUUAUUGUUUGUCACAACUAGAAAUUUUGUGUCUUGUAAUCACUACAUUCAAGUAAAUGUUGAAUCAAAAACUUAAGAGCAUGUGUGAUACCUAUUAUUAUGACAUCAAAAACUUCAAUCAAAUACAUCAUACAAAUACUACAAAUAGUCAUCAAACAAUUGGAAACCCUAGAAGUUCUUGUUUAGGUCCAUUUUGGACUAGGACUUCCUUAUUGGACCCAAAUGGACCAAUAAGCUUCCAAUUUGACUAUCAUGGGCUUAGAACCCUAAUUGGGCUCUAAUUGGACCCACAAUCAUUUAUUUCAACAUUUUGGGCCAUUUUGGGCCUAGAAUGAAAUGAAUUAAAAGCUUUGAUCCAUGAUUAACCUAAUCUAGCUUAAUAAAGCAUAAAAAUCACAAUUUUAUUUUAAAAGGCCAAUGAUCACCCAAACUAACUCUAAUAUUGGGCUUAGGGGCAAAAAGCCCAAAAAUCCUUUCUUCCCUCUCCAUUCUCGGCCCAAGCCCAAGGAAAAAGGAAGAGUUGACUUUGGAUUGCCACCUCACUUUUAUUUGUUAGGUCUCCAUGCAUGCAACUCAUACUUCCAAGCAUCUAUCUUAUCAAAGUCACUCUCUUCUUUCCUCUCUCUCACUCUCGGCCGAAGCACACACACAUACACAAAUAUCUCACAAAUUCUCUCUAGAACACUCAAGAACACAUCCUUCCUCUCCACUCAAAAAUCUCGAAAAUUAGGAGGCUUUCAAGGGGAUAUUUCCACAAACUCUUCAUCUAAGGUAAGGUUAUACUUGGAUCUAUGACUUAGAUUCUUUGUUUUAUCAAAAUCUCUUCCUAAUCCAUGCAAAAAUCGUGAUCUUGCAUCCUAGAACCACCUCAAACUCGAGAUCUUCAAGAAAAGGGUGCUAAGGCCAAAAAUCACCAAGCUUUCUUCCAUCUUUUCUUCAAAAACCGAAACCACACCCUAAGGUGAGCUUCAUACCCCCUAUUUUUCUGUUUUAUAAGUUUUGUGGGGGGAGGGGGGAAUACAAGUGAAAGUGUAGAUCUAUAUGUGUUUUGUAUGCCUUGUAUGAUUUCUAUGUUUAUAUGUGUGUUUUUGUGUGUUUAUAAUGUUGGAUCUAGCCAUAAACCCCUAAAAAUCGAGAUAUACUUUAUGUUAAAUGAUACUAGCCUCAAAUAUAUUUCUACAUACAAAGUGUUCCAAGAAAAAAAUAGCUAAAUGGCUUAAUAACUUCUUCUUAAGGCUAAAAACUCAAUUUUUGGACAUAAAAUGUUAAAAAUAUAAAGUUAAAGGGCCCAAAAUGAAAUAUUUCGAAUUCUGAUGGGUGAGAUGAGUCAAAACAGUUUCCAUAAUGUAUUUUCUGAAAAUAUACUUUUUGGGAGGAUUAAAAACAUAAAUUUCAAGCUUAAUGGGCUAAAAAUGACAUUUUCGGCCCAAUAGGGCCCAAUAUGCGAAAUUUUCUGUUUUGAAGGGCCAAAACUGUGUUUUUCUGUAAAACAGUGGACUACUAGUGUUCCAAGUCCUUUUCUAAGGUUUAAAAUGCUUUUCAAAUUUAAAAAGGACCAAAGUUGCAAAAAUUUUCCAAUUUGGGCCAAAAUUGUAAAAACUGCGAAAAAGAGGGGUUAUAACCGAGAAAACUGCAUUUUCAGGGACUCAAACUGUUUUCAAUGAAAAAUAUGCUGAAAAAUAUCAAUUUCAAUAAUUUUUGGUGUUAAAAUGUCAAGAAAAAUGAUUUAAGGACCAAACCGGAAAGUUAUUUAAUUAGAGGGUUGAAAAAGUAAAUUUACAAACAAAGAGGGGCUGAAAACAGAAAAUUUUCAAGGCUAAUUCAAUACACUCAACUUGAUCAAAUAUUGGCACCGCGACUACCGACGAAAUACAAUACACAACAAUACCAAAAAUCGUUGUUAAACGAAUUGAUUCGGUCUCGAAUCAAUAACAACCCGAAACUACUAACACGACGAUAACUCGAUUCACACAAGUAACAUUUGGGAAUUUAAUACACACGUGAGAGUGCACAGACGUCGACGCACCAUCUUUGGGCCCCAAAGUGUAAAAUCUUGUUUGUUGGGCCUAGCUAGCCCAAUGACCUGAUCUUAAGGCCCGAAGACUUCUACCUUACGAGUUGUUGGGUCUUACAUGAUCUAACACAGCGUAAAAGGACUUUCAAUGGCUUUUAUACUAUUGGUCCCCAAGGGUCCUUUGGUACUGCUAGUAAAGUCGGUUAUUUUAAUGCGAGGCGGGUCAAGGGCCCCUCGUACUCUUUUUUUUUUUCCCAACCGGCUAAUGGAGUUAUCGAGGUCUUCGUGCCCUCUUUCUCUUCGGAUGUGGGAUUACUCGAAGUCAGGGCGGUUGGAUUACGUGAAUAGUACGGACGACGCCUACGGGAUCGUUAGUAUAGUUGUAAACUGGUCGUUUGCGUAACGCGUGUUUAUAGCAAUUCACCAUGCGCAAUAAUCCGACGUCGCCUGGAAUCAAUGACUUCACACGCCGCGAUGGUUUUAUUUUCAACUUCAUGGAAUUCAAAGAAUUAGGAAAACAUCGGGUUUUCCUAGGGUUUUACAAUACAUACAGUUUCGAAAUGUACACAAGCAUAAUGAACAUUUUUUUUACAACUAUAGAAACAAACAAGCAUACUUAUGGAUCUUCACAAACUUCUUUUUACUCAAAAACUCUUUUCAGAAAAUAUCGGAUUUUCUGGUGGUUUUCAAAAUAAUACAAAACGUUGCUUUUCAAAUACCGCUUAUGAACUCACCAACAUUUCAUAUGUUGACGUUUUUCAAAAUACUUGUAUUCUCAGGUAACAAGUGAACCAAAGGAAAAUGUACUCAGUGAUGGCUUGCAGUUUGUUUAUUUAUGAAUCGAACAAUUUAUUUUUGGGAAUGUAAUGUUUAAACAAUGUACUCAAUGUAAACUUUAUCGGUUGUACUAUAUUAAUGCAUGGUGACGAAUGAUGUUAUGUUUCAUAUAUAUUCAAUGUUAUGGUAUUCAAUUAAGUCACAACAGCCCUCGGACGUUUCCGCCGUCUGGUUCGGGGGUGUGACAGGUUGGUAUCAGAGCUUUGUUUAUAGUGAACUAGAAUGUCUAGCCACACAUUGAUAUGCAACUAUAAACCAAAAAGAGGGACUAACAUAAAUCUGAACAAAACAAGUAAAUAAAACACCCUUGCUUGCAGUAGGAAUAGGAACUUAACGCCGAACCAAAUAAAAUAAUGCUAGUAUCCCGGUUAAUUCAGGACUGUUCUUAGGGGUACCAAGGAGUGGAUGUAGCCUGAUCAACUACAUUCUCUCCAAAGUACAACUAACACACGUUUUGAUGAGAUCAGAAUAGCUAGGGAACCUAAAACUAUAUCCUUCUAGUACCAAAAAGAGAACGUCUAUUUACUAGAUAUCGUAGUCGUGAGAGUGACGAUAGUUUAUACUUUCCCCCAGUCGUCAUGGAGGGAGAGCAGCUGGGUAUUCAGUUCCAUCAAGUCCUAGUGGCUCACGGGAUGCUUGAAGAUGAACCAGAAGGGAAUCCAGAGGAAGCACACGACGUCAGACCUGACGAAUACAUAGACAACGACUACGAACUUGGAGAGACCGACGCCGACGUCGAGGAAGGCCAAGACGGGGAUACGAACCAUAUCCCUCCGUGUGAGAACGAGGCGCAACCAGACCACCCCGCUCCGCCAGUGAACCCCCCAAGGGAGAACCGUUCCCCCGAGGCUGAGAUCGCUGCACUGCGACAACAGCUGUAUGCGAUGGAAGCUCGGGCAGUGCGAGCUGAGCAUGAGAGGGAUGAGGUUAUUGAAGACAUGACGGAGAUGGCUUAGUUAGUAGCGCAACAUUUCGGCAUAUGACCCCGUCGCUACGUAGGACGCAAAUCAUCGCGGUUAGGGAUAGACUGACUAUAGUAGAUCGGUAGGAACUAUGCUAUGUACCCCGACUCUAUGUUUAAGUGACUACACUACUCAUAGAGCCGUUAUGCUGUCGAACUAGUGUCACUCAUGUAUGCUCUUACGAGCAAAAUUUUCUUGUAUCAAAUGCGGAUAAUAUUAAUAAACUUUUACGUGCUUUGUUAUGAUAUUACAAAUUGCUAUGUGUUGAGAAGUUAUGAUUGUAUGUUCAAUGGUAGUAGUGUUCAAGUUCGUACCAUGCACCUAGUCAGUAGGAUCACAACCUCACGGAAACCCAGGACCAACUCCACCUGAAGUUGACUCAGCCGCGUUCCAGGCAGCUGUAUCUGCUGCGGUCACUGCAGCGAUUGCACAAAUUCAUCAAGGGAACAAUGGAGGAGUCAAUGGGCAAGGAGCCGGAAGUUCGAACAACGGAAUGAAUCAAGGACCCACCAAAACAUGUACCUACAAGGACUUCACAAACGCCAAACCACGAACUUUUAACGGCACUGGAGGGGUGAUCACUCUGAAGCGAUGGAUCGAGAAGGUGGAGUCGGUAUUCGAGAUAUGCGAUUGCCCUGAGCAGAUGAAGGUGAAGUUCGCGGCCUGCACUUUUGUGGACCAAGCACUCACUUGGUGGAACGGACACGUGGAAGCCAUGACGCUCCCUGUAGCCAACUCUAUUUCGUGGGCAGAGAUGAAAGAAAUGUUAAUGGCUGAGUACUGCCCACGAGGCGAAAUACAGAAGAUGGAGCAAGAGCUAUGGAACCUCACUGUGCAGAAUGCGAAUAUUGAUGCCUACAUAUCGAGAUUUAGUGAACUAUCUCUGUUGUGCCCGGGUAUGAUCACCUCGGAAGGAAAGAAGAUUGAGUGAUUCAUCUGGGGACUAACAUCACCCAUUCAAGGAAACGUAAUAGCUGCAAACCCGGAAACAUUUGACAGCGCGAAGAGAUUGGCGAAGAAGUUGUAUGACCAUAACACCAAGAAGGGUGAGAAGCCAGCAGAGACUGAGGGCAAAAAGGAAGGUGAUGGCAAGAAAGGGAAGAACAACAAGAGGAAGGGACGUCAGGGCCCCGAAACCUCUAAAAAGCAGCGGACAGUGGCGGUUAAUGCUGCCACUGCACCGAUUCCAGCCACCCCACAUGCUCCAGCCUCAGCUGCUUCAAAUGCUUCAAACCUUAUUCUGGUAAUCUUCCCAAGUGCAACAAGUGCGGUUUCCAUCACCAUGGAGAAUGCAAAGAGUUUCAGUGCACCAGUUGCAAUCGAAGGGGAGACACUGCGAGGUACUGCAGGACUUACCCUCCCCAGAACCAAAAUCUAGGAAACAACAACAACUAUCGCAACAACAACACCAAUGCCAGCGGCAAUAAUGCAGGGCCUAGCCACACCUGCUUCGGGUGUGGGAGGACUGGGCACUUCCGCCGAGACUGCCCUAGCAACAACAAUCCCGGGAACAGAGGAACAUGAAGGAUGCUGACCAUGGGCCAAGGAGAGGCGGUUCAGGACCCCACAGUUGUGACCGGUACGUUUCUCCUAAAUCACACUUAUGCAUGCAUCCUAUUUGACACCGGAGCGGAGCGAAGUUUCGUAAGUGAUAAGUUUAAGCAUUUAUUAAAACAACAACCCCAAAAGCUAAAUGAAACCUUUACGGUGGAAAUGGCCAAUGGGAAAACCGAAUCCACUGGGGAAAUCUACAUCGGAUGUACCCUAACCCUUAAUCAACACGUCUUUCGAAUAGACCUAAUGCCAGUAUCAAUUAGGAGUUUCGACGUAAUCAUCGGCAUGGAUUGGUUAAGCCCCCACCAUGCUGAAAUUAUGUGCCACGAGAAGGCCGUUCGUCUUCGUCUCCCAAAUCACGAAACCCUAGUAAUUUACGGAGACAAACCCAGCAUGAACCUUCGCCUCAUCUCGUGCAUUAAGGCAUAAAAGCACCUACGAAAGAAGGAUUCGGCAUUUCUAGCUCACAUAGUGGAUAAAACCAGGGAAGAGACUAACAUUCAAGAUAUUCCGGUAGCGUGUGAAUUUACAGACGUGUUUCCUGAAGAUCUUCCGAGAGUACCCCCAGAGAGACAGGUUGAGUUCCGAAUCGACCUCGUUCCAGGAGCAACUCCUCUCGCUAAAUCACCCUAUCGGUUGGCCCCUGCUGAAAUGCAGGAAUUGUCCAGCCAACUCAGUGAGCUUCUGGACAAGGGAUUUAUCCGACCUAGCUACUCGCCAUGGGGAGCUCCAGUGCUCUUUGUCAAAAAGAAGGACGGAUCUUUCAGAAUGUGCAUCGAUUACAGAGAGUUAAAUAAACUCACUGUUAAAAACCGCUACCCACUCCCACGAAUCGAUGAUCUAUUCGACCAGCUCCAAGGAGCUAGUUAUUUUUCUAAAAUAGAUCUACGGUCCGGAUACCACCAACUCAAAGUCCGGGAAGAGGAUAUUCCUAAAACCGCUUUCCGAACCCGCUACGGACAUUAUGAAUUCGUCGUAAUGCCCUUCGGUCUAACAAAUGCACCUGCCGCAUUUAUGGACCUAAUGAAUCGAAUCUGUCGACCGUUCCUGGACAACUUCGUCAUUGUGUUUAUCGAUGACAUCCUCGUCUAUUCUCGAAGCAAAGAGGAGCAUGGCCAACAUCUCCGACAANNNNNNNNNNNNNNNNNNNNNNNNNNNNNNNNNNNNNNNNNNNNNNNNNNNNNNNNNNNNNNNNNNNNNNNNNNNNNNNNNNNNNNNNNNNNNNNNNNNNNNNNNNNNNNNNNNNNNNNNNNNNNNNNNNNNNNNNNNNNNNNNNNNNNNNNNNNNNNNNNNNNNNNNNNNNNNNNNNNNNNNNNNNNNNNNNNNNNNNNNNNNNNNNNNNNNNNNNNNNNNNNNNNNNNNNNNNNNNNNNNNNNNNNNNNNNNNNNNNNNNNNNNNNNNNNNNNNNNNNNNNNNNNNNNNNNNNNNNNNNNNNNNNNNNNNNNNNNNNNNNNNNNNNNNNNNNNNNNNNNNNNNNNNNNNNNNNNNNNNNNNNNNNNNNNNNNNNNNNNNNNNNNNNNNNNNNNNNNNNNNNNNNNNNNNNNNNNNNNNNNNNNNNNNNNNNNNNNNNNNNNNNNNNNNNNNNNNNNNNNNNNNNNNNNNNNNNNNNNNNNNNNNNNNNNNNNNNNNNNNNNNNNNNNNNNNNNNNNNNNNNNNNNNNNNNNNNNNNNNNNNNNNNNNNNNNNNNNNNNNNNNNNNNNNNNNNNNNNNNNNNNNNNNNNNNNNNNNNNNNNNNNNNNNNNNNNNNNNNNNNNNNNNNNNNNNNNNNNNNNNNNNNNNNNNNNNNNNNNNNNNNNNNNNNNNNUCUUCACGGAUCACAAGAGUCUCCAACACAUCUUGAACCAGAAGGAGCUGAACAUGAGGCAACGAAGAUGGGUUGAAUUGCUAAACGAUUAUGAGUGCGAGAUCAAGUACCACCCAGGCAAGGCCAACGUGGUGGCUGACGCAUUAAGUCGGAAGGAGUACUCUAAUCGUCGUGCAAGAACUCUCUCAAUAACCAUUCAAUCUCACCUGACCACUCAAAUUGCAGUGGUCCAGUCGGAGGCCAUGAAGACGGAAAAUAAAGCAAGUGAAGCACUGCACGGAAUGGAAAAGAACCUAGAGACAAGGGAGAAUGGAGUAUACUACUUCAUGAACCGAAUUUGGGUCCCAAAAAUCGGAGGAUUUAGGGAGGUUGUUAUGAAGGAAGCCCACAAGACACGAUACUCCAUUCAUCCCGGUUCAGACAAGAUGUAUUUGGACAUUAAACAACACUAUUGGUGGCCUAACAUGAAGGCGGAAAUUGCGACCUACGUUAGUAAGUGCCUUACGUGCGCCAAGGUAAAGGUGGAGUACCAGAAACCCUCAGGAUUGUUACAGCAACCGGUAAUCCCUGAGUGGAAAUGGGAAGGGAUUUCUAUGGAUUUCGUGACCAAACUACCCAAGACGUCGGACGGACUGGACACCAUAUGGGUAAUAGUCGACCGACUGACGAAGUCUGCCCAUUUCCUACCUAUAAAAGAAUCCUACAAGAUGGAAAGAUUGACACGUUUGUACAUUCGAGAGAUCGUGAGACUCCACGGAAUACCAGUAUCUAUCAUCUUGGAUAGGGACAGUAGGUCCACUUCACGAUUUUGGCAAUCACUUCAUAAGGCGAUGGGAACAAACCUCGACAUGAGCACCGCUUAUCAUCCACAAACGGAUGGUCAAAGCGAGCGAACCAUCCAAACGCUCGAAGACAUGCUCCGCGCAUGCGUGAUAGACUUUGGGAAGUCUUGGGAUACCCACCUACCUUUAAUCGAGCUCUCAUAUAACAACAGUUAUCAUUCAAGCAUUAAGGUCGCUCCUUUCGAAGCAUUGUACGGGCGUAAGUGUAGAUCACCGUUAUGUUGGGCUGAAGUAGGUGACACCCAGCUAGCAAAAGCACUCACGUCGGAUCAGGCGCUUACGGGGCCGGAGAUCAUUCGUGAAACCACGGAAAAGAUCAUUCAAAUCAGAGCUCAAUUGCAAGCGUCGCGCGACCGACAAAAGAGCUAUCCCGAUAAGCGGCGAAAGCCCUUAGAAUUUCAAUUCGGAGAUCGAGUACUGUUAAAAGUCUCGCCUUGAAAAAGAGGGGUUAUAACCGAGAAAACCGAAUUUUCAAGGACUCAAACUGUUUUCAACUAAAAAUAUGCUGAAAAAUAUCAAUUUCAAUAAGUUUUGGUGUUAAAAUGUCAAGAAAAAUGGUUUAAGGACCAAACCGGUAAUUUUUUAAUAUAAAGGGUUGAAAAAGUAAAUUCGCAACAAAAAGAGGGGCUGUAACAGAAAAGCUGAAAUGUUAAUUCAAUACAUCCGUUGUGAUCAAACAUUGGCACCGCGACUAUCGACGUAAUACAAUACACAACAAUACCAAAAAUCGUUGUUAAACGAAUUGAUUCGGUCUCGAAUCAAUAACAAUCCGAAACUACUAACACGACGAUAACUCGACUCAUACACGAAAACAUUUGGUAAUUCAAUACACACGUGAGAGUGCACAGAUGUCUACNAUCAAUAACAAUCCGAAACUACUAACACGACGAUAACUCGACUCAUACACGAAAACAUUUGGUAAUUCAAUACACACGUGAGAGUGCACAGACGUCUACGCACCACCUUUGGGCCCAAAAGUGUAAAAUCUUGUUUGUUGGGCCUAGCUAGCCCGAUGACCUGAUCUUUAGGCCCGAAGACUCCAACCUUACGAGUUGUUGGGUCUUACAUGAUCCAACACAGCGUAAAAGGACUUUCAAUGGCUUUUUACUAUUGGUCCCCAAGGGUCCUUUGGUACUGCUAGUAAAGUCGGUUAUUCACAUGCGAGUGGGUCAAGGACCCUUCGUACAUUUUUUUUAUCCCCAACCGGCUAGUGGAGUUACCGAGGUCUUCGUGCCCUCUUUCUCUUCGGAUGCGGGACUACAAGAAGUCAGGGCGGUUGGAUUACGUGAAUAGUACGGACGACACCCACGGGAUCGUUUGUAUAAUUGUAAACUGGUCGUUUGCGUAACGCGUGUUUAUAAUAAUUCACAAUGCGCAAUAAUCCGACGUCGCCUGGAAUCAAUGACCUCACAUGCCACGAAUGCACAACAACUACAUGGAAUUCAAAGUGUUAGGAAAACAUCGGGUUUUCCUAGGGUUUUUCAAUACAUACAGUUUCGAAAUGUACACAAGUUCAACGAACACUUUUACAAUUAUAGAAAUAAACAAGCAUACUUAUGGAUCUUCACAAACUUUUUCAGAAACUCUUUUCAGAAAAUAUCGGAUUUUCUGGUGGUUUUCAAAAUAAUACAACACGUUGCUUUUUCAAAUACCGCUUAUGAACUCACCAACAUUUCAUAUGUUGACGUUUUUCAAAAUACUUGUAUUCUCAGGUAACAAGUGAAUUAAAGGAAACGUACUCAGUGAUGACUUGCAGUUUGUUUAUUUAUGAAUCAGACAAUUUGUUUUUGGGAAUGUAAUGUUAAAACAAUGUACUCAAUGUAAACUUUACCGGUUGUAUUAUAUUAAUGCAUGGUGACGAAUGAUGUUAUGUUUCAUACAUAUUCCAUGUUAUGGUAUUCAAUUAAGUCACAACAGCCCUCGGACGUUUCCGCCGUCUGGUUCGGGGGUGUGACAUUGUUUAUGCUCUCUGUUUAAUCCUUGGCAUUACUACUAUGAAUACUUUAUAACGUAGUUAGCGAGUUUCAUCAUUACGAAUGUUUCACAAAUUGUGACGAAAUUUGUAUUAUAAAUCCUACCAGUUCCUUUAUAACCGCUUGGUGUAUACUUGUCGCAUAUCAUUAAGAUUGCAAGGGCAUUCGGAUGGGUGACCCCGCCUUAAGCCCACAACCAAACAAGGAACAAGGAAUGAGGUGGAAUCACGCAUUCUAAGUCCAUAGAAUCAUAAUGAUAUAUGACCAUAAUGUUUACACUAGCCAUUAUAAACUCACUAGUAAAAGCCUUGUGUUUUUAUAUACGUGAUAAGACUUAUUUGAGUUUUGCCGUGUUCUUGAGAUUCAUGGUCGAUAUACUUUAAUUGAUGCUAGAUUUAGCAUAUAAAGAAAUUUAGAAUUUAAACGUCGAUGUUAGAAACACGUACUGAUAUUUGCGGGCAGUUCCGGGGUGGUCUCUCCUUCGGUGAUCGCAAGCACCCUUCCACCAUCACUGGCAUUUCUUUCUCUUGGGCAGUCCUUUUUAAAGUGUCCCGUUGCUCCACACUUGUAAUAGGUUGGGCUUACUCCAAAGCCAGGGACCUGGUUGAUGGGUCGUGUUGGUGCCUUAAAGAAACGGAUAAUGUGCCCCUCUUUGUCGCAAUUGUUGCAAUACAUCUAUCGGCAAGCCCCAAUGUGAUGGAAGUUACACUUGUUGCAUUUCAGAAGGGUUCCAGCAUAUUGUUUUAUGGGAGUUGGCGUGGUGAGGGUCGUGGCAGCAUGAACAGCAAUAAUCUGUUGCUUCUUAGCAAAGUCUUGGGCUGGUGGGUCCUUCUUGUUGUCCCAAAACUUUCUUUUGUUGUUCCCUCCUCUUGCUUGGUUAAGGGUGGUUGUCGUAGUGUCAUGGCUGGCAUGAUGGUCGAUGAGUUGUUGUGCCAACUCCUUGGCGCUAUCUAAGGUAGUUGGUCUUGAGGCCAAUACGCUAUCUUGAAUUUCGGGGGACAAUCCCCAGAGUUAUCAUUCCAACUUUUUGUCUUCCGGGGUGACCAUCGCGGGACAAAGGAUUGCUAGAUCACAGAAUCGGGUGGUGUAAGUUGUAAGGACGGAGCCUGUCAUUUUGAGAUUCCACAGUUCUUGCUCCAGCUUUUGCACUUCGCCUCUUGAGCUAUAUUCUUUCAGCAUCAUUUUCUUUAAGUCCUCCCAACUUAACUAGUUAGCCACUGCAAGUGUUAGUCAGUUAACGUGACUUUUCCACCAAGUGAGGGCCCAGCCAGAGAAAGUGUAUGCUGCAAAUUUGAUCUUGCUUGUUUCGGGGCAUGCAAAAAUUUCAAAGACCAUUUUGGUCUUUUCAAACCAUUGCAUCAAGGUGAUGACGCCCUCGCUUCCAUUGAAAGAAUCGGGCUUGGCACUAGAAAGUUCUUGUACGUACAUUCCCUCGUACGUCCUGUACUGUCCCCGUGGUUAGAGUUUGUCUCUCUAGAUCUAGCACCACCGGUACCAUUUGUACCAAUUUGUGACAUUGCAGCUGCCACGGCUGCUGUUACUGCAGCUUGGAACAUUGCGGGAUCAAACUAUGGAGGUGGCGUUAGAGGUGGUGGUGCUGUGCUGCCGGAAGGUCUGGGUCUUUUCCUUGGUGGCAUAGUUCUGUCAUAAGUUUGCAAAAAAAAAUGAUCAGAUGGUAAGUUCCCAAUAGUAAAGACAAGUCGGUUGUUAUUGAACUAGAUUUUUCUGUAUUAUGCUCCGAUUUAAGAAUGUCUUGCAUGUAAUUCAUAAAGGAAGUCCAUAUGAAUGAAUUUCAUGAGCUUAGUAGGUUUUGUAUCCAAGUGAAACCUUGAAAUUUGAUCCAAGCUAGGCCUUUCUUACGACCAUUUGAUGUAUGCUUAGUGGUAUGAUUAAGACUUAAUAGACCCUUGAGUCUGAUGGAUCUGCCGUAAACCCAUUUUGUUAAUAUGAUUCUAGAGAUUUUGGUUUCAGAGAAAUUUUUGACCUAAUUGCAGGUAUGUCUCACCUCUAUGCAAGGAAAAGUUUUUAUAACAACUCAAUCUUCUCAAUUAUUAUGACCACUUAAUUUGCAGUGUCAUGCUUACGCCUAGAAUAGAGUAGCACCAACGCAUACUCAUGAUCCUAAUUUACCAGGUCUUGUAAGCGGUAUGAACUCUACUCAUGACGAUCCAUUUCUUGUGAUGCCUGAGGCGAGGUCGAUGCAUCUUGCAGCUUUGCCAAUCGACGUUUGGCUGCAAUCAUCCUCUCUUUGAAUGUCGUGUGUCUAUCCUGUUACACUCUUUCCUCUUCAUGAGCGGUGAUAAGGUCCUAAAAAGAGAGUUGGUCUCGGGAAUAGUAGUCUAAUUCCGAGUCUCGGGUACAUGAGACGAUAGGGUCUGUAGUAGCGUGCAACUUUCAAACUUGGUUUGCAGUCUCCCUGUUUUAAAUCCUCGAUGUUCGCGAUCUGCCGGGUCUUUGCUGGGAGGGCCCUGUCAGUCGGUCCCCCGUGGUUGGGUUCAUAGCACCCUCGUUGGUCUCCACAUGGUGGUUGCUGUCAUUGCUGUCGACUUCAACCCUUGCUCAUGGUUGCCCAACGGGGCACGAGUUCGAUGUAGUCGAAACGGUUCGCGGGAACCCUUGUUAUGCAUGGAGGGUUGAUUACCGCUUCUGAUUCUCCUCAUAACCAUCCACAUUUUCUCGGGUUGGAAAAAUAGGGGUCGUUUGGUAAGUAGGAUCUUGCUAUGUUGUACGUGCGAGAAUAGGAGUGGAAGAGAUAAUUACUAGGCGUCUAAUUCUAUAAUUAAUUACUUAUAGGGGUGAUCCUUAUUAGUUACUUCUAAAAUGACAUAGUGCAUACUAAUUACAUAUAACAAGAUAUGAUAGACCUUCGAAUAAGUGAUCCUACCCUCAGUCCACAUCCAAACAAGGAAAAGGAAGUAAGGCAAUGACCACAAAUUCUAAGUCUAUGAUUUCUAAGUUAUAUAUAACUUUAGAGUAUCCACUUAGUGACUAUUGAUCUAUUAUUAAGAUCUAUUUAGUUUUCAUAUAAGUUAUGAUAUUACAAAAUACUCCUAUAGUAUUUUAAAUUUUAUGUUUGGUUCUAAUGUUCUCAUUGUGGUAGUGUUGGUAAGUUUUUAGACUUGUUGCCAUAUCAAAACCAUUCUUGGGCAUGUGCUAAUCACUCCUCGGAACAGCAUAGUUGAUCAGGCUAUGCCACCCCCAAGACUGACCAUACAUCCUCGAGCUUACCUGUGAUAUCCAACAAUCAUUACUUUUGUUUUGUUCUAGAAUGAUGCUGACCUUAGUAUGUAUGCAUGCAUGUAUACUUUUAAUAGGAAAUUAUUUAUUUCUAAAAGUAUAAUUGUUUUGAAAACUUUAAAUCAGAGACUUUCAGUCCCAAUGUAUUUAUAGUUUGUAUAUCUUAUGUGGUUCGAUAUACUGAGUUCACUAUAAACAAUGCUCUGAUACCAAUCUGUCACACCCCCAAACCAAGGAUGGCGGAAACGUCCGGGGGUGGCGGACUUCAUGUACAGUAUCACAACAACGUGUAUAAUAGUGCUCAAAGUAAAUACAACCAUCAUAAAUAUAAUUGAAAAAGUUACACCAAAGUAUAUGUUUACAUGUUUCAAAAUCAAUUACAUUAUGAUGACAAAAUAAAUUGUUGACGAUUUAACGUCCCAUCCUCAAAGCGCUGAAAUUUUCCUGUUUCACUGAUUUCCCAAGAAUACAAGUAGUUUUGAAAAAGUGUCAACAAUUAAGUUGGUGAGUUCAUAAGAGUUUUGUUUGAGGAAGAAACCGUUUUCCUUAUAAAAUCGAUAGAGUUUGAUUUCCAGAAAAUCCAAUAUUUUCUUAGUUAAGUGUGAAAAGAAUAUUGUUAUAUGAUAUGAUAAUGAACCCUAGAAAGACCCGUAGAUUUCUCCUAUAAUUGUCCAUCGUAUAUAAGUUAUAUAAGAUUUAAGUUAGAUAAACCGUUGAAUAUAGUGGGUCUGCCCUGGGUCCACAACCCAACGAGGAACAGGAGAUGAGGCGGGCUCACCAAUUCUAAGCCGAUCAAGACUAAAUUCUUAUACGACUCUAGCAUAUAUGCUCAUCGAUUAUAGCUGAAGUCUAACAAUUCUAAAUGAAAUAUAGUUUUAAUAUCAUAAUAACUAUUUUAUGUGAACCUGGUACUUUGUAUUUGUACCCUUUUUGUAUAAAAACCGGUACUUUGUAUUUGUACCUCUUUUUGUAUAAAAAACUGGUACUUUGUAUUUAUAACCUUUUUGUAUAAAAACCGGUACUUUGUAUUUGUACCCCUUUUCGUAUGAAAACCUCCUCUUUGUAUCUGUACCCCUUUUCGUAUGAAAACCUCCUCUUUGUAUCUGUACCCCUUUUCGUAUGAAAACCACCUCUUUGUAUCUGUACCCCUUUUCGUAUGAAAACCUAGUACUUUGUAUCUGUACCCCUUUUUGUAUGAAAACCUGGUACUUUGUAUUUGUACCCCUUUUCGUAUGAAAACCUGGUACUUUGUAUCUGUACCCCUUUUUGUAUGAAAACUUGGUACUUUGUAUCUGUACCCCUUUUUGUAUAAAACCGGUACUUUGUAUCUGUACCCCUUUUCGUAUAAAACCGGUACUUUGUGUUUGUACCCCUUUUCGUGUGAAAACCUUUUGUAAUGUAAAUGAUCAUAAACUAUACCUAUUAUAGUUUUUCAAAAUGUUUGAAAUGUACAUGCAACCUAACUAUACAUAUUAUAGUUUAGUAAGUUUAUUUGUGGUGUAUAAGAACCCUUUUCUAUGUAAGUCGAAUGUAUAGCACAAUAUAGCUAUGUUUAUCUUGCUUUGUUUUGUACUAAUGGUAAUGAUGGAGGAUUCUUACAAUUCAGUGAGUAUUUUCUAUUAUAUAAUUAUACCACUACAAGAAAUACAUGUAAUAUAUGAAGUCAUCAAAGAUUUAAAACUUUGCUCAACAUGUUACAAAGUGUUUUGAAAGUUAUAAGCUGUUAACUAAUUCUUAACCUUUCUGCACUGUUUUAGAAAGAUCAUAGAAAAAUCAUACGAAGUCGAAAACUGAAUCCAUAAAUUCUGAGAGUUCCUAAAAUGUGUCUAGUUUACUCAUAAUUUUUAUCAUGAUUUUUGGAAGUUUUUAACUCGUAUUAAAAUGCUCAUAUUCACAGACUGAUCCGGAUUUGUGUUUGAAAAGAUAGGCUGUUUUGUAAAAAUCACCAUCAAUUGUAGAAAAAUCGUGUGGAUAUGUGCAAGUAGUCAUUUUAAAGCUACGAACUGGAACUACUUGCACCUAAAACAGUUUUGAAAACUAAAAUGUUUAAGUUGUCCAAAACAGUCUGUGAAUGGAGUCCAACUUUUCUGAUAAAAGCUGUUAGAAAAGUUUAGUUAUGUUCUUGGUGUUUUAACUUGUAUUCCCACCCUAAAAACUUAAAAAAUCAUGAAAAUACAGGGGUAUGAACUCACCUGAUGUGAUUUCAGUAGAUGAUUGUUGAAGAAUAGAAGUGAUCAACUCAAGAACACUUGAAGAUGCCUUGAAGAUUUUCGAGAAUCUAACAUCAAAGUGAUGGAGUUUGUGUAAGCAAUCAAUGAUUUGAGUAGAAUGAAGUGCAAUAAUCACAAGGAGGAUGAAUUAUACUUACCAAGAGAAGAAUAAAGCUUGAAGAUCAGCCUUGGAGUCUUGAAAUAGAGAGAAAGAGUUUGAGAGAUAAGUUGUGUUUGAUUUUUGGUGAAAUGAGAGCAAGUGAAAGAAAAUGAGGAGAGAGGUUGAGUGACCAGCUCUAAAAACGUGGGAAUAACUUGUGAUAGAGGUAAAAAGUACAAGGAAGUGACAAGGUAUGGUAGGGAGGAGUGUGGGUUAUUCAUGGAGUGGGUAUGGGGGUUGCUUGUGUCAUAAUACAAAGAAAAGUCAACACUCAACCUUUGUACUUCACCCACUCUUCUUGGAUAAGGUUUUAUUCCCAAAAACAUGAUUAAUCAAUAAUUAGGGGGCCUUAUAUGUUAAAAUAAAAUUUUGGGUGAAAAUCCCACGUUAAAACGAUGAAAAACGAAGCUAAAAUGAAGUCGUAGUCGAAAACCAGGAAUAAAUGGGCUUCCCUGCGAGACCUCUCGGUCCUGGCCGAGGUUUGGUCCCUUCUGAUCAUGGGCCGAAGGCGAAAUGGAGCGAAAGGAGUAAGAUGCAAAAUGGACCGAAGGUUCGAUCCGAAGGGGAGGGUUCGGUCCCUUAUGCGAGGUUCGGUCCGAAGGGAGGGUUCGCUUCUGAUGCCUUCGCUUCUGAUGCUUUCGCUUCUGACAAGUUCACUUCUGACAAGUUCGGUUCCUAAGAGGGGUUUCGGGUCCUUAAGAGGGUUCGGAUCCUUAAGAGGGGUUUCGGGUCCUUAAGUCCUUUUUAUCCGUUUUUACCCCGUUUUAAGCGGUUUUUGACCCGGUUAAGGGUCAGGAUGGCCCGAAAGACUUUCAAAAAGUUACGGGAACUUUUGAGAGAGAUUUGGGAGAGAUUUCACAUACUUGGAGAGAUUUCUCAUACAAAGAGAGAUUUGGGAGAGAUUCCUCAUUCUUGGAGAGAUUCUCGAUAAAGAGAGAUAGAGUGAAAACGAUUGAGAGAGGUUUCGUGUGUGACAUUUGUGAGUGUCCGGCUUCGCAACGCAAGGUCCGUAAACCCCAUUAAGCCAUGUUUAAGGAUCUUACACACUCCCAAUGAGUAUGCAACAUUGUUUUAUCGGUUUGGUUCGUUACUUACCACAGUUUUUGGUUAAGGAAAUCUAGAUGUAUGAAAUUUUCAAUUUAUGAUCUCUCAUUAGAAUAGCGAGUUGUUUAGAAAUUACAUAACGUAAACCCUAGUAUACAAUGGUUAACUGAGGUGACCGGUCUGACUUGUUGACUUUAUUUGACUUUGACUUGACCAGAAUUUGACGGUUGUCACAGUCAAACUGGUCAACUCUUGGUCAAGGUCAAAGUCCUCAGUCAAAGUCAACCUUCCUGGUUGACUCUACUCGCCGAGUCCCCCGUCGACUCGCCGAGUUCCCUUACCUAGAAAACUCUCAUGAAACAACUUAACUUACCGAGUCGCCCCAAGACUCGCCGAGUCCAACGAUCCUUGAGUCCCAUCCUGUCCAACUCACUGAGUCGCCAACCGACUCACUAAUCCAAGGAUUUAACCAAAAGAGGUUGGGGUUCUGCAACCUGACUCGCAGAGUCCAAGAACAGACUCGCCGAGUCUAAGGCAAUCUUCAACAAACUCGCCGCGUUGUUCUUCCAACUCGUCGACUCCAUGUACGUGUUCAUACAACUCGUCGAGUACACCCAUGUGACUCGCCGAGUCUCUUCAGUUCUCAAUCCAUUCAUAGGCUUUUCGAGCCAUGCUGAGGCUCCAAUCCGUAGAUCCACCCUUCUACAAUCUAUCCUUCACAUAAAGUUGCAAACUUUACAUGAAACCAAAGAGAUAUAGGCCCAAAACACACUAGGGCUUGGGUUUUAGACAAAAGGGCUUCACCAACAAUUCAAUAACUGAUGCUUUAUGACUUUCUAGACCAAUGCAAGUCCAGAUCUGAAGUAGCAACCUCAGAUAUGGACUCCAAACCCGAAGUGGACCUCAAUCAUACCAAAAUGGCCCCAAAUCUCAUUCAAGAAUAAAUCUAGAAGCAACAAAGGAAAGGUAACAGCUCAUUACCUCCAAGAUGUGCCCAAAACUGCAGUAGAUUUUGGAUCUACACUACUUUCUUGAUGCAAACCCUUUUGAUCUUCAAGUUUCUUCCACUAGAACACCUCUCAAAGCUUCAAUCUCCCUCCAAUGGCCUUAUACACACGAGCUAGGGUUUACUGGAUCUCAAAGGGGGCUAAGGGAGCUGAGGGGAGGACAUUAAAUCCUUUAAAUAGGGUACAAACCCUAAGAUUUUGGUUUUUCUCAUCCCAGAACCAACUCGUCGAGUCCAGCUUCCGACUCGGCGAGUUGGUGACUUAAUUCGCGAUCCAAACACGCUCCGACUCAGCGAGUAAGCGUACCUACUCGUCGAGUCCCUUCUUCGAAAUUACACUUUAAACUCUUAAAUCGUACUUCUGAAAUUCAGGAUGUUACAUAUAAGUUACCAAUAGAUUCUGGAAGAACAUGGAUCUCCGUAUAUGAAAAAUCAAGAUACCUGAGAUGCACCAACUCUACAAUUGAAUCGUGUAACUUAUUUAUAUGGUAUCCUUUGAGUUUUAAGAUUCUCAUGCACUUGAAUCGUUCAAAUGAAAAAUUCUUCUCGACUUCACCCUCGAUGAACAAUGUGCGCAAAGUUCUAGCCACUGUAUCCCUUUCAAUGAACUUACAAAUCUUGCCUUCUAAUUCAUGAUAUAAUUGGUAAAAAAUGAGAUGCUUAACCUGGGGAAUACAAGCAAUGUCAUCAUUCUUCACACCCUUCAGACGUAAGUUUUCAUGUUUCGAAAGUGAUAACAAAAGAUCAUGCACCAGAUCAUGCAUACUACAAUGAGUGAUGUGACCAUACUCGUCCCUUUCAACAUCUUGGAACAAUGAAUUGCUGACCAAAAUUUGAAAAAUAUCAUUCCCCAAAUCCUCCAUCUCAUCCUUUGUGCUGCGUUCACCGCCGGCAACCAAUUUGUGAUUUGAUAUUCUAGUUCUAGGUUUUCGUUAUGAAUUUUGUUUUGAUUUAUUGAAGGUUAGUCCAGCAGACUCGCGAAUGAGAGCUGCCUCUAAAAGAAGGGUACUGAAAUCAAAUGAAAUCGAUAUCAAGGCAGAUAAGGCAUUUGAGCAUCGAAAAAAAUGUGUUAGACAUUGUUCAUUUUCAUCUUCAGAUUUCAUCGAGAAUCAUGUAAGACCUUUCUCCCUGCUCCCAAUUUUACUUGACAUUUGGAUGUCGUGACUGAUUUUGGGAGUCUAAUUUCGUGAUUGAGAGUGAAGGUAUUUCGGAGUUGAAUGAUGUGAUUUUUAUUUAUUUAUUUUUAAAUAUGCAUGAUUAGAUUUCCUUCUUACACCAUAUACCUCUGUCUUGUGUGAUUUCAUUAUAGUGUUAAGCCGUAAUUCGUAUUUUCACAUGAUUAUGUUCAGUUUUAUAUUUGUUGAGGUAAGGGUAAAUUUAUGACUCAGGGAGGAAAUUUGUACUUCGGUGUUGCAACCAUGUUUCAUUUUUAGGCCGGAACUGCCUUGUUAGGGGAGACCCUUCUUUCCAAAAAAUACAUGUUUCAUUUUAGGCGCUUUGUCUCUAGCAAAAUCCCAACAUUUUGAAUUUUACAGAGCUAGAUUAAUUUAGUUAUUUGAUCUUUACCAUGUUCAAAUUAGUAGCAGGAUACUUAAGAAAUGUGCUAAUAAGUAACAGAUUAUGUUUAAUUUUUAGGUAUAUGGGUUUGUUUAUAUGGAAGAACCAUGUCUAGAAUGCUUGUUAUGAAGUUCUCUUUAUUGAUUGAUAGGUUCUUGUAGCCGCACUCACUUGACGACUUUGACAGGAUCAAGAUGAUGCUGGCAAUGAUAAAGGUAACUUAACUCUCAGUUUGCAGUUUUAAAGUUUGAAUCAAUGCCAAACUGUUGCUAGAAUAUGGCUUUUCAGUGAUGCCUAUUUCGGAUGAUUUUUUUUUUUCUUAUUGGUCUUAAUAUGAUAGUUAAACACUUAUUUUUGUAGUGCAGUUGCAUCUUUUUUCUAAUGUAUGCAAUAAAAAUUGAUUUUUUUUACCCAUCUGUACAGCCAUUUUUCAUAUUGAAAUCAGUGAUAUGCUUCAGUUUACCAAAUUGGUUGCAUAAAAUUGUAAUAACUUGAAACAUGGCUUCGUAAAUUGCUAAAAUGUAUAAUUUUUAUUUGAGCACUCAUAGCAAUUGUAAUAAUUUGUUAUCUUGCAGAAGGCUGGAGUUGUAAGGCAAGAGCAAGCUAAGAUUAAAGAAGGAAACCACAGCCUAAUAUCAUUUAAGAAUUAUAAACAUUGAUCCUGAUCUGAUAUGAUUAUGUUUCCAAAUGCAAUAUAUUUUUCAUAAUUAUUUACAUAAGAGUAUAAAAUGUCAUAUGACAAUUAUAAAAAAUAAUAGAUAAAAAGUAAUUUAUAAGGUAUCAUUAUGUUUCCAAAUGCAAUAUAUUCUCGCUUAUGCUCUUAGUUGUUUAUAUUCAAAUUGAGAUUGAAAUUUACUAGUGUUUGUUUUUAUAUACAAACCAGCUCUAUUUUGUAAGCAUUUUUUUUUAAUGUAACAGAGUUUGUUUAUUGAAUCCAUAGCAUACAAACAGUCAUAUAUUAGUGACAUGGUUAUUGGCAGGUGGAUUUAUGUGAGUUUGACUAUGACUAGAGACAGAGUACCUUAUUCCAAAAGGACCAAGCCAUCGAGGUGAACCCUACAACAUAUGAUUCAGAAAGUGAAAAGAGAGUUUAUUAUUGAGGCAGAGGAGGAAUGAGUGAUACACCAUCAGUUGGACUUUUAUACAUCUUUUUAAUCUAGUUUGACAUUAGUUGCUUCCCACAGUGCUCCCCGUCUUACCUUUUCUUUAGUUAGGCACUUGCACCUAACGAAACUCAUGUCACGAAUAGAUGACAUGUUGGUUAACCACAUGGGCAGUUUUCGUGUUCCAAAUUCUCUUAUGAUUAACCUAGUCAGUGAAGUGAGGUGCUGUAUUUCUUCAGGAAUUGACUCCCAAUGAUCCUAAUCUCUCAAACAUUUCAUGUGGCAAGGAAGCCAGUUUGUCGCAAUUGGCAAUUCGCAAAGUCUUCAAAGAAUGACACUCGUUGGGAAAAUUGGCUAUUACCGAAAGACUUGGACAGCUGCCGAUUACUAAAGAUUCAAGAGAUGUGAGGCCUUGUAUGCUCUUAAUGUACUCCAGACCUGUGCAGUACCAUAUCCUUAAGGACACAAGAGGAUGGGGAUGGCAUUCAUCUAACACGAUAAUCUUUGGGCAAUAAAAAAUCUCCAACUUCUCGAGGACAGGAGAUAUCAUUUUUGAGCUGUUGGGUGCUCCAUCUAUCCACUUUUCCAGUCUUUUCAUACCAUCUAGUCGGAGCCAUCUCAAUGAUGGAGACAAAUGCUUCGCUGAUCCAGUAACAUCGGAACUCCUUAAGCAUGUCAAGCUGUCCAUAUGCUCCAACACAAGAUCCCAAAGAUGUGGCAGGUUCUCAAGCAUCGGAAGAGAGAGGCAGCUCCUACAGUCAGAUAAUUUGAUUGACACAAGCUUGUCAAGAGGCAUCCAUUUCCCUUCAAUAUGGAUUGCCAUCUUCAUUACCCAAUCUGGAAAAUUAUCACCACAAAAAUAGUCAAUUCUCAAUAUUUUCACAUCUCUUGGUGGUUGCAAGCCUUCCAAUACAUCCUUGUUUCUGUCAGCACCUCGAUUGCUACUCCAACUGAAUUCAAUCUCGUUUAAACUUUUUUUUCCAGAUAAAUCUGCCAUGACUGCAUCCUCUUUGCUACUAAUAUUUUCUAGAUUGAAAAUACAGAGCUUUCCACUGAGGUGUUUUAACCGGCUUAGCUCUUUAAUACCGCGUCCCUCAUUUUUAAGCAAACUGAAGGAAUUAGGCACUAAUGUUCUAAGAGAAGUCAAUUGUCCCAAUAUAUUCUUGGGAAUGCUUCUAAAAGACUUGCAAUAUCGCAGGCUUAUCAAAUUUCUCAUGGAUUCUGGAAACUUGUUAAGGUAAUAGCAAUUUUGCAACUUCAGAGUUUGCAAGUGGUAUAAUUUACCAAUAGAAUCAGGAAGAACACGGAUAUCCGUAUAUGACAAAUCAAGAUACCUGAGAUGCAUCAACCCUCCAAUUGAAUCGUCUAUCUUCUUUAUUCCAGAUCUUUUGAGUUUUAGAAUACGCAUGCACUUGUAUCGUUGAAAUGAAACAUUCUUUUCAACUUCACUCCUAAAGAAGAAUGUAGCCCAUGUUCUAGCCAUCAUUCUCCUUUCAAUGAGAAAGAAAACGUUGGUAUUUUCUCGGCAAAAGUCAUCUUUCAUCACACCCACCAGACAUUUGCUUUCAAGAUUGGAAAGUGAUAAUGAAAGAUCAUGCACCAGAUCAUGCAUGCUACAACGAGUGAUGUGACCGUACUCAUCCCUAUCAACAACUUGGAACAAUGAAUUGUUGACCAAAUUUUGAAAAAUAUCAUUUCCGACAUCCUCCAUCUCCUUGUUUUUUUCCUCAUCUGCUUGAACCAACCCUAAAGCCAUCCAAAGUUGGACCAGUUCUUCCCUUUUCAUCACCUUAUCUUUCUUAAAGAUAGAACAAGAUGCAAAACAUUGUUUGGCGAUAGAACGUCUAGGCAGAUUAUCUAAGCUAAGUUCCAAACUCUUUUGAACUCUCUCCGUUUCAUCUUCUAGAUCCCAAACUUUGCUAUUUCUGAUCGCCAACCACUUCUUUGGGUCGUUGUAAUUUUGCAACACCCCUCCUACUACCUUUACCAGCAAAGGCAAACCACGACACUUUUUCACAAUAUCAUGCCCUAUCUUCUCCAAUUCGGGUGGUGGUGAUUGUCCUGCUAGAAAGGCCCUCUCUUUAAAGAUAUUCCAGCAAUGAUCAUCAGAAAGACCUUUUAAAGGACAUGAAUCCAUUGUCAUAGCCUUUGUUCCUAUGUCAAGUUUUCGGGUAGUGACAAUAACGCCACUUCCAAUUUUAGACUUUAUCAUCAUCAUAUGCCUCUUAAAUUCUUCCCAGUGUGAUCUCUCUUCAUCCCAAACGUCAUCCAGGACUAGUAAAUACCUUUUUGAGCCCAAUUUCUCUUCAAGAUAGCUAAUUAAAUUGACCAUAGUUUCCGACUUCGGUUUCUCUCGUGCAAGAGAUUCAUAAAUCUUUGCAAGAAGUGUGUUGAUGUCAGCCUUAACCGACACACACAGCCAAGCUUUAACAUCAAAAUGUUGCUGGAUUUUUGGAUUAUUGAAGAUGGACUUAGCCAGAGUGGUCUUUCCCAUCCCGCCCAUUCCCACAAUGGGAACAAUCGUAAGCUUUUCUUCUUUCCUUGACUCGGUUAGAAGGUGUAUGAUGCGCUCUUCAUCAUCCUCCCUCCCAACAAUUUUGAAUUCCUCUAAAUUUGGGACAGUCUCGGGAUAUGGACGAUAUUGAACAACAGGGCCAGGCUGUUCAUUUUGUAGUCCCAAUUCGUUUGCAUCCUUAUUGAUUUGAGACAACUUUUCGUUAAUGUUUUUGAUCUUAUGACCCAUUUCUCUACGAAAUAAAACCUUUUUCAAGCUUGGAAGAGAGGGUACCUUUAUUCCCACCUGAUCGCUAUUCUUUACCUCACGCCUCAACAUUUCGUAGUGAACCUCAUCCAUCACAUCAUCAGCUUCACCAACAACAUCUUUUAGCUGUUUCAGCCACUCCAUCACCCCAUGUUUUUGACCUUUUUCAUUCUCUGCAUCCUGUAACUUGGCACGGAUCAUUUUCAAGGUCACUUCAAGUGUGUGCAACUUCUCUUUGUAACCCCAAACAAUGCCGAUUUCGCUGGCGGCUAUGGAUGCCACCUUUUUCAGAAUCGCCUCGGCAACAACAGUAACUAAAGCGUCGGCCAUUUUCACUGGUGUGUGUGUGUGNAAACGUAACCACAAGUCAGAACUCACAAUAAAGGGGUAUGAAGAAUAGACCCAUUGAUUAAAGAAAAAAGAAAACUAUUACAUAUUCGAUAUUAGUUUUGAAGUAAUUUAAAAAAUUUAGUUAAAAUGCUUAAUAACUUUUUACUAAACAGCUAAAAAUAACAUUUUCAGAAAAUAGCCAACUAAAUCAUAUGUGAUUAAGUUUCAGCAGCUUCCCAACUGUCGCUAUAUUGGGCUACGAAAUGGAUCCAUUUUAAACUAAUGGGCCGGAAGUAUAAAACCUUAAAAAGGUAUAACCCUUAUUUUCACUCUUUCAACUUUAAGAAAUUUUAUCAACUAUAACUCAAAAUCAAUUUUCACAUGUCGACUUGAUAAGUACAUCACAGAAAAUCAACAUGUACAUAAAAAACAAAAUCGAGCAUAAGAAAUCGGAGGUGGUUAUGGUGGCAUAACCACCUCCAAUUUCAUUGACUAUUUUCGAAAAAAAUCGAUUUUUUAGGUUAUUUUUUAAAAUUAAUAGAUCAUUAAGGUAUUUAGUUAAAUUUGUAAAUUUUUAUUAAUUUUGUAGGUUAUUUGAUAUAUAUUUGUUACUAAUUGUAUCCUAUAUUUAAUUUUUUAUUGUCUUUUUCAGUCUUUUGUUGUUUUUUUCUUUUAUUAGUAUUAUUUAAAUUAUUUGAUUUAUACAUUAUUAAUAUUAUUAUUAUUAUUAUUAUUAUUAUUAUUAUUAUUAUUAUUAGAUAGACAUUCUAAAUCACAAUAACUUAAAUAAUAAUGCUAAAACAUAGAAAUCUUUUACAAAUUAUGAGUGAUAAUUAUUUUAGAAUAUUUAUAUUUUGUGAAUUGGCUUUUACUCUAUAAAUAGAGGGGGAUGAUCAUUAGUUUUUGUAUCCACCAAACAUGUAGUCUUUGUCUAGUUAGAGAAAAUGUGGGAAUUAUCUCUCCCAACCCAAGUGUUCUUUAUUGUAUAUUUUCUCUCUUUAAGUAAAUUAUCUGAUAACUCAUCUUUUUGUGUUCUUGAUAUUCUAAAUACUUUUAAUAUACAUUUAUAUGAAUUAUUAAUGGUAAAAUAAAAAUGAAAUGUUUAUACAUACACACUACCCCACCUAUUAUAUUAUGUACUAAGCGGACAUCUACGUGUUGUGCAAAAUAAAACUAUAUAGUUAAAAUUUGACGAAUACAUGUCGAAAAUAAUUAUGUUAUUGAUAUUAACUAUGAAAUAAUAAUUUCUUACACUAACUUGAUAUACAAAAAUUAUUUUGAACUAUAUUAUAACAUUUAUUAAAACCAAUAUAUCAUAUCAUUUAAUAGUCGUUACUCAUGUUGGGUACGAAUAAAACUAAAUAUGGUUAUUGAUUUAGUGUUACUUUUAACAUUCUGAUUAAUUAAUUUAUAAAUUACUUAUUUAACCAUUUUUUUUUAAUUUCUAUCAUAACGAUUAUUUAAAAUACAACCAUUAGUCGUAAGGUAACAUAAUAUAAUUUAUAACUUUAAGUUAUUUUUAUUUAUUAUUAUUGUUAAUUAGUUUAAACACUACUUAUUUUGGAAAAAAAUCAAUUAUUAUAAUAAAUAGUUUUGGAUGUUUUACUUAAUUUGACAUGUCAAUUUAAGUUUUACAUUUAACAUUUUAAGAAUAUUAUAUUGAUAAUUCCAAGAAUCAUCCGUAAAUAUGAUUAUAGAUUUAAUAUUUAAUAACAUGCUUAAAUUUCUAAAAUAAAUUAUUAGGUUGAAAGUUCAAAACUUUGUCGAGUCUCAAAUGCGUAUGGUGCAAGUAAAAAUGCAUAUUGUUUGCGAAGCUUUAUAAGUUAGGUUUGAUAUAAAUUAAUAUUCAAUGGAAUGUAUCUUAAUAACAUUGAGACUUUUACUCAUUAAAUUUAUCUUUAUAUGUUAAUUAAGUUAAAAUAUUAUUUGAAUAAUACAAACUUUUAGUUUUUAACAACUACUUUUUAUCAAUUAUGUAACAUCCAGUUCCAGGUAAACUUUCUCUUACGUUUUUAACAAUUAAAAUGAUCAAAAAUUAUAAAUUUUGAGGGCCAUGGCAUGAUGAAGGAUGCACCAAAACGUAGCGAGGGCUUGGCCACGACGUGGCGAUUGUCAGGAUGCAAACCUUAAAUUUUCAGGUUUUGAGCCUUAUUUAAGGGAUGUGAUGGCUAGGGUUUGCCCACCGUCAGCCUCCAUCACCUCCCUUUUCACCCUCACGAAAACUGUAACAUCCCAAAAUUAAUACCAAAAAAUUUCAUUUUUAAAUUAAUAAAAUUAUUAUCCAAAACAUCAUCAUGAAAACCAUAGAGGAACAAAGUGUAUCAAAUACAUCAUAAACAUCAAAGUAAAUAUAAAAUGCGGAAUGAGGUGGUGUGUGCACUGCAUCAUCCCGGGCUCUUACCCUUCGAAUCAGAAGGACUUGAAACAUAAACUGAAAACCAUAAGCACAAAGAUUAGUGAGUUUCCCAAAAUAUCACAUAUCAUACAUAAUAAACAUGUAAUGGGCCCCACCUGUCAUCGGACCCUUCCCGGCAUCAGGCCCCACUUGCUAUACAGAUAUGUGACUCAUCGGACCCCGCCCAAUAUACAUAUAAACACACAACACAUGCAAUAAUCACGAAGAUAAAUAGCAUAUAGAAUGGUCAUCGGGCCCUACCCGGUAAGCAUAUAAGCACAUAAUGUUGGAUUUAGGUGUCUAAGCCCAUAACUAUAAUUGGUAUGUACUUGAUUUGAUAUGUAGCAUGGUCCUUUUGGGUUGCCUUCACACAUGCAACUUGACAGGAUGACUAAUGGGUAGAGAGAGUAGGAUUUAUUAUUUGAAUAAUAAAUUGGUACUCAGAAUGAUUUUAUUAAUAUAUUAUUUGGAAAUCAUAUUAUUAAUUAGUAAUUAAUCAGAAAUUAAUUUGAUAUUGAUUUUGGGAUUAAAGGAAUUGAUUAAUAAUGGAUGGGUUGUUUUGCAAUUCAUUGAUAGUUGUAAAAUUGGGCUUGGGGCUCCUUGUAAGUAGAGUGGACGAAAUUUAUGGGUGACCUCAUAAGAUUUCGUCCAAGGGCUCAUUAAGGAGGUCCAUGGGUUGCUUUAGGCUUAAGUUAGGAACUAGGGUUUCCUUAUUCAAGUCCAGCUUAAAGGUUAAGCAACCUAGCCAUAUAUAAACCCUUUUAACCUAAGAAAUUUUGGCCCCCUAUGCAUUCUAAGAGAACCCUAGCCGAUUUCCUCAUCUCUCCUACUCAUCCUUUGCAUUGAGUGUUUGUGACUCCAUUAGAGGUGCAACACUUAGGGCACUAGGCUUUCAGAAGUCAAGAUCAAGCAAUGAUUGUUCUUGUUAUUAAAAUAUAACAAGUGUGGUAAUCUUCUAACACUAAUAUAUAUGUGAAUUUCGAAAUUGUAUAUACUAGAUCUAGAUUUAUUGCUUUGGUGUUCGUAUUUGUAUGAUUCAAUAGAGAAAAACUUAGAUCCAAAGCAAUUAGGCUUGCAUGAUCACAUAGGAAUGUAGAUAUGCUUAAAACCCAUCAGUGGUAUCAGAGCCUAGGAUGUUUUUCAAUUGAAUUAGUGUAAGAGUGAACUGUCCAAAGUGAUUAAAAAUCGUUUUUAGCUGUCUGACAUAAGAACUCGACGAGUCCAUGAUGAACUCGACGAGUUCAGAGCCCAACUCGACGAGUUGACUCGUCUGUUACCUAAAAUUUUGAUUUUUUUGAUUUGGAUAAUUACCAUAACUCGUUUUUAUUGCCUAAAAUCAAUUUUUCUGAUAGUUAACAUGAUAUCCUUAUCAAAAUUAAAGGAUUCGGUUAAAUUUGGAUAAUAUAAGAGUAUUUUGAUUCAAAGAUUAACCUAGCAAUUUUGAAAAGUUUUAAAAUACACCCUUUGAUUUUAUAGUUUGAAUUUGAAAUUAAAAGUUUUGAUUUUUGGAAAUUUAAAUGGUUAAACCCUAGUAUUUUAAACAUGUAACUCCCCGACUCUCAUGUAUUUAUUUUACAGCUUUAUUUUUCAUCUUGAAAAGUUGACUCGACGAGUCGGAUGCCCUGACUCGUUAAUUAGGAAUGGAUUUGGUCACGUGGCUUAAGUGACUAACUCGACGAGUUGGAGCUGAAGGAUGAAACCCUAAUUUUCGGGGUUUCACACCCUAUUUAAAGGAUCAUUAGCCUCCCUUGGCCUCCCCUCACCGUCCCCUUGAGCUCUAAAACCCUAAUUCGUGUGUGCACUCCAUUUUGGUGAUUUUCGAGCUUGGAAGGUGAUUUGCAAGAAGAAGAUUUGAAGUAUAAGAGGAUUGGUGCAAAGAGGAGCUAGUGGAUCUGACUCUUCUGCUUAUUGGCAUCAGUUUGAAGGUAACAAGUCGUUACCUUCACCUUCCCUCCUUCUAGAUCUCUUUAUGUUUAAGAUUAGGGCUUUUCUAGCAUGUAUAUUAACCAUUUUUGGGUAUGGGCUAGGAUUUGAAGUUGUAACUUCAGAUCUGAGCUUAUAUUGAUCUCUAUAGAUAUAAAGUCUCCAGCUUUAGCAAUUAUGAACCUUCCCUUUUGAGUUAAACCCCAUUAUAAGCUUGGAUUUGACAUUCUAAGCCUUUAGAGCCUUGCAUGCACGUAAAGUUUGCAACUUUACAUAAUAAACAUGCCUUGGGAAGCUUGAUCUACAAUAUGGAGCUUUGGGGUGGCUUAAAAGCAUCUGAAUGGAGAAAUGACUGAAGGGACUCGACGAGUUCUUGGCCAACUUGGCGAGUCCGAUGAAGAUUGCCACACAAGGAUUUCUGCAUGAACUCGACGAGUCAGUAGGACGACUCGGCGAGUCAGCCAGGGUUUUCCCGACGUUUGAACAUGCAUGGAUUCGGAAAGUUGCAAGGAAACUCGACGAAUCAACUAGGGGGAUUCACGACUUCUCGAGUUCUGGAAGGACUCGACAAGUCAGUAAGCUGCACUCGAUGAGUUGGGCCAACAUGGACUGUUGACCUUGACCAUUGACUUUAAAUUUGACCAUGGAAUGACUAGUUGACUUCUGGGGUAUUUUGGUAAAUUGGAAAUUUAUGGAAAUGGUCUUAUGGUAAAUAUAGGUGGUGAAGUUUGUGGUCGUGUUUCGAAAGUUUGAGUUUAUCACUUCGAUUUGACAGUUGAGAGGUGAGUUAUCCUCACCAUACUAAGGGGUCGAAAGCACCAAUGCCGGUCCAUUGGAUAAGAUAACCUAGCAGUUAGUAGUAGGUCGAGUAUGAGUUAGUUAUGCAUGCUAGUUGAUAUGUUAGUUUGGUAGAUAUGUGGGACUACCUGUAUUAUUAUGUGAUUAUAUGUAUGUCCAUUAGUUAUGUUAUAUGUCGACAUAUUAUGUGGGUUAGGUUGAGGUUGUACUGCUCUGUGCGAUAGCCAACAAACCUUAGAGUAUUCUAGAUAUGAGUUGAGAGUCGGGCGGGGCAUGCCAAACUCAUAUAGAGGACUUGGGAGCAUUCCAGAUACAAGCUGAGGGCCGAGUAGGGCAUGCCAUACUCGUACUGUGGGCUCGGGAGCAUUCCAGAUACGAGCUGAGGGUCGGGUAGGGCAUACCAGACUCAUACUGUGGGCUCAAAGGCAAUCUAGAUGUGAGAUGUGGGCCCGGAAGGCAAGCCGGACUCACACAGUGGGCCCAGGAGUAAUCCAGUCUAUAAAGUUGUGGAACCAAUAUAUGUUGUUAUUUGUAUAUGUGCUAUUUGUUGUGUAUCGGUAUUUUGGGGGAAAGCACCAAGCUUUGGGCUUACAGUUUCAGUUUUUGUUUUCGGUACAUUACAUGAUCAUGGGAAGGCAAAGGCGUGGUCGUACAACUCCUCAUGUUUAUGACUUUGUUUCUGGGAUACUCUGAUAUUAUGCUAUAUUGAAAAAAAGUUUUGUAAUGAUUAAUGUUUUUGAAAUGUUUUUAAAAGUUUAAAUUUGGCAUGAUUUUUAUGGACGUUACAAAACAGUUUAAAAUUACACCCUCAUGGAUUUUAUUAAAAACUAAUUUAAGUGUUUAAUUAAUAGAGAAAAUUAAUAAAUCCACAAUAAUAUGGUUUAAAUUUAAUUAAAUUAAAAGUCUAAUUUAUUAAAGGAUUAAACCACUUAGUAUUUUAAAAGUUUAAAAUACAUCCUUAUACUAUAUAACAUUAAAAGUCUAUAUAUAUAUAUAUAUAUNUUUAAAAGGUUUAAAAUACACCCUUAUACUAUAUAAAAUUAAAAUUCUAAUAUAUUAUAUAUAUAUAAGAAAAGUUAGUCUUACCAUUAGUAGGCCUCAUUCACGAAGCUGGACUAUAAGGGGUGUUUAUAGAAGCAUCCUGUAAAAUGACCGUCAUUGGGUGUCCACUCUUACCCACCACACUCUUGACUAGUGGAGGAUUAUUAGCCAAACGAGUAGGAUAGGACUCUAAAUCCUCAUUAAAAGUAUAAUGAAUUAUAAAUUAGCUAAACGCCUUUAUAAAUUCCCAAUCUUAGUUACUUUAGGAAAAAUGUGAAUUUGAUGCUAACCUAUGAAAUUGCACAUUGUACCUUAUGGGUCGUUAGUGGAGCGUGUGUAGUUAACCAGCACACUAAUAUGGGACUAAUGAAUGAUGGCAAUUGGUAGCUCAUAAAUUAUUGUUGAUCAAUGGAGCGUAUGUGGUUAACCGGCACAUUAGUUAGAUGAUAAAUGACAUCGAGAGUACCAAGAUAAUUUACAUGGAUAUUCACACCUUGUUUGUGAUCCUUGGUAUCCCAGUCACAAACUUGAAGGGCAUAAUCGAGAUUAAACAUGCCAUUGAAAAGUUCAAUGAAUCUCAAAAAUAUCUUGGAAUUUCAUUUAAAACCUAAUUCGUCAAAAUUUCGUUUUCGUGGUGAAAUUGGUAGAUCGUCAUUUACCUACCUUCAAAUAAUUUGCAAUUGGAUUAGGCAUCCCUCUUCCGAAUUGUGAAUUAUUGUGUUGGGUCCUAGCCUUAAUAUUUCAUUUGGGUGUUAUAUUGAGGAUUAAAUCAACUAACUUGAAUUCUCCCUUUGUAGAUGUCUAGUUCUGACAACUAUAGUCUUACUCAAUCCUUUGGAAAAAGCUUUCCUCAUAAAGAUGAUAUUCCACGUGUCGAUCGAGGUGAAAGAUCAAUCCCUUCUUCAUGCAUUGAUGGAACUGGAAGUCAUACUUCUCUUCCUCCACGUCCUCCAGUGAUUCUCCCUAACCCAAGUUUUUGUCAACUUGAAAAGUACAAGGUUACUUAAUCCCUGUUGGAAUGCAAACACUUAGAUGGAAACUCUGUGUAUGCACAUGUUCUAAACGUGGAAGUUGCACAUUGACAGAUUGUGAAUGUGGGUGUCAUUUUCCCAAAGGAGCUUGUUGUUGACUUGGUUCUUCAAUCACUUCCCGAUUCGUAUAUUUAAUUCGUUAAGGAUUACUAUAUGACAAAUCACGACGUGACCCUCAUAAAUCUGACAUAUUUGCUAAUUGCUGCUGAAUCAGCAAUGAUUUGAUGCAGUGGUAAAUCAAAAUUGAUUGAAAGAUCUACCUCCCAAAUUUCCCUAGUGUAGGUAAUGACGACGUUAAUAGUCCAUAAAUGAUUUCCCUGGCAGCUAUUGUCUUAGUGCCUAACAAAGAACCCUGGCAACUAUUGUCUUAGUGCCUAACAAAGAACCAUGACAGCUGUUGUCUUAGUGCCUAAUAAAGAACCCUGACAGUUAUUGUCUUAGUGCCUUAUGAAGAACCUUGGCAGCUAUGGAUUUAGUACAGUUAAGUGAACCUUGGUGACUAUAGAGUUAGCGCCUGUUAAGUGAACCUUGGUGACUAUGGAGUUAGCGCCUGAUAACUAUGGACUUAGUACCUGAUAGAUAAACUUUGGCAGCAAUGGACUUUGUGCCAAUUCCUUAGGUCAAUCCUUAGGAACGGAUGAAUAAAGGAUAGUUGAUUCUUAGGAUAAAACCCUAAGAAUAAAGAAGAUAAUGGGGAUGGGUAAUUGGGUUGAUUGUUUAAUGAUUAAAUAUAAUAAUUAUAUUAUUGUGGGUUGAAAACCCUAUAUGCUCACCAGGCUCCCAAGCUUGACCCUCUCAGUUUUCUUUGUAUUACAGGUUAUGGCACAAGAGCAUAAGUUGGCUGACAUAACGAGAGAUUUUGGAUUAUAAGCCAGUAGUUAUAAAUAAUUAUUGUAAGGUCUAUUUUGUUCUGUUUAUGAUUUUGGUCUGUAUUGAACAUGACCUCCUGAGAUUUUGAUAUAUAAUAAAAAUACAUUUCUUUGAAGAAAUGCUUUGAUAAAUUCUUAUCACAUUUUGUUUUGGGAACAAAUUCUGCAACUCUUUUAAUCAAAGGAUUGCUCUGAUUUUAUAAAACAUAGAAUAAACAAAUCGGUCUUUUCUGGCCGUGAAAUUGGGGAUGUCACAUCAGUCAAACAUCAUUGAUUUAUCACUAAGUCUUAUAACUAGGCGUUACAGUGUGAUACUAGGUUGCCGCCUACAGCUCCUCUGCAUAUGUAAUCUAGAAACUGAAAGUAUUAGGCUUAAAAUUGAUAUGUCAAGUAUAGAUGUUUGAUAUGGGUGUUCUGGUCAUCAAUCUCGUUUUCUUGAUUUGUUAGACCAUCUGUUGAUAGACUCAUGCCUACUGCUAGGUUAGAAUGUUCAGAUGGAGCAGAGUUAACCCUGCAUCUAGCGGCAGGAAUGCGAGGGUUAGUUAACCUAGCCACGAUUUGAGGUUCGGGAGUGGUGCUUAUAGACAAAGAACCACUGAGUGCAGAUGCGUAAGUAAGAGAAGCUGAUGACAUCGUGUGAGGAUGUUUUGGGCUCGAAACGUAAAGCUUACAUGGAAACUAGAUCUUGGUGAAGACCAAAAUAUGCAAAGAAAUAGUGUGUUCGUCGCUCCUUACAUGUUUUGAACCAGGCGAGAGGGAUGAGAUGGAAAUACGAGAGUGACAUAGAAAAAAUUAGGGUCGGAUUUAAGAACCCUAAAUCAUCGGCUCAAAUUGAUAACUGGGAGGUAAGAAACCUAAAUCCUCAGCUCAUUAGGGUCGAAUUAUGAGUGUAAGAACUUUUUGGAACCGAGAAUUAGGUUUUUGGUGGAGGUGAUGGACCGAGGAAUUGAGGAAGCUAUGGAUGAAGACAAAGGCCCUAAUUCGAAGAGGCGGGGAAUUUUUGGGAUGAAUAGGCGGGGGUUAAGUUUUUGGAUUUCAUUUUUCCCCCUAAAAACGCGUGUUUCCUUAAAAAAUAUAUAUAGUGACACAGUUACACGACACACAUUUUUUGAUAGGUGCUCUCCGUAUUUUUUUUUUUUUUCUGACACUAAUUUUAGGGCAUGCAAAAAUGCGUGUCCUCUAUCCUUCAAAUUUUGGAAAACUGACAUUAAUUUUUAGGGCAUGUACAAAUGUGCGUCCUCUAUCAGUGUGUGUCAUUAAUUGCACGUCGUAAAAGGCUAUUUUUCUAGUAGUGCUAGUACACAUUGAUGUGGACUGGUUGGAUCCACCACAAAGGACGAUAAAAUAUGUUCGUCAUGAUUUACUAGUAUAAGUGUAAUUCCGAUAUCUUUGAAAAGUUUCAAAGAAUGGUUGAACGAAUAAGAAGAAUCUAUUAGGCAGAAAGAUAAAAGUUUCUCCAAUCUGAAAGGAAAGGAGAGUACUUUAGUAUCAUGUUUUAUGAUUAUCCUAAUGAUUUUAGAACCAUGUCACAAGUGAUCCUUCUAAGGACACCUUAGUGUAUUAAUAUGACUAAGAAUAAGAAUCAAGAAUUGUUGACAUGGUUAAAUCAAAAGGAUAAAUCAUACUUCGUUCCAAAAUAAAGUUUUAGAGUCACACUUUAGUUACUCCAAGUUGUGCCUUGAGUAACAUGUUCUAAGUAGGUUUGUAACACAUGAAAUGUAGAGUAGAUCUUACUCUUGCACAUUUGGAAUUGUUAGUUGUGAUGUUUUGGAUAAAACAAAGACCAACUAAGACCAAUUAUAUGAAGUGUUGUCUUGAUAAGAACCCACACUAACUCUUGAAUAUUUGUUUGUUGAGGAAUGUUCCUUGACAGAGAAUCCUAUAUGUCAGGUGGUCAGUAGGAGUCUAAUGGUCUUGAAUAGUUUCAGGAACUAAUCACGAAUAAACCUUUUAGUUAUCGCUAGCACACGACCUGAGGUUGAUAACCUAUCGUGUUGAAUAUUCUUGUUUAUGUGCCCAUUCCAGUUAAGUUAACUAUGUUGGAUUUGUCUCUAAGCCUGUAACUAGAUUUGGUAAGUACUUGACCCGGUUGUGCAUGGUCCUUUUGGGUUGGCUUCACCAAAGCAACUUGACAGGUUGAUUUAUGAAGAGAGAGGUUAUUAUGGUUUAUUAAUAUAUUAUGAGAAUAAUAUAUUAAAAGGGAAAUCAUAUAGUUUAAUUAAUAUUAGACAAGAAUUAAUUAAGAACUAAUUAUGUAGCUAAAAGAGAUUAAUUAAAUAAAGGGGACUGGAACUGUCAAUUGUGUGAUAGUUGGUUAUUGGGUUGUGAACCUUCUUGGAUAUAAGGGGGACGAAAUUGGAAGUGUAAACCCACUCUAAUUUCAUCCAAGGGGCCUUGUUCCAAAAUGUUCUCAAGCUGCUUGGGGCCUAAGUCAUUCAUUUAGGGUUUUGACUGAAACCCUAGUAGCUCAGCUAUAAAUAGGACUCCAGGGCAACAGUUUCGGUUACACCAAGAAACCCUAAGGUUACUAUAGUCGAAAUUUAGCUUCCUCCCUCUCUCCAAUACCAUCCUCUUGCUUGUGGUGUUUUUAAGCCAUUAAAGGAGUGACACUUGUGACUCUAAGCUCCAAGACAAGAAGAUUCAAGCUAUUAUUGAAGAGGUAAUCAUCUAGAUAUGUUUUAAUAUGAUAUUUUUGAAAUAUGUAUGCUUGAUCUAGGGUUCUUAAGUCUUGGAUGAAUUGCAUGUAUAAUAGAGAAACCUAGAUCCAAGCUUUAGGGUUUGCAUGAGCACAUAGGAUGUUUAUUUUAUUAAACCCAUCAAUGGUAUCAGAGCCUUGAUUGGUUUCUAUUGUAUUGAUGCUUUGUAUGUUCAUUCAUGCUUAAAAAAUUCAUUUUUUGGCCAUCUAACUGACGGACUCGACGAGUAGGAUGAACUCGAUGAGUCCAUAUGGGGACUCGGCGAGUCGGGCUGUCAGACAGAGGAUAUCUCGGGAUUUCUUGAUGUUUUGCUAAAGGAUGAUUACUAAAAUUGUUUAUGACUAAUAAAAUCUAAAUUUUAUAUUUAUUAUGUGAUUAUCCUUACCAAAACAAAAGAUAAUUACCAAUUAAUUGAAUAAUAAAUUCCUUAUAUGAUAAAAUUUGAUUAUUCGAUUUAUUUGAUGAAUUAUCUUGUGAAUAAAAUGAAAUAGGUCAAAUUUAGAUAAUCAUUAAAUUAAUUGUAUGAUUUAAAUUAUUUGCUAUUUGACCGUAUAUGUUUUGAAAAGUUCAAAACUUGUCCCCAAGUUUUGAAAUUUAAUUUUUUGAAUUAAAAGUUUAAUUUUAAAAUUAUUAAAUUUCAAACCCUACAAUUUUACAAGUUUAAAAUUCACCCUAUACUAUUAUAAUAUUAUAAGAAUAAUUAUUAUAUAUGUAUAACUAAAACUGCUAAUCUUACCAUUGGUAGGCCUCAUUCACGAAGCCGAUCUAUAAGGAGGUUUAAGGUUAUGGCCUAUAAAAUGGCCGUUUAAUUGGUGUCCACUCUCACCCACUGCUUCCUUGAUUGUUGGAGGGUCGUUAGCCGAACUGGUAGGAUAGGGCAAACCCUUUCCUCAUUAAAAGUAUAAUGAAUUAUAAAGUAACUAAAUGUUUUUACAAAAUUCCCAAUCUUAGUUACUUUAGGCAAAAGUGAAUUUGAUGUAAUUCCAUAAAAUUACACUUUGUACCCUUGAUAAGACGUUAGUGGAGCGUGUGUGGUUAACCGGCACACUAAUUGGGCUCUAAGAAAAGGUGGCAAAGGGUGACUUGAUGUUUUUCAUAGAUUAAUAGAGUGUGUGUGGUUAACCGGCACGUCGAUUAAAUGACUGUAACAUUGGGGGCACCAUGUACAUUUACAUGGUUAUUCACACCCGCUUUGUGAUCCUCAGCAUCUUAGUCACAAACUUGAGGGGCAUAUCGAGAUUUAAACAUGCCAUUGAAACGUCCAAUGAAUCUCAAAAGAUUUAGGAGUUUUCAAUACAUUUAAAACUUAAUCUCCUUUUUCGUUUUUCAUGGUGGAAAAUUAGUGAAUCGUCAUUCACUUACCUUCAAAUUAUUUGCAUGUUAGAUUACGACAUCCCUCUUCUAAUUUGUAAAUAAUGUUGUUGGAUCCUAGCCCUAAUUUUUCAUUUGGGUGUUUAAUUGGGGAUUCAUUUAUAAUCAAACUUGUCUCUUUUCUGUUUCAGAUGUCUAACAACAACACUUCUGGCUCAAACUCCGCUGGCUCGUUCUCACUCAUGAAAUUGUGUGGGAGAGCGAUCUUUGACGGGUCCAAUUUCAAUGAUUGGAUCCGCAACAUCUGAAUGGUCACUCGUUACAAAGACAAAUAGUAUGUCCUCGAUGAAAAGCUGAAGGAAAUCAACCUCAACACUGCCACUGCCGAUGAGAUCGCUGCCUUUGAGGCACAUAAGCAUGAUGCUACAAAAGUCCAUUGCAUCAUGCUAACGACUAUGACUACAGAAUUCCAGAAGUCCUAUGAGGACAUGUAUGUUGGAAUAGUGUCUUAGGCUGCAACUAUAUUAGGCAAGUAUUUGACCCGGUUGUGCAUGGUCCUUUUGGGUUGCCUUCACCAUAGCAACUUGAUAGGAUGAUUUAUUAAGAGAGAGUAAAUAUUAUUAAUAUAUUAUGAGAAUAAUAUAAAGAAUAAUAUAUUGUUAUUUGAUUAAUAUAAGUCAUAGAAUUAAUUGGAAUUAAUUUGGUGACUUAAAGAGAUUAAUUAAAUAAGAGGGUAUAAACUGUCAAUUGUUUGAUAGUUAAACUUUAGACUGUAAAUCCAUAUAGAUAUGGAUUGGACGAAUUCUAGAAGCUAAAGGAUAGCUCAAAUCGUCCAUUGCUUAUCUAAGGAAAGGAUUUGGAUAGCCUUAAGAGAAGAUUAUCCAAUUAGGGUUUAGGUUGUAACCCUUAAGGAGUCUACAAGUAUAAAUAGACCCUAUGGCAUAGGGAAAUCGGCACUUCAUCUAAAGCAUAGAAACCCUGGCCGAUUUCCUCCCCUCUCCUCUCUCCUAAAUCAUCUUCCUUGCUAUUGGUGUUUGUAAGCCAUUAGAGGAGUGACAUUUGUGACUCUAGAAGCUCCAAGACCACAAGAUCAACAAGGAAUUCAAAGGUAUGGUUCUAGAUCUGUUUCAAUGUUGUUAUUUAACCUAAUUAGUCAUUAGAAGUCUUGGAUUCAAAGCAUGUUUAAUUAGAAAGCCUAGAUCCAAGCAUUAGGGUUGUGCAUGCGCACAUAGGAAAGUUCUUAUGGCUAAAACCCAUCAGUGGUAUCAGAGCCUAGCUUGGUUUUCAUUAAAUUGUUGCUUAAUUAUCUGAAACUAAACUGCAAAAUUCGUUUUUUUUGGUUUCUGAUUCAUGGACUCGGCGAGUUCCAAAGUAGACUCGGCGAGUUGGCCUGACUCGGCGAGUCCCUUUGUGCACUCGGCGAGUCCAGGCGUCAGGAAUGGCCAGAUUCGGGAUUUUUUCAUAAUUAUCUUAUGGAAACUUACCUUAAUCAUAAUAGAUCAAUCUAAAUCCGAUUUUUUGAUAUAUAUGACUAUUAUCUUGAUCUAGUUAAAGGUAUUUAUCAACUAAUAAAAUAUUUAAUUUCCUUAUAUGAUAAUUAAUUAAUUAUUUUAAUUAUUUUGGUAAUUAUCUUUAAAAGAAAUCUUGAAUAAAAUCAAAUAUAGAUAAUUAGGAUAUUAAUUGUUAAUUGGAAUUAUUUGUUAUUUGAUCCUCCAUGUUUUAAAUGUUUAAAACUUGUCCUCAAGUUUUGAAAUUUAUAUUUUGUGAUUAAAAGUUUUAAUUUAGACAACUUAAAUUUCAAACCCUAGAUUUUAAAAGGUUUAAAAUACAACCCUAUACUAAUAUGAUAUUACUAGAAUAAUAUAUAUAUGUAUAACUAAAUGCUAGUCUUACCGUUAGUAGGCCUCAUUCACGAAGCCGAUCUAUAAGGUGGGUAUAAGGUUGCGGCCUAUAAAAUGGCGCUUAAUGGGUGUACACUCACACCCACCGCUUGCUUGAUUGGUGGAGGGUCGUUAGCCGAACGGGUAGGAUAGGGCAACCUCAUCCUCUCAUUAAAAGUAUAAUAAGAAAUACAAAGUAACUACACAUAUUUUAAAAUUUCCCAAUCCUAGUUACUUUAGGAAAAGUGAAUUGAUGCAAUCCCAUGAAAUUACACUUUGCACCUUGCUAAGAUGUUAGUGGAGCGUGUGUGGUUUACCGGCACACUAAUUGGUUCUAAGCGAAGGUGGCAAAGGGUGAUUCAUUGUUUAUCAUAGUUCGAUGGAGCGUGUGUGGUUUACCGGCACAUCGAAUAGGUGAUCGUUACAAUGAAGGCACCAUGUGAAUUUGCAUGGUAAUUCACACCCGCUUUGUGAUCCUCGGCAUCCCAGUCACAAACAAGAGGGGCAUAUCGAGAUUUAAACAUGCCAUUGAAUAGUUUCAAUGAAUCUCAUCCGAACCUAGGAAUUCUCAAAAACACUUAGGACUAAUAGUUUAAGUUUUGUGAUGGAGAAUUAGUGAAUCGUCAUUCACUUACCUUCAAUUUAUUUGCAUGUUAGAUUACGGCAUCCCUUUUCUAGUAUGUAAAUGUUAUUGUUGGAUCCUAGCCCUAAUUUUCUUAUUGGGUGAUAAUUAGGGAUUCUUAUUCUAAUCUAUCUUUGUCCUUUUCUAAUUGUAGAUGUCGAACGCAAACAACGCUGCUGCUAGUUCUUUCACGUUGAUGAGCCUUUGCCAAAAGGUCACCUUCGAUGGAACGAACUUUAGCGAAUGGAUAAGAUACAUUCGCACCAUUGCUCGCUAUGAGGAUAAGGAGUAUGUCCUCGAUGAGAAGCUCGAGAAAAUCAACCCCGAAAUCGCUACUCCGGCCGAAAUCACCGCUUUUGAGACUCAUGAGCGAGAUGCAACGAAGGUACAUUGCAUCAUGAUUGCCACCAUGAACUCCGAAUUCCAAAAGUCCUACGAGGACAUGUACCCGUACGAGAUGCACCAAGACUUAUUGGAGAGGUACCACCAAAACGCGAGACAAGAGAGGUACGAGAUUUUCACUAACAUGAUUUCCGCGAAGAUGGGUCAUGGAGAAUCUCUUACCGUGCACUUGCAAAAGAUGCAAAGGUAUGUCGACCGCCUUCGCAAGUUAAAUGUUGACUUCGGUGAGGAUUUGGCGAUCGACAUGGUGCUUCACUCUUUGCCUCCGAUGUACAAUCAAUUUAGGAUGACCUACCACAUGAACAAAGAAGAGGUCACCCUAAGCAAGCUCCAAGGUCUCUUGAGGGUUGCUGAGAGCAACUUCAAAGACAAGUCUGUUGCACCUACUCCCAAUCCGCCCGCUGCUCCUGUCUUGGCUAUUGGACAAGGGAAGGGAAAGAAGAGGAAAGCUUCAUCGAAGAACUAUCGCAAGGUGAAAGCCCGAGAUGGUGCCUCUUCUAGUGGGACCAAAGUUGAUCCCGCUAAGCCCUGCUCUAACCCGAAGGAGGCAGAGUGCCACCACUGCCACAAGAUAGGACAUUGGAAGAGAAGCUGCCCGGAUUACCUGCAAGCAAUCAAAGAAGGAAAGAUCAAGCCAUCUUUCGCAGGUAUAUAUACAAUCAAAUCUAACGAUUCUAAUCAUGCUAUUUCUUGGGUUCUUGAUACCGGUUGUGGUUAUCACAUUUGUUCUAAUGUGCAGGGACUAAGAAGAAGUAGGGAUGUGGAGCAAGGAAGGAUCAAUCUAAUCAUGGGGAACAGAAGAUCGUCGCCUGUGACCAAGAUUGGAGUGUAUUCCUUAGUGCUUAGGAAUAGUUUAGUUUUAGAUUUGAACAAUUGUUGCUAUUCGCCAGAAAUGGCAAGAAACAUCAUUUCAUUUCAUGGUUUAUAUAGACAAGGAUUUAGAUUUUCUUUUAAUAAUGAGAAUGGUUCUAUUUUGGCUUAUCUAAAUGGUGUCUUUUACUUUGAAGCUAUACCAUGUAAUGGAAUAUAUGAAACCGUUAUGAUUGUUGAUAACUUAGGAAAUGAUGUUUUGAAUAUUGAUUCUUCCACUAGUAUGGAUAAAGCAUCCUUGUGGCAUUGUCGUCUUGGACAUGUCAACAAGAAACGCAUAGCCCAACUCCAAAAGGAUGGAGUGUUGGAGUCAUUCGACCUUAGGGAAGAUGACACAUGCGAGUCUUGUUUGCUUGGAAAGAUGACUAAGUCACCCUUCACGAGUACAUGUGAAAGGGGCGAGGGUCUAUUGGACCUAAUACAUACCGAUGUAUGUGGACCGUUUAGAUCAACCACGAAGGAUGGGAACCGCUUCUAUGUGACUUUUACCGAUGACUAUAGUAGAUAUGGGUAUAUCUACUUAAUCAAGCAAAAGUCAGACACCUUUGAAAAGUUCAAAGAGUUCAAGAAUGAAGUGGAGAAUCAAUUGGGCAGGAAAAUCAAGAUGCUUCGAUCCGAUCGAGGAGGAGAGUACCUAAGUCUUGAAUUCCACGAUUAUCUCAAGGAGUGUGGAAUAGUUUCACAAUUGACGCCUCCUAGGACACCGCAGUUGAAUGGUGUGGCAGAAAGGCGUAAUCGAACCUUAUUGGAUAUGGUUCGCUCUAUGAUGAGUCGUGCUUCACUACCAAUCUCUUUUUGGGGGUAUGCCUUAGAGACUGCCGCCCAUAUCCUUAACCGAGUCCCUACUAAGAAGGUUGCCAAAACACCUCACGAGAUGUGGACAGGGAAAGCUCCCUCGUUGGCACAUAUCAAGGUUUGGGGUUGCGAGGCUUUCGUAAGACGAGAUACUCACGACAAGCUUGAACCUCGAAGUGAGCGAUGUAUUUUCAUCGGCUACCCGCAGACAUCCUUUGGAUAUCUCUUCUAUAGACCGAAGGACAAUGUUGUCUUCGUUGCGAGGAGAGGAGUUUUCCGAGAGCGAGAACUCAUAAGCCAAGGAGACAGUGGGAGGCAAAUCGAACUUGAAGAGAUUCAAGAGUCGAUAGAUGAAGGAACCUCUACCGCUGGCACUCAACCCGAGGAGGAAACUCCGGUUGAACCGAUUGACGAAUCCUUACCUCUUAGACGUUCCGAUAGAGUUAGAGUUCAUCCCCAGUUUUAUGGCUUUCAUAUUACUACCGAAGGGGACACGUAUAUUAGUGAUGGUACACUAGUAAAUCUUGAUGAACCUAAUAGCUAUAAGGAAGCCAUGGCAGGCCCGGAGUCUGCAAAAUGGAAAGAGGCAAUGGAUAGCGAGAUCCAAUCCAUGUAUGAUAACCAAGUUUGGAAUUUGGUUGAUUAUGUGCCCGGACGUAAGACCGUUGGGUGCAAAUGGAUCUUCAAGAAGAAGACCGACGUGGAUGGAAACGUACACACAUAUAAAGCGCGAUUGGUUGCGAAGGGCUUUACUCAAACUCCCGGAGUUGACUAUGAUGAGACCUUCUCACCAGUUGCGAAGAUUAAAUCUAUUAGAGUGAUGCUAGCUAUUGCCGCAUUUCAUGAUUAUGAGAUUUGGCAAAUGGAUGUCAAGACCGCUUUCCUUAACGGAAAGUUGGCUGAGGAUGUUUACAUGGCUCAGCCAGAGGGGUUUGUGGAUCCGAAGCAUCCGAAUAGAGUGUGUAAGCUUGAGAAGUCCAUUUAUGGACUUAAGCAAGCGUCUCGCAGAUGGAAUCUUUGCUUCGAUGAGAAAGUCAAAGAGUUUGGAUUUGUACGAAGCGAAGACGAAUCUUGUGUAUAUGUCAAAGCCAGUGGGAGUAUAGUAAGCUUCCUCGUUCUAUAUGUCGAUGACAUAUUACUCAUAGGAAACGACAUCCCGACUCUGCAGGAGGUUAAGUCCUGGCUCGGGAAGUGCUUCGCUAUGAAGGACCUCGGAGAGGCUUCUUACAUUUUGGGAAUAAGGAUAGUAAGAGAAAGAAGUAAGAGACUAAUUGGACUUAGUCAGAAUACUUACUUAGAGAAGGUACUAAAACGUUUUAGUAUGGAAAACUCAAAGAAGGGAGAACUACCGAUACAAAGUAAUGCCAAAUUGAGUAAGACUCAAAGUCCGAGUACCGAAGCUGAGAUAGCAGAAAUGAGCCGAGUACCAUACGCUUCCGCAGUUGGCUCAAUCAUGUACGCUAUGACUUGUACUCGCCCUGAUGUAGCCUUCGCUUUGAGCAUGGUUAGCAGAUAUCAAGGGAAUCCUGGCAAAGCACAUUGGAUUGCGGUGAAGAAUAUCCUUAAGUACCUUCGGAGGACGAAGGAAUGGUUCUUAGUCCUCGGAGGGAGUGAUGACUUGAAGGUGCGAGGGUAUAGUGACGCCAGUUUUCAGACCGACAGGGACAACUACCGUUCGCAGUCGGGCUGGGUCUUUACCCUAAAUGGAGGAGCAGUGACAUGGAAGAGUUCCAAGCAGGAAACCGUAGCUGAUUCAACGUGCGAAUCAGAGUACAUUGCAGCGAGCGAAGCGUCGAAGGAGGCAAUAUGGCUAAAGAACUUCAUCGGUGAUCUUGGAGUUGUACCUGCCAUAAAGGAGCCCAUGGAGAUUUUCUGUGAUAACGAAGGAGCGGUUGCCUUGACCAAGGAACCGAGGGAUCAUGGUAGAUCAAGACAUAUCGACAGAAAAUAUCACUUCAUUAGACAUCGUGUAGAAGAAGGACAACUCGUAGUGAAGAGGAUAUCAUCAGAAGAUAACCCAGCAGAUCCGCUUACGAAGGGACUGAGUAGGGUUAAGCACUUGCAGCAUGCUAGGAGUAUUGGGCUGAAGGAUGAUAUUAGCAUAGAUUAGAUAGUAUUAGAAACGUGUAAUAGAUAAAUGUAAUUAACAUUUGAUGAUUAAAUAAAGGAGUUUUAUUUAUGAGUAAUGUUACUAUCUUAUGUUAAUUGUUUAGCUAUUGUUUCACUUUGCAUGUUUUGACUUCCAGAAUAAUUGAGUUUAUUAGGAAUAAUCGAAUUGUUCAAAUGGUCCACAAUCGUUCAUAUGUUGGGAGUAGAUAUGAAUGAAGAUUGUCAUGAAUUGGUGUGUAGAAUGUCUAAAUGGUGUUAGACAUAGCAAAGGAUUGCUGCAACGUUCAUGAGUGCUUAUGAACUAGUUUUGAGCAUUGGAAUAAACCCGCGCUUGCUGGAAUCACCUUAUGGAAUACGAUAUAAAAGGUGAUCGCAAGACGAUAAUAUCAUAUAGUCUUAAAACCUAGAUAUAUGGUUUAUUAUUUGUUAAUUGAUUGUACAUUGAUAAUACGAAAACGCAUCAGUAACUUGGUGUUAUAAAACGUAUUGUUGUGUAUAGUUGGUAAAUGAAUAAGUAAAUGCAUAUAAGUCGAAGUUUAUCUGUAACUUUUAUCUAAGAAGGUAAAAGCGAUAUCUCGGCCGCUCGAUGAUUUGAUUUGACUUAUGUGCCGGGCCCGGUCAGAACUGAAUUGAUGUGUUCGAUUAAGUUCUAUGUCAAAUAAAUCAGAGAUCGAGAAACCUAAAUGCUUGACUAACCAUUCCAUAGGAUUGUCAGCAUGAUAUCUAACAGAGGACUGUACGUUCCCUUAUCUAAAGGACAAGAUUGAUUAGAUCAGAGUUGACAGCGUCUUUGAGAGCUACGAUUGCAAACCGAAUUGUACUUGUGCAUAUAGUUACUAGACUUAUCCAAGUGGGAGACUGUUGGAAUAGUGUCUAAGGCUGCAACUAUAUUAGGCAAGUAUUUGACCCGGUUGUGCAUGGUCCUUUUGGGUUGCCUUCACCAUAGCAACUUGAUAGGAUGAUUUAUUAAGAGAGAGUAAAUAUUAUUAAUAUAUUAUGAGAAUAAUAUAAAGAAUAAUAUAUUGUUAUUUGAUUAAUAUAAGUCAUAGAAUUAAUUGGAAUUAAUUUGGUGACUUAAAGAGAUUAAUUAAAUAAGAGGGUAUAAACUGUCAAUUGUUUGAUAGUUAAACUUUAGACUGUAAAUCCAUUGGGAUAUGCUUUGGACGAAUUCUAAGAGAUAUAGGAUAGCUAAAAUCGUCCAUAUGAGUUAUUAAGGAAUGGAUUUGGAUAGCCUUAAGAGAAGAUUAUCCAAUAGGGUUUAAAUUGUAACCCUUAAGGAGUCUACAAGUAUAAAUAGACCCUAUGGCUGAGGGAAUUCGACACUUCACCUAAAGUAGAGAACCUCUGGUCGAAUUCCAUCCCCUCUCCUCUCUCCCAAAUCAUCCUCCUUGCUUUUGGUGUUUGUAAGCCAUUAGAGGAGUGACAUUUGUGACUCUAGAAGCUCCAAGACAACAAGGUCAACAAGGAAUUCAAAGGUAUGAUUCUAGAUCUGUUUCAAUGUUGUUAUUUAGCCUAAAUAGUUAUUAGAAGUUUUGGAUUCAUAGCAUGUUUAAUUAGAAAGCCUAGAUCCAAGCGUUAGGGUUUUGCAUGCGCACAUAGGAAAGUUCUUAUGGCUAAAACCCAUCAAUGUAUCCCUAUGAGAUGCAUCAAGAUCUGCUGGACCGGUACCACCAAAGAGCUAGGAAAGAAAGGUACGAGAUCAUCACUUCGAUGAUCACUACCAAAAUGGGUAAUGGAGAGUCCUUUACUGCUCAUCUACAAAAGAUGUAGAGAUAUGUUGAUCGGCUGCUAAAGUUAAAUGUUAACUUUGAUGAAGAGCUGGCAAUCGACAUCAGCCUUCACUCCUUGUCUCCAUGCUACAACCAGUUCCACAUGACCUACCACAAGAAUAAGGAAGAGGUCACUUUGAGCAAGCUUCAAGGCUUGCUGAGGACUGCUGAGAGCAACCUCAAAGAUAAAUAUUUACAUUAACUCCUACUCCCACUGUUGCCCUAGUCUUGGCAAUUGGGAAAAGGAAGGGUAAGAAGAGGAAGGCUCCUUCAAAGAGCAACCGCAAGGGAAAGUCCCAAGAUGGUACAUCUUCUAGUGGAACCAAGGUUGGUUCUGCUAAACCCAACUCCAACCCCAAUGAGGCGGAGUGCCACUACUUCCAUGAAAUAGGGCAUUAGAAACGAAGCUACCCGAAGUAUCUGCAAGAUAUCAAGGAUGGAAAGAUCAAGCCAUCCUUCAUAGGUAUUUACACUAUUAAAUAUAAUGAUUCGUCACAUUCUAUUUCUUGGGUUCUUGAUAUAGGAUGUGGUUUUCACAUUUGUUCUGAUUUGCAGGGCCUAAGAAGAAAUAGGGAUGUGGAGCAUGGGAAUACAAACUUGAUCAUGAGAAACAGAAGAUCGACGCAUGUCACCAAGAUUGGAGUUUACUCUUUAGUGCUUAGUAAUGGAUUAGGCUUAGAUUUAAAUAAUUGUUGCUAUUCGACAGAUAUGGCAAGAAACAUCAUUUCUUUUCAUAGUUUAUAUAGGCAAGGAUUUAGAUAUUCAUUUGAUAAUGAAAAGGGUUCUAUUAAUGCUUAUAUUAAUGGUGUUUUCUAUUUUGAAGCAUUGCCUUGUAAUGGAAUAUAUAAAACUGUGAUGAUUGUAGAUAAUUUAGGAAAUGAUAUGUUGUGUAUCGAUUCUUCCAAUAGUUUGGAUAAAGCAUGAUUGUGGCGUUGUCGUCUUGGACAUGUCAACAAGAAACGCAUAGCCCAACUCCAAAAGGAUGGAGUGUUGGAGUCAUUUGACCUUGAGGAUGAUAACGUGUGCGAAUCUUGUUUAUUUGGAAAGAUGACAAAGUCACCCUUCACUAGCACUUGUGAAAGGGUGAGGGUUUAUUGGAUCUCAUACACACCGAUGUGUGUGGGCCCUUUAGAUCCACCACAAGGGAUGCGAACCGCUUCUAUGUGACUUUCACCAAUGAUUAUAGCAGAUAUGGGUAUAUCUACUUAAUCAAGCCCAAGUCAGAAACCUUUGAAAAGUUCAAAGAGUUUAAACAAGAAGUGGAGAAUCAGUUGCGCAGGAAAAUGAAGAUGCUUCGAUCCGAUUGAGGUGGAGAGUACCUAAGUCAUGAAUUCCACAAGUACCUCAAGGAAUGCGGAAUCGUUUCGCAAUUGACGCCACCUAGGACACCGCAGUUGAAUGGUGUGGCUGAGAGGAGUAAUCGAACAUUGAUAGGCAUGGUUUGUCCCAUGAUGAUUCGUGCUUCACUACCUAUCUUAUUCUGGGGGUAUGCCUUAGAGAUUGCCGCCCAUAUCCUUAACCUAGUCCCGACCAAGAAGGUUGCCAAAACACCUCACGAGAUGUGGACAUAGAAAGCUCCCUCGUUGUCACAUAUCAAGGUUUGGGGUUGCGAAGCUUUCGUAAGACGAGAGACUCACGACAAGCUCGAACCUCGUAGUGAGCGGUGUAUUUUCAUCGGCUACCCGCAAAAGUCUUUUGGAUAUCUCUUCUAUAGACCGAGUGACAAUGUUGUCUUCGUUGCAAGGAGAGGGGUUUUCCGCGAGCGAGAUAUCAUAAGCCAAGGGAGAGUGGGAGGCAAAUCGAUCUUGAAGAGAUUCAAGAGUCGAGUGAUGAAGGAACCUCUAAUGCUGGCGCUCAACCCCAGGAGGAAACUCUAAUUGAACCGAUUGACGAGUCCUUACCUCUUAAACGUUUUGAAAGAGUUAGAGUUCAACCCCAGUUUUACAUUUUUCAUAUUACUACAGAAGGGGAUACGUUCAUUAGUGAUAGUACACUAGUGAAUUUGGAUGAACCUAACAGCUGUAAGGAAGCCAUGGCAGGCCCAGAGUCUGCGAAGUGGAAAGAGGCGAUGGACAGCGAGAUUCAGUCCAUGUAUGAUAACCAAGUUUGGAGCUUGGUUGAUAACAUGCCAGGUCGUAAGACGGUCGGGUGCAAGUGGAUCUUCAAGAAGAAGAUCAACAUGGAUGUGAACGUACACACUUAUAAGGCGCGAUUGGUUGCGAAGGGCUUUACUCAAACUCUCGGAGUUGACUAUGAUGUGACCUUCUCACCAGUUACGAAAAUAAAGUCUAUUAGGGUGAUGUUGGCCAUUGCUACAUUUCAUGACUAUGAGAUAUGGAAAAUGGAUGUCAAAACCACUUUCCUUAACGAAAAGUUGUUUGAGGAUGGUUACAUGAAUCAGCCAGAGGGUCUUGUCAAUGUGAAGCAUCUCAAUAGAGUGUGUAAGCUUGAGAAUUCCAUUUAUAGACUAAAAUAAGCGUCUUGCAGAUGCAAUCUUUGUUUCGAUGAGAAAGUCAAAGAGUUUGGUUUUCUGUGAAGCGAUGAUGAAUCAUGUAUAUAUGUCAAAGCCAGUGGGAGUAUAGUAAGCUUCCUCGUAUUGUAUGUCGAUGACAUACUACCCAUAGGAAACAAAAUCCCGACGUUGUAGGAAGUCAAGUCCUGGCUUGGGAAGUGUUCCGCUAUGAAGGACCUUAGAGAGACUGCUUAUAUAUUGGGAAUAAGGAUAGUGAGGAACAGGAGUAAAAUACUAAUAGGACUUAGUCAGAAUACUUACUUGGAUAAGGUACUAAAAUGUUUUAGUAUUGAGAAUUCCAAGAAGGGGGAGUUACCAAUCCAAAGUAAUGCUAAGUUGAGUAAGACUCAAAGUCCGAGUACCGAAGUCGGGAUAGCAAAGAUGAGCCGGGUACCAUACGCUUCCGUAGUUGGCACAAUCAUGUAUGUGAUGACUUGUAAUCGCCCUGAUGUGGUCUUCACUUUGAGCAUGGUCAUCAGAUAUCAAGGGAACCUUGGCAAAGCACAUUGGACCACAGUCAAGAAUAUUCUUAAGUACCUAUGGAGGACCAAGAAAUGGUUUCUAGUCCUCGGUGGGAGUGAUGACUUAAAGGUGCAAGGGUACAAUGAUGCCAGUUUUCAUACUGAUAGAGACAACUAUCGUUCUCAGUCAAGCAGGGUCUUUACCCUGAAUGGAGGAGCAGUGACUUGGAAAACUUCCACGCACAAGAUCGUAGCUGAUUCAACGUGCGAAUCAGAGUACAUUGCGAUGAGCGAAGUGUCAAAGGAGGAAAUAUGGUUGAAGAACUUCAUUGGAGACCUUGGAGUUGUGACAACCAUAUAGGAGCCUAUGGAAAUUUUCUGUGAUAACAAAGGUGCAGUUGCCUUGACCAAUGAACCAAGGGAUCAUGGCAGAUCCAGGCAUAUCGACAGGAAAUACCAUUUCAUUAGACAUCGUGUAGAAGAAGGACUCCUCGUAGUAAAGAUGAUAUCGUCGGAGGAUAACCCAUCAGAUCCGCUUAUGAAGGGACUGAGUAGGGUUAAGCACUUGUAGCACGCUAGGAGCAUUGGGCUGAAGGAUGAUAUUAGUUUAGAUUAGAUAGUUAGAAACGUGUAAUAGAUAAAUUGUAGUUAACAUUUGAUGAUUAAAUAAAUGGGUAUUAUUUAUGAGUAAAGUUAUUGUCUUAUGUUAAUUAUUUACCUAUUGUUACAUUUUUGCAUGUUUUGGCUUCCUGAAUAAUAAGAUUAUUCGAACGUUCCACAGUCGCUCAUACUUUGGGAGAAGGUAUGAAAGAAGAUUGCCGUGAAUUGGUGUAUAGAUUGUCUAAAGUGUAUUAGACAUAGCAAAAGUUUGCUACAACGUUCAUGAGUACUUAUGAAUUUGAUUUAAGCAUUGGAAUAAACCCACGCUUGCUGGAAUCACUUCAUGGAAUUUAUCACGAGUGAUUGCAAGACGAUAAUAUCAUAUGGUCUUAAAACCUAGAUAUAUGGUUUAUUGUUUGCUAAUUGGUUGUGCAUUGAUAAUGCGUAAACGGAUCAGUAACUUGAUGUUAUAAAAACGCAUUGUUGUGUAUGAUUUGAUUAGUGAAUAAUAAAUGCAUAUAAGUCGAAGUUUAUUUGUUCCUUUUAUCCUAAGAGGGUAAAAGCGAUAUCUGGGACCCUCGACGAUUUGGUUUGACUUAUGUGACGGGCCGGUCAGGACUGAGUUGAUGUGUUCAAUUAAUUUCUAUGUCAGACGAAUCAGAUAUCGAGAAACAAACUGUAGGACAAUAAGUAUGACUAUGUUCCAUGUAAUUGUCUGCACGAUAUCUAGAACGGAGGACUGUAUGAUCAUUUAUCUAAAGGAUAGGUUAUUGAUAAGUUCAGCGUUCGACAGCGUCUUUGAGAUAGUUGGAUUUGUGUCUAAGCCCGUAACUAUAUUUGGUAAGUACUUGACCCGGUUGUGCAUGGUCCUUUUGGGUUGCCUUUACCAAAGCAACUUGACAGGGUGAUUUAUGAAGAGAGAGGUUAUUAUGGUUUAUUAAUAUAUUAUGAGAAUAAUAUAUUAAAAGAGAAAUCAUAUAGCCUAAUUAAUAUUAGACAAUAAUUAAUUAAGAAUUAAUUACGUGGCCAAAAGAGAUUAAUUAAAUAAAGGGGACUGGAACUGUCAAUUGCAUGAUAGUUGGUUAUUGGGUUGUGAACCUUCUUGGAUAUAGGGGGCGAAAUUAGGAGUGUAAACCCACUCUAAUUUUGUCUAAGGGGCCUUGUUCCAGAAUGUUCUCAAGCUGCUUAGGGCCUAAGUCAUCCAUUUAGGGUUUUAACUGAAACCCUAGCAGCUCAGCUAUAAAUAGGACCCCAGGGCUUCAGUUUCGGCUACACCAAGAAACCUUAAGGUUACUAUAGCCAAAAUUUAGCUUUCUCCCCUCUCUCCAAUACCAUCAUCUUGCUUGUGGUGUAUGUAAGCCAUUAGAGGAGUGACACUAGUGACUCUAAGCUCCAAGACAAGAAGAUUCAAGCUAUUGUUGAAGAGGUAAUCAUCUAGAUCUGUUUUAAUAUGAUAUUUUCGAAAUAUGUAUGCUAGAUCUAGGGUUAUUAAGUCUUGGAUGAAUUACAUGUACAAUAGAGAAACCUAGAUCCAAGCUUUAGGGUUUGCAUGAGCACGUGGGAUGUUUUUUUGUAUUAAACCCAUCAGACUAUGCAUGUGAGUUCCAUGAUUUCUCAUUUGAUUACAUAAGGCAAAGCACCUUGAUCAAUGAAAGUACAUUGAUCUGUAUGGGUGAGAUGCUCAAUGACCUGGAAGCACUGGUAGGCCUCUUGUGCUACAAGAUGGCAAGAAAUUAAGAUUAAGCUAGUUCAGUCCAUGUGAGUUUGGAUUUGUCAUAAACUUUGUCUUUAUGAUAGUGGUUGGAAAGAAUAAAUUCACAUGGAUAGGAACACAUACACCAUAAAAUCUAAGUGGAAAAAGGUUUCUCUCUACUUCAUGAAAAUGAUUGUGAGGAAACACUUUCACUAGUAGAUUUUAAAGGAUUAGAGUUACCAGUUGUGACAAUUGCGUUCUCAAAUUUGAGUAUGAUUGUAACAUCCCAACUAGACCUGGCAAUUCGUGUAUUCGUGUCAUGAAAACAUGUCAGCCACAAAUUUGACACGAUACGAUUACACGAUGAGAAAUAAGCUUUAUCUCAAUUUUUAAGAUGUAUUCGUGUCGUGUAUUCGUGUCGUGUCGUGUCUCUCACAGAUUCGUGUCUUCGUGUUUGAAAUUGCCAGGUCUAAUCCCAACUCUCAGGUAUUAUAUUUAUAUACUUAUUUUGGGAUUGAAUGUGUGAAUUGACGAGUUGUGUGCCCGACUCGUCGAGUAGAGUCGGAUUGGUCAUGUGGGUUUAAUGACCAACUCGAUGAGUCUGAGAGCCGACUCGCCGAGUAAGCGUGUUGGCACUGUGUGAGGAAACACUAAAUCAUCAGGUUUGUGUCCUAUUUAAAGGACCUUAAGCCCUCAUUUCUGCCUCCCUCAUCACCCUUGAGCCCUGUGAAGAACCCUAAUUGAAUUUUAGCUUGUUGUGUGAGAAGGAGAGACUAUCUUGAGCAUUUUGGUGCACUUUCAGAGAAGUAGAGGAAAGCAUCAAGGCUUAGAGAAAGGAGGGACGUUUGGUUCUAGAGGUUCUCAAUGGAUAGCUUCUAUUUGAGGUAAAAAGAUGCUAUCUUGAACAUUUUUUUUGUGAGAUCUUAGUAUGAGGAGUUCUAGGGCUUUUCCCCAUCCUUCCUAUGUUAUUGAGUCCCUUGAGCAGAUCUUGAGGUAGAAACCUCAGAUCUGGAUUGUACGAGGUCUUGGGAGCCCAUAGACCCAAGCUUUAUGGAGCUAGAGGCAAGCCUAUGAGCACCAAACCCUUGUUGGAGAUUGUAUUGGCAUUAUGGAGCAAAUAUGCCAUGCAUGAAUGUAAAGAUCGAAGCUUUAGGUGACAUUCGAGCCUUGGGAAACUAGAUCUAGAGUUUGGAGUGGUAGAUCUGCCUUAAAACGUCUAAAUGAGAAUACAUAUUGAAUGGACUCGCUGAGUCAAUGACCUGAUUCGACGAGUCGGCUAGGGUUUCCCCCGAUGAGUCUGGAUGUAACACAUGUCCCAAAUAUUACUUAAUUUAUUUAAAGUUUAGGGUGUUGGUGUGUGUGGACUCGGCUAGUUGGGAGUCUAACUCGUCUAGUAGAGGUCAUUUCAAGGACGCGGGAUCUACACUCUACUCGACGAGUCGGAAGGCCGACUCGGCGAGUAGGCACUGUAAUGAUAAAACCCUAAUUGUAGGGUUUGACCCUAUAUAAUCUUCUUAAGGGCCUUGAGGCUGACCUCCCAUCAGCCUCCAAACCCUAAGAAUGUAUGUGCUAACCUUAUUGCCACUUUCUUCCAUUUUGUGAGGUAGUGUGGUUUUGUAGCAUAAGAAAAAGGAGAUAGUGUGAAGAUCCAGCAAACCAAGCACCCAUCCUUGAGCUUGACCUUCUUGUGGACUAUUGUAAGUUUUUAAGACUCGAUUUUUAUCACAGAUUAUGGCUAGAUCUUGAGAAUGCUCUUAAUUUCCUACCCUUUUUGUUAAUUGUAUGCAUGGGGUUCAUAAAGUUUGCAACUUUAUGAAUCUCCAGGGCAAAAUGGUCCCAAGGUGGGCUAGAUCUGGCCUUUGGUUGAGUAAAGAUACCAUGCAAGGGUUUUAGGGCAUAUUUCCCUCUUUUUGGCCAUUUUGACCUAGGGACAUGCAUGUCCAUAAAGCCUCCACCUUUGGAACAUUUAGAGGACUAGAAACCUUUCUAGAAAGGAGGGAUUUUAUAUCCCUAGAGUUUUGGACCAUAUGGAAAAGCUUUGGAGCUUUACAACCUUUACUAAGGACCUUAGAGCAUUUGGAAUGGUCCUAGAAGACAAAGUUGGAAACUUUAUGCUUCUAGGCACCUUAGGGCUUCAGAUCUAAGCCCUGGAAUCCCUGUAUUAGGUGUAUAAUCACAACAAGCAAACAGGAAGGGGGACUCGGCGAGUUCCCCUAGCAACUCGACAAGUUGGGUUGGGUUUCCUCGUUUUUUGUAUAUCAAGCGAACUCGGCGAGUUGAUGAAAAAACUCGGCGAGUUGGCUAGGGUUCGAUCAGGUCUUCUGAACUCGGAAGGAACUCAAUAAGUCACUAGUUGCACUCGACGAGUUGGAGUCAACAUGGACCAUUGAUUUUGACUGAUGCCCUUGGUUUUGACCAAGGUUGACCACGGUUGACUUUGGAAGCAAUUUUGGGUUUAUGACAAGUCUAUCUUAUGAUGCUUACAGGCAGUUGAGUUGGAGCAACAUGUGUACAUAUUUAGUUCUAGCAUUGUCAGUUCAGCAUUCAAUAGAGGUGAGUCUUCUCACCAUACUAAUGGGUCUAAGACACUAAGGCCGACCCAUUUUAUGAUAUAUAGUACACUAUCUGGAGUAGAGAUCUAUAGUAUGAUAGUUAGCUUUGUGAUAAGUUGUAUGUUAGUGAUUAUGUGAUUCUUGCAUGAAAGACCAUGGGGGAGCCCAUGGCACUUGGAUGUAAGACCAUGUGGGGGAGCCCAUGGCUAUCUAGUAAGGAAAGACAAUGGGGGAGCCCAUGGCACUUAGGUAUAAGACCAUGUGGGGGAGCCCAUGGCAUCCUUAUGCAGGGAUAUGUAGUAGAGAUAACUUUUAUAGCUAAUGUUAUAUGGUAGAGAUAGCUUUAUGGCUAAUAUGAUAUGUUAUAUGGUAGAGAUAGCUUUCAUAGCUAAUAUGAUAUGUGUUAUGUGGCUUAUGUGUGUGGGGUAUGCUCUAGGGGGACUCACUAAGCAUUAGCUUACAGUUGUAAAUUUGUUUCAGGUACUUCUGAGCCCAAGGGCAAGAGCAAGGGCAAGGCGUGAUGGCACGACGUGCACUCUCUCACCGAUAUUUUGUGGGACACUCUGAUAGUUUUAAAUAAAGAUUUAAUGAAUGUGGAUUUGAAAACAAUUAUGUUGGGAUUUCAUGAUUUAUGGAAAUGUGUUUGAUUAAUUAAAAAUAAAAAUUUUCUUUUAAAAUUUGGGUUGUUACACUUAACAUGGGUAACUCCGCGAGUUGAUGAGACAUCUCGACGAGUUAAGUUGGGUUUUCACGACAUUUCUGAGGAAGUGAGGGGACUCGGCGAGUCACAUAGAUGCACUCGGCGAGUGUCACACCCCCGAACCAGACGGCGGAAACGUCCGAGGGCUGUUGUGACUCAAUUGAAUACCAUUACAUUGAAUAUACAUGAAACAUAACAUCAUUCAUCACCAUGCAUUGAGAUAGUACAACUGGUAGUGUUUACAUUUAGUACAUUGUUUUAAACAUUACAUUCUCAAAAGUAAAUUGUUCGAUAAUAGUUAAACAACAACAAGACAUCACUGAGUGCAUUUUUCCCCUCUGUUUACCUGUUACCUGAGAAUACAAGUAUUUUGAAAAACGUCAACAUAUGAAAUGUUGGUGAGUUCAUAAGCAGUGUUUGAAAAAUAAUGUUUGUUAUUGUUUUGAAAACCACCAGAAAAUCCGAUAUUUUCUGAAAAGAGUAUCGUAAAAAAAGUGUGAAGAUCCGUAAGUAUGCUUGUUUGUUUCUAUAAAUGUAAAAAGAAUUUUUGUUAUACUUGGUGUGCAUCUCGUAGUUGUAUGUAUUGAAAAACCCUAGGAAAACCCGAUGUUUUCCUAAUACUUUGAUUUACGCUUUCCGUAUAGUUGUUGUACCAUUGCGGCAUGUGAAGUCAUUGAUUCCAGGUGACAUUGAAUUAAAUGUGUAUUGUGAAUUGUUAUAAACACGCGUUAACAAAAACGACUAGUUUACAACUAUACUAACGAUCCCUUAGGCAUCGUCCGUACUAUUCACUUAAUCCAAACACCCUGACUUCUCGUAGCCCCACAACCGAGGAGAAAAGAGGGCACGAAGACCUCAAUAAUUCCAUUAGUCGUUCAAGGCUAUAGUGAAUGCGAAGGGCCCUUGGCCCGACCCGCAUUUUGAGAAUUCUCGACUUUACUAGCAGUACCAAUGGACCCUUGGGGCCCAAUAGUAUAAAAGCCAUUGAAAGUCCUUUUACACAGAGUUAGGUCAUGUAAGACCCAACAACAUGUAAGUAAGUUGUCUUCGGGCCUAAAGAUCAGGUCAUUGGGCUAGCUAGGCCCAACAAGCAAGAUUUGACACUUUUGGGCCCAAAGAUGGUGUAUCGACGUCUGUGUAUUCUCACGUAUGUGUUGACUUCCUGAAAUUUCCGCGUGUGUAUUGAAUAUCGUCGUGUUAGUAGUUUCGGAUUCGUUAUUGAUUCGAGACCGAAUCAAUUCGUUUGGCAACGAUUUUGGUGUUGAUGGUGUAUUAAGUUUUGUCGAUAGUCGCAGUACCAGCAUUUUCUCUCAACGGAUUUAUUGUUUAAAACUUUGGAGUUUUUCUGUUUGCAGCCCCUUUCUUAGAUAAGUUUACACUUUUAACCCUUUUGAAUAAAAGAAUUUCCGAUUAAGUCCUUAAACCCUUUUUCUUGACAUUUUAGUAUCAAAACAUGUUGAAAAUGAUAUUUUUUUCAGCUCAUAUUUAUUUGAAAACAGUUUUAGUCCCUCAAAAUGUAAUUUUUUUUCUCGGCUGAAACCUCAUUUUUCGCAAUUUUUACACUUUUGGCCCAAAAUAGAAAUUUUUUGCAUCUUUGGUCCUUUUUAAAUAUGAAAAGUAUUUUUAACCCUUGAAAUGGACUUGGAGCACUAAUAGUCCCAUGUUUUACAGAAAAGUACAGUUUCAGCCCUUCAAACUUGAAAAUCUCGCAUAUUGGGCUUUAUUGGGCCGAAAAUUCACUUUUGGCCCAUUAUGCUUAAAAUUUUACAUUUUAAUCCCUCAAAAGAAUAUAUUUCCAGAAAAUACAUUAUUGAAACUGUUUUGACUCAUUUCAACCAUCAGAAUUUGUAUUUUGUCAUUUUGGGCCCUUUAACUUUAUAUUUUUAACAUUUUGAGUCCAAAAAUGGGUUUUUAGCCCAAAGAAGUUCAUAUUAACCAACUUGGUUAUUUUUCUAGAAAUGAUUUGAAUGUAGUAAUAUAAUUUAUGCUAGAAUCAUAUAACCUAAUGUAAAUCUCGGUUUUAAGGACUUUUUGACUAGAUCCAACAUCAUAUUCACACAAAAACACAAAUAUAAACAUAGAAAUCACACAAGGCAUACAUAUACAAAUAGAUCUACACAUUUGCUUGUAUUCUCCCCCUACAAAACUUAUAAAACCGAAAAAUAGGGGGUAUGAAGCUCACCUUUGGGUGUGGUUUCGGUUUUGGAGAAGAGAUGGAAAGAAAUGAGGUGAUUUUCGGCCCUAGCAACCUUUCCUUGAAGAUCUCAAGUUUAGAGAGUUUCUAAGAGAGUGAUCAAGAUUUUUACAUGAAUUAGAAGAAGAUUUUGAUAAAACAAAGUACCAAAAAUCAUGGAUCCUAGCUUGAUCUUACCUUAAGUGGAGAAUUUGUGGAGAUAUCUUCUUGAAAGCUCCUUAAAAUCUCGAAAUUUAGGAGGGGAAUUGAGAGAGUUUCUUGAGAGAAAAGAUGAGUGAAAUGUGUGUGUGUGCUUGAAAUCGGCCGAAACAAGAAGGGAGAGAAAGAAAUAGAUCUUGAAGUGAUAUGUGUAUGGAAGUAUGAGAUAAGAUGCAUGGAAAACCAACAUGUAAAAAAGAGGUGGCUACGAAAGUCAACUCUUCCCCAUGGAUUGGGCUUGGGCCGAGAAUGGAGAGGGGAGACAGAGGAUUUUUGGGCUUUUUGCCCCUAAGCCCAUAUUAGGGUUAGGUUGAAUGAUUGUUGGCCUUAUAAAAUAUAAGUGUGAUUUUUAUGCUUUAUUAGGCUAGAUUAGGUUAAUUAUGGUUCAUAAUAGUUCAUAUAAUUGAUUUAUUUCAUUCUCGGCCCAAUAUGGCCCAAAAUGUUGAAAUAAAUGAAAGUGGGUCCACUUAGAGCCCAUUUAAAGGUUCUAAGCCCAAGAUAGUCAAGUUGGAAGCUUAUUGGCCCAUUGGGCCCAAUAAGGAAGUCCUAGUCCAAAAUGGACCAACACAAGAACUUCUAGGGUUUCCAAUUACUUGUUGACUAUUUGAAAUGCUUGUAUGGUGUACUUGAUUGAAAUUUUGUUGCCAUGAAGUAAGCAUCUUACAUGCUCUUAAGUUUUUGAUUCAAAAUUUUACUUGAGUGUUGUGAUUACAAGGCACAAAAUUUCUAGUUGUGACAGCGAGUCAGGUCAACAUGGAUUGUUGACUCAAGUGUUGACUUCUGUUGACUUUAGGGUUUGGUCAAGGCAGGGAUUAUGGGGACCAUGGAGGGGUAAAAUGGUCUUUUACCCAUUCCAAGAGUUUGAAAGAGAAUAACUUAGUUUAUUUAGAUUCGUGAUUUAAAUGCUAAUUAGAGAUAAUUAUCUUAUGUGUUAUGCGGAGGCUAGUUCGAGAUUCGUGUACGAGAUUAUUUACUUGCUUGCUUACGAGGUGAGUCUUCUCACUAUACUUUACCUAGAGUGGUAAUAUGUGUGUGACCGGAGGGUCUUAUGUGCUUAUGUUGAGUAUUGUGAUAUCCUGCAUUACAUCUUUGUGUUGUGUUAUUUUGAGCUUACUGAGUUAGGACCAGAGGGUCCACCCGAGUUGUGGGACCGGAGGGUCCAACUGAGAUACAUUGAACGGAGGUCUUAUUUGAGCAUAGCCAUGAGAGGCUAAUGAGAUAUGUGUGGUAUUUUGAGGAGCUCGCUAAGCUCCGUGCUUAUUGUGUUAUGUGUUAUGCGUUUCAGGUACUUCUCAGGAUCAUGGGAAGGCGUCGACUUGAUUGUACACACACGAGUUGGAGAUAUGUUUCGGAGGAUCCUAGAAUGUGUUAUGAAAAACUUUUAAACAUGUGUUUCGAUAACUUGAUAAUUAUGGGGAUUUUUGUUAAUUUGCCAAUGAGAUUAAUGUGAUUUUAAAUGAAAGAUUUGUUGAAAAUUUACGGUGUUACAAGUUGGUAUCAAAGCCUUGGUUUGAGGGAUUCGGAUGUACCUUCGGGCGUGUCUAGACUCAAACCGAGGAUUUGAGAAAAAAAUUUAAAAGAAAUGAUUUUUCUAAAAACAAGAAAGAGUUUAAAGAGAAAAACAAGUUGGAGCAGUGUGUACAAUCAGCGAGAGCCCAAACGGUGAUUUCCAAAAAUACCCUUACUUAUUUGUGUUAUGAGGUAUUUAUGAGAUAUUAGGGAUGCAUGCUAGAGGAUAGGCUAGGUAUUUCAUAUUUAGGGCUAGAGUUGUUUGAUUUGUGAUGCCUUAGCCUAGGAGUUGUUGCCAUCUAUUAUUUGCCUUGAGUAUGUGUUGAGUAGGAGUAUUUAGCAGGAAACCCUUAGAGAGAGUUCUAAGUUGGGGGAUAAUCUAGGAGAGAUACCUAGAUGAGCAUACGAGGGGUCUACUGAGGGAGUAGUAUGUUAUUCAUGAGAGAUAGAGUACUUGUGAAUUGGGUUCCUAGGAGAAGGACUUGGAGAGACUACAAGUUGGUGUGGAAGGUAGUCUUAGGCCCGUACUACUGAAAGCACCGGAUCUGUAUACAACCCAAGUAAGAAUCCUUAGGAUGCUAAGGAAUGGGUGAUCGAGUGUGAUUAUGCUCGAGUGACUCUUUAAUGAUUUUGUGUUGUGUUUCAGAGACAUCAUGGUGGGUACCUGCUACAACCCCGAGAGAAGUGGGACUAGUGAUGAUGAGAUUCACAGGAUGAUUCAUGAAGAGGUGGCCGCAACCAUUCGAGAGGUGAUACCUAAGAUGUUUGGGUCUAUUAAGACCACACUGAUUGAGACAUUUGAGGAGCGAUAUGUUGUUGUUACUAAGGCGGCUGUUGCUGCAGCCACCACAGAUGUCGUCGCUGCCAGGCCAUAAGGAGGUGACUUGUUGUUCUUUUGAGAGUUCAGCAAUAUGAAGCCACACGAGUUUGAAGGGACACUGGAUCAGAUUGCUACUAUGAGAUGGAUCACUGAUAUCGAGGGGUGUUUUUAUACGUGUUCAUGCCCUGAUCAUUUGAGAUUUCGGUUUGCGCUAAACCAGCUUUGCUCGGGGGGGCGAAGGACUGGUGGAAGUUUGUGACUACCAGUUUUACUCCUGCAGACCAUGCUGCAGUGACGUGGGAGAGGUUCACUCAGUUGUUCUGAGAUGAUUAUGUUCCCCCAGUGGAGAGCGAAUGUUUGGCAUAGGAGUCUCUGUCUCUCAAGUAGAAGACAGAGUCGGUGACUGAGAUUAUGAGGAUGUUCCACGAGAGGGCGUUGUUCUGCCCUGAACAUGUGUCCACUGAGCAGACAUGUGUGAGCCGAUAUCUAAGCAUACUGAGGAGGGAUAUAUAGGAGUUCAUGGCGAACUUAUCAUACCAUAAAUUGGCUGAGCUUCAAACCAAUGCCAGUGUAACGACCAAAAAUUUCAACCAAAUUAAAACAUUUUAUUUCAUUCAAAAACCAUUACGUUCGUACAUCUUGUUUUCAAAAUAAUUUAAACAUCAGAGUAUUUCCCCAGAACCAUAUCACAUAAAUCAUAAAACAUGAGGAGCGGUACAAUCACGCCUUCGCCUUGCCACGAUCUCCUGAAGAACCUGAAACAAUAAACCACAACUGUAAGCCCGAAAGCUUAGUGAGUUCCCCCAAAGAACCCAUACACACAUAAACGUAGGCAUACAACAAAGAACAACAUACUACGGGUCCAAACAACCUUCCGGUUGAAAUACCCCUGGCCCUCAACCAUCGGGUUGGAAUGCCAACGUGCUACGAGCCCAAUCAUCCUACUGGGAUGGGAUACUCUCGGCCCACAACCAUCAGGUUGGAAUGCCCAUACACCUAUACGUACAACAACUACUAUGGGUCCAAUCAUCCCUCAGGAUGGAAUACCGCAGGCCCCUCAACCAUCGCGUUGGAAUGCCAACAUACUAUGAGUCUGAUCAUCCUACCGGGAUAGAAUACUCCUGGCCCACAACCAUCAGGUUGGAAUGCCCCACUUCCUAAACAUACAGUAACUAAUACUACUAUGGGUCUAAUCAUCCCUCGGGAUGGAAUACCCCAGGCCCCUCAACCAUCGGGUUGGAAUGCCAUACUACUAUGACUCCAAUCAUCCUACCUGGAUGGAAUACUCCUGGACCACAACCAUCGGGUUGGAAUGCCAAACUACUAUGAGUCCAAUUAUCCUACCUGGAUGGAAUACUCCUGGCCCACAACCAUCGAGUUGGUAUGCCAAUCUACACUAGCAAACAUGCACACAUAAAAGGCAACCACACAACACUUUAUAGAACCAACAUACUAGGGCCCUAUCAUCCUACCGGGAUGGAAUACCCUCUGCUACUGCUCAACAUACAUAACCCGCAGGUAACCUCCUACCAGCAUACAUAAGGCAAGACCAACUACAGGUCUAUUCUCAUAACUGCUACCCAAGUACUAGGGUGCUGAUCCAACAGAACUAGCCAUCUAUUAACUAUCCAUUCCUCUAGGAUACUAAGUUAACAAGGCAUAUCCUCAUAUCAUCAUCCUAUAUACCAGGAUACUAGCAAGCAUAACAUCACACAUCAUAACAAGCUCUAAACAACAAUUCAAAGGGCCGGCCUUGGUGCCUUAGACCCUUGAGUACAGUGAGGAUAACUCACCUUGCAACUGCCGAAAUCCUACAAAUUUCUGACUGCUGACUCACCGGAAAUCCCAACUAUCACAUGCAAACAUUACAUUAGAAUCCAAAAUGACUUUCUAGGCCAAAUGCCCACAACACCCGUUAAGUCCAUUAUCCUCUUAUUGGGCCAAGACUCAAAACCAAAUCCUCAUGCAAAGCCCAAUAAUGUCCAUAAUAAUUAUUGGGUCCAAUUUACUCCAUCUAUAUUGUUCAGUCAUGGCCCAAGCCCACUAGUCCAUAAACAGCCCAAUUACUCGAGGCCCAAAAUUGAAAACCCAACAGAGGGAGUACGCUGGGCGUACUCCUCUGGUACGUGGGGCGUACUCUCGCCUGCACCGAAACAUCCUUCCAUGAGCUUAAUGGCUUAAGCACUUAAGCCCAUAUGCUAGAUCCAGUGACAAAAAGGGCCUAGGACUCAUAAAGUCUAAAUCUUUAUCCUUUUGGACGUCCGUAAAGCUCUUAACUCAAGGUCUUAACCCAUUAAGACCUUCCUAGUUCUUACAUGGGACAACCAAAGCCAUUGGGACCUCAUUUUUCUUACUCAAGACCUCUCCAUUGGUCUGAAAGGACAGCUCAUCUUAACCAAAACACAUCAUGCAUUAUGAUGGGCUUUUGGGACAAGAAAUGGUGUCAAAACUUCACCACACUUAGAUCUACACAAAAUAGAUGUCAAGCAAGAAGCUUUAUACCUUCAAGUGGUUGCAAAGGGUGAUGCUUUCUCGGAUCUACAAGCUCCAGCCACCAAGUUUCCUUCUUUCCAACCUCUUCUUUCUUCCUCUAAGCUUUUCUUUGCCAAGCUAAGCUCCACAAGGCCAACACAUCCAACAAUGGAGAUGGAACGGCUAUCUAGGGUUUUUCUGAGGAUAAGGGAAUAGAUAAGGAGGCUAGGGUUGAUCCCUUAUGUUCUUUAAAUAGUGGUUGGCCCCAAAAUUAGGGUUUUAAGACUCUGAGCGUACGCUGGGCGUAACUCUAGUACGUUGGGUGUACGUUUCCUUGCACCCGUGGCCAUUCUUUCUGCUACGUUGGGCAUACCCAUGCGUGUCCCAAAGGCGUGCAUGGCCUUCCUUGACAACUUUUUCCAUUAAGUGCCAUAAAUGUCAAUAUCUUCAAAGUGUCAUAACUCCUUUAUUCCAAGUCCGUUUCCGACGAACUUUAUAUCCACGAAAAGGUGGCGAGAAGCCCUACGCUUCUAGCUACACACCCCGACCCAAAACCUUCUCGAAUAAAACCCAUUGCCCAUAAAAGACCGAAACACCCUUACUCUUGAUCUCGGGGAUCCAUGAAUAAUUACUCUUAGAACAGGGUGUUACAAUUCUCCCCCACUUAAAUAUGAUUUCUCCCUCGAAAUCGCCAAUUGCCAACUCUGGCUACCCAAACUUCUGAAAGGCACAUUCACGCCCCUAAAACGUGACGACCACUAAGGGAGGCCAGCCCCACUAGCACUCCUCCUCGAAGGGAUACCUACUCCUUCUCAUGCAGACUCGAAUACCUACCUCUCUGGAUGACCCUGAACCUAGAAAGUUAGAUUGGAUCUGUCUCCCAGACAGGCUAUCCAAACUAACCAUCCCCUGACCUCUUCCUAUUGCUAUAAAAAGGGACUACUCCACUGUGGGAACCUGAAUUCCCAACCUGAAAACAAGACCACGAGUCAUACUCUGCUAUCGGCCACACUUGCUCUCUCUUUAACUCAUACCCAAAUGUACAUACAACAAUACCCUUACCAAAACCAACACUCACACCUGGCCCAAUCAGCCUCGGGCUGGAAUACCAGGCAUGUCUACGACGGGUCCGCUCAUCCCAAGGAUGGAAUACCCUCGUAUCCCUACACAUGUUUGGCCCAAUCAACCCUCGGGUUGGAAUACCAAACACAUCAGGUCCAAUCAAUCAUAGGGUCCGGUCAUCCUCAUGAUGGAAUACCCCAUAUUGGAAUACCUCCACAUACAUAACUCAAACCCAAAACCAUAGUCGAAACCAAGGAUCUUGUCCUUGCGUCACCCUCGAACUCUCCGGUUCGCCACACCUGAGUGUAACCCACUCAUACUUCCCUAACACGAUCUCUAGGUCCUUGACCUCUGACUGCCAUAUCCUUGCACAGUCCUCAUCACCGGUCCAGACUGCUCCCGAGUCUUUUAACUUGUUAUCUUACUUUCCUCUGUCCAACCCUCCAAUCUGGAGCCACUAUCCCCCUCCUCUUCCAAGGAGACUAAAAACAUGCUUACGCAUCAUCCAACAUUGUCCCAGCGACAGAUCCUCGCUAUACAUCACCCCUUAGCGGUGCCUAUCGCCGUCUCAUAACAUGCGUACAUACUCAAAGACUGAUCAUAUAACCAACAAUCCAUACAUAGCCUGUCGCAUUUCCUCGACACAUGCAAGCCCUUACUAUAAUCGAACCGCCUCAUCGCACCGUCCCAAUAACCGACGUUCAAGCCGCGCCAGGCAACCUUCUACAACCAGCGGCUCCUCUGAGAAUUUCCAAUUCUCCCCCACUUAGGGCACUAACCACCAUCCACUGGCAGCGAAGCUAACACGCUGUUCAAUCGAACCCACCAAUACGCCGAACUUCAAGGAACCUAAGUUCCUGCUGAAAGUUCCCGAAUUCUCGAACCAUAACUUUCCCUUCUCACGAAUCCCACAUUGGAUAUAAACCCUCGAUACUAACUCUUCUCUAAAACAUGCAACACUUUAAUAUCUCAUGCAAGAAACAACAUCUCAUAAUCAUAACAUGAACGAGAUAAAGUAGAAGAACAUACCGACUGACACCUCUGGCUCAGAUCUGAUCUCCUCGGACACAAGCUGAUAAGCAUGCCAUGGAGCCCUUGGAGGCUCCGCCCGACCCUGACUCCCGUCAGUAAGUCUCAAAGUGGUUGGCGCUGGGGCCUGUACUGACCUGGCAGCUAGUAGAGGACACUAGGCCUUCAUAUGGCCCACCUGAUCACAAUGAUAACAAAGUCGAACUCUGGCAGCUGGAGCCUGCUGCCUACAAUCCCUGGCUAUGUGGCCCUCCUUGCCACACUUGUGCAAACCGAAGAAGAACAUAAACUACCCUCAUGCACCUUGCCUUACUUCCCGCAAGUGAGACCCCUCUGACCUCCCUGUCAAUAAUCAGCGGGCCUCAUCUGCUUCCAUGCAGGCUGCGACUGCACCGGGUCCUGCCUCUGCUCUCUCAACUGGAGCUCAAUCUCUAACUCGCGCCGCCUAGCGGCCUCCUGCAACUCUAACAAGGUACUACACCUCAGAGUGGAUACAAACUGCCUGAUGUCCCUCUUGAGCAUACUCAGAUAUCGAGACAUAUGAGCCUGCUCUGAAGCAAACUCCAGGCAAAACAUCACCCUCUCAAUGAACAUUCGGGUGAUCUCCAUCACGGACUCUGAACCCUGCUUCAGUUCCAGGAACUCCUGAGCCAACCUCUCUCUCUCAACUUGCGAAACAUAACGAGUACUGAACAUUUCCCUGAACUGAUCCCACGAAACCGCAGCCCGUUGCACAUCAAAAUAAGAUCCUGUGGUCAACCUCCACCAAUCCUUCGCCCCGAGCCUUAAAAGGUUCAGAGCACACCUCACCCUCUGAUCCGUAGGACAUGAACAUGUGAAGAAGCAACCCUCCACGUCUGACAACCAUCUCAUAGCAACAAUCGAAUCCUAAACUCCAUCAAAAGUAUGAGGCUUCGUAUUGUCGAAAUCCCGAUACUGAAAACCUCGACUGGCUCCUCCCCCUGUCGCUGCCANNNNNNNNNNNNNNNNNNNNNNNNNNNNNNNNNNNNNNNNNNNNNNNNNNNNNNNNNNNNNNNNNNNNNNNNNNNNNNNNNNNNNNNNNNNNNNNNNNNNNNNNNNNNNNNNNNNNNNNNNNNNNNNNNNNNNNNNNNNNNNNNNNNNNNNNNUCAUCCGUACUCAUCUGACCAAUGACUUCGGGUGGUGCUGAUCCAUCCUGCCCACCCUCUCCCGAUCCCGAUCCCGAACCGGAUCCUGACUCGAAACGUCUUGCAUCCGCCAUGCUGAAAUGAACCAUAAGAAUCUCAGAUACCUCGCAUAACCGCCGAGAACUAACCUCUUACCAACAACCUAGGGGUUGUGACUUCCUUGAUACGCGUAUGGGUCCUGUGCUUUCAGUACUACGGGCCCAUACUACCUUCCACACCUACCCAUAUUUGUCUCAAGUAUCACCACAACGCCCUAAGUACAAACAUGCAUCGCAAGCACUCAAUCCUCACCCCUAGAGGAUUACCGAAUAGCUCAUAUCAAGGAACCCUAGGCUAGCAGGCAUCAUAAAUCAGGCAAUCCUAUCAUGCAAUUCCUGAAGAUCCCUAGCCUAGUACUAGCAUGCUGUUCUAACAUAUCUCAAAACAAAUAACUUGCAAGGUAUUUUGGGGUAACUUAUUGGCUCCAGCUGAUCGUACCCUCUGCGUCCUCCUUUACUUAUUUUGAAAACCCUUUUUGAAAAACUCUCCUUGAUUUGAGACUGGAUUCACACGAAUGUUCCUCCAAUUCACUCAAACCAAGGCUCUGAUACCAACUUUUAACGACCAAAAAUUUCAACCAAAUUAAAACAUUUUAUUUCAUUCAAAAACCAUUACGUUCGUACAUCUUGUUUUCAAAAUAAUUUAAACAUCAGAGUAUUUCCCCAGAACCAUAUCACAUAAAUCAUAAAACAUGAGGAGCGGUACGAUCACGCCUUCGCCUUGCCACGAUCUCCUGAAGCACCUGAAACAAUAAACCACAACUGUAUGCCCGAAAGCUUAGUGAGUUCCCCCAAAGUACCCAUACACACAUAAACGUAGGCAUACAACAAAGAACAACAUACUACGGGUCCAAACAACCUUCCGGUUGAAAUACCCCUGGCCUUCAACCAUCGGGUUGGAAUGCCUACGUGCUACGAGCCCAAUCAUCCUACCGGGAUGGGAUACUCUCGGCCCACAACCAUCAGGUUGGAAUGCCCAUACACCUAUACGUACAACAACUAUUAUGGGUCCAAUCAUCCCUCAGGACGGAAUACCGCAGGUCCCUCAACCAUCGCGUUGGAAUGCCAACAUACUAUGAGUCUGAUCAUCCUACCGGGAUAGAAUACUCCUGGCCCACAACCAUCAGGUUGGAAUGCCCCACUUCCUAAACAUACAGUAACUAAUACUACUAUGGGUCUAAUCAUCCCUCGGGAUGGAAUACCCCAGGCCCCUCAACCAUCGGGUUGGAAUGCCAUACUAUUAUGACUCCAAUCAUCCUACCUGGAUGGAAUACUCCUGGACCACAACCAUCGGGUUGGAAUGCCAAACUACUAUGAGUCCAAUUAUCCUACCUGGAUGGAAUACUCCUGGCCCACAACCAUCGGGUUGGUAUGCCAAUCUACACUAGCAAACAUGCACACAUAAAAGGCAACCACACAACACUUUUUAGAACCAACAUACUAGGGCCCUAUCAUCCUACCGGGAUGGAAUACCCUCUGCUACUGCUCAACAUACAUAACCCGCAGGUAACCUCCUACCAGCAUACAUAAGGCAAGACCAACUACAGGUCUAUUCUUAUAACUGCUACCCAAGUACUAGGGUGCUGAUCCAACAGAACUAGCCAUCUAUUAACUAUCCAUUCCUCUAGGAUACUAAGCUAACAAGGCAUAUCCUCAUAUCAUCAUCCUAUAUACCAGGAUACUAGCAAGCAUAACAUCACACAUCAUAACAAGCUCUAAAUAACAAUUCAAAGGGCCGGCCUUGGUGCCUUAGACCCUUGAGUACAGUGAGGAUAACUCACCUUGCAACUGCCGAAAUCCUGCAAAUUUCUCACUGCUGACUCACCGGAAAUCCCAACUAUCACAUGCAAACAUUACAUUAGAAUCCAUAAUGACUUUCUAGGCCAAAUGCCCACAACACCCGUUAAGUCCAUUAUCCUCUUAUUGGGCCAAGACUCAAAACCAAAUCCUCAUGCAAAGCCCAAUAUUGGCCCAAUUUACUAAAUUGGGCCCACCUUUCCAAACGGGCCUAGAUCCAAGGUCCAUAAUAAUUAUUGGGUCCAAUUUACUCCAUCCAUAUUGUUCAGUCACGGCCCAAGCCCACUAGUCCAUAAACAACCCAAUUACUCGAGGCCCAAAAUUGAAAACCCAACAGAGGGAGUACGUUGGGCGUACUCCUCUGGUACGCAGGGCGUACUCUCGCCUGCACCGAAACAUCCUUCCAUGUGCUUAAUGGCUUAACCACUUAAGACCAUAUGCUAGAUCCAGUGACAAAAAGGGCCUAGGACUCAUAAAGUCUCAAUCUUUAUCCUUUUGGAUGUCCAUAAAGCUCUUAACUCAAGGUCUUAACCCAUUAAGACCUUCCUACUUCUUACGUUGGACAACCAAAGCCAUUGGGACCUCAUUUUUCUUACUCAAGACCUCUGCAAUGGUCUGAAAGGACAGCUCAUCUUAACCAAAACACAUCAUGCAUCAAGAUGGGGUUUUUGGGACAAGAAAUGGUGUCAAAACUUCACCACACUUAGAUCUACACAAAAUAGAUGUCCAACAAGAAGCUUUAUACCUUCAAGUGGUUGCAAAGGGUGAUGCUUUCUCGGAUCUACAAGCUCCAGCCACCAAGUUUCCUUCUUUCCAACCACUUCUUUCUUCUUCUAAGCUUUUCUUUGCCAAGCUAAGCUCCACAAGGGCAACACACCCAAAAAUGGAGAUGGAACAGCUAUCUAGGGUUUUUCUGAGGAUAAGGGAACAGAUAAGGAGGCUAGAGUUCAUCCCUUAUGUUCUUUAAAUAGUGGGCGGCCCCAAAAUUAGGGUUUUAUGACUCUGAGCGUACGCUGGGCAUAACUCUAGUACGUUGGGCGUACGCGUCCUUGCACCCGCGGUCAUUCCUUCUGCUACGUUGGGCGUAACCCAUCCUACGUUGCGCGUACCCACGCGUGUCCCAAAGGCAUGCAUGGCCUUCCUCGACAACUUUUUCCAUUAAGUACCAUAAAUUUCAAUAUCUUCAAAGUGUCAUCACUCCUUUAUUCCAAGUCCAUUUCCGGCGAACUUUAUAUCCAUGAAAAGGUGGCGAGAAGCCCUACGCUUCUAGCAACACACCCCGACCCGAAACCUUCUUGAAUAAAACCCAUUGCCCAUAAAAGACCGAAACGCCCUUACUCUUGAUCUCGGGGAUCCAUGAAUAAUUACUCUUAGAAUGGGGCGUUACAGCCAGGCGGAGGGAGAUUGAGCUAGAGUUACAGACCAGGGAGGAGGAAGAGUCUUGGGGUGGGGACCGAACACCAGUGCAGAUGCAUCCGACGACGAAGCGGGCUAAGGUCGCUGAUACUAGAGUUGGGGUCCUGAAGGGCCGCACUAGUGGCAAGUGUGGCAAGAGUCAAGAGGGAUCAUGCCGAGCGGGGAUUUGCUACAAAUAUGGCAAAGAGGAGCACAUAGCGAAGGAUUACCCUAAGGGGUUUGCAGUUUGCUUCCACUGCAACCAGACCAGCCAUCGGAAGGUCGAGUGUCGUCAGCUCAUUCAGUGAUCAGCACAGGGUUCUGCACCUCCUACUUUACAAGUUACUGAGAGUCAGCCAGCAAGCGCCGAGACACCGAGGGUUCAUGGGAGAGCCUUUCAGCUGACAGCGGAGGAGGUCCGCGCAGCGCCUGACGUCAUGGCCAGUACGUAUUCCUUGUUUAUAGUCUUUUACGAUAUGUUGUGCUUAUAUUUUUCUUUGUAUAGGUACUUUUUGUGAUUUCUGUACCUACCUUGGUGUUAUUUGACUCGGGUGCGAGUCGAUCCUUCAUGUCUUUAGCUUUUAGUCGUCACAUCAGUAUCCGACGUGAGACGUUGAGUCGACCUCUAAGGGUUUCUAUAGCCAACAAGCAUGCAGUUUUUGCUACUGAUGUGAUCCGGGGGUGUGUACUAGAGAUUUUUGGUGUUGAGUUCCCGAUAGACUGGUACCGAUUGCGAUGGGUGAUAUUUGUGUCAUAAUGGGCAUGGACUGGUUGAGUUAGUUUGGAGAUGUGAGCGUCAGUUAGUGACUAUACGAGACUAGUGGGGGAGUGCGUACGGUGUAUGGUGAAGGUACCAGAUCUGGAUCAACUUUCUACUCUACUGCCAGAGCGAGACAGAGUCUAUAUCAGGUUUUUAUGGGCGUUUUGGCGUACAUGAUGGAUACGCGAGUUGCUACAAAGAGGUCGAGUUCUAUCGCCAAGGUUCUGAUAGUGUGCAAGUUUCUGGAUGUUUUUCCCGAGGAGUUGUCAAGUGUGCCUCUCGAGAGGCAAGUGGAGUUUCGGAUUGAUUUGGUUCCGGGAGCAGUGCCUAUUUCCAAGACACCUUAUCGCCUUGUGCCACCAGAGAUGAAGGAGUAAUCAUCAUAGCACAAGGAGCUGUUGGGGAAGGGUUUUAUCAGACCGAGUAGCUCACUGUGAGAAGCACCGAUCCUUUUUGUCAAUAAAAGGAUGGUUCACAUCGGAUGUGUAUCGAUUACUGGGAGUUGAACAAGCUGACGGUCAAGAACCGUUAUCCACUACCGAGGAUCGACGAUUUGUUCGAUCAGUUGCAUGGGGUGUCUUGGUUUUCCAAGAUUGAUUUGAGAUCUAGAUAUCAUCAGAUGAGAGUCUGUUAGGAGGAUAUCCAUAAGACAGCCUUUAGGACUUGUUAUAUGCACUACGAGUUUGUGUUGAUGCCUUUCGGACUCACCAACACACCGGUAGCAUUCAUGGACCUAAUCAACCGGGUGUGCAGGCCUAUGUUGGAUCGAUCGGUGAUCGUGUUCAUCGACGAUAUUAUGGUGUAUUCGAUAUUCGGAGAGCAUCAUGAGGAGCAUCUUAGAGAGAUUCUUGGAGUAUUGAGGACGGAGAGGCUUUAUGCCAAAUUCUCCAAGUGUGAUUUCUGGUUACAAGAAGUCCAGUUCCUGGGACACCUCGUUAAUCAGAAUGGGAUAUUGGUCGACCCGGCCAAGAUUGAGGCAGUUAUGAGAUGGGAGGAGCCAAGAUCCCCAACCGAGAUCAGGAGUUUUCUAGGUUUGGCCGGCUACUAUGAGAGGUUUAUCAGGGAUUUCUCCAAGAUUAUUGUCCGUCACACCAGACUGACCCGGAAGGGUGUUACUUUUGCUUGGGGCCCGAGCAGUAGGCCUCAUUUGAGACUCUUCGCCAGAGAUUGUGCGAAGCCCCGAUGUUAGCCCUUCCCAAGGGAGUGGAGGACGUUAUAGUUUAUUGUGAUGCUUCUAUAUUCGGGAUGGGUAUGGUGUUAGUGCAGAGGAGGCACGUGAUAGCAUAUGCAUCGAGGCAGUUGAAGCCUCAUGAGACGAGGUAUCCCACCCACAACCUAGAGCUAAGGCGGUGGUCUUUGCCCUAAAGAUCUGGUGCCACUACCUGUAUGGAGUCCGGUGUACCAUAUAUACGGACCCCAAGAGCCUGAAGUACCUCAUGUAUCAGCCCAACCUGAAUAUGAGGCAGAGGAGGUGGUUGGAUGUAGUGAAGGAUUAUGACUGCGAGAUCUUAUAUCAUCCGGGCAAGGCUAAUGUGGUAUUCGGCGCCUUGAGCCGUAGAGCAGCGAGUGCUCCGGUCCGAUAUGUGUGCAUGAGGAUGACAGUUAUGACUCCAGUCUUAGAUACCUUUCGAGAUGCCCAAGUGGAGGCCGUGAUACCGGAGAACCGUAAGAGGGAACGGGUGAUUGGGCAGGUUUCCGAGCUUAAGACGGACAGUCGUGGGCUUAUGACUUUCUGAGGGCGGAUUUAGGUGCCCUAUACAAGUGGAGCUCGUCAUAUAUUGAUGGAGGAGGCCUAUAGAUCGAGAUUCUCGAUCCACCCAGGGGCCACUAAGAUGUAUUUGGACCUGAAGAGAGAUUAACGGUGUCCCUGUAUGAAUAGGAAUGUGGCAUGGGUAGUUAAGAGAUGCUUGACCUGUCAUCGGAUUAAGGCGGAGCACUAGCAUCCACAUGGUCCGUUACAGCCUCUAGAGAUUCCCCAGUGGAAGUGGGAAUAGAUUUUGAUGGAUUUUAUCACCAAGCUACCGAGUACUGCGCGUGGGGUUGACGCGAUAUGGGUGAUUGUAGACCGGUUGACGAAGAGUGCUCACUUCCUCACCAUCAGUGAGAGCUCUUCUAUAAAGAAACUGGUGGAGAUUUAUAUGAGAGAGGUGGUAUCAUGGCAUGGAGUGCCUACCUCGAUAGUGUCAGAUCAAGGGCGAAGUCUGAUUCUAGUGGGGGAGAAUUGUAGCAUCCCAACUCUCAGGUAUUAUAUUUAUAUAUUUAUUUUUGGGAUUGAAUGAGUGACUCAACGAGUUGUGUUCCCGACUCGUCAGGUAGAGUCGGAUUGGUCACGUGGGUUUAAUGACCAACUCGACGAGUCAGAGAGCCGACUCGCCGAGUUGACACUGUGUGAGGAAACACUAAAUCAUCAGGUUUGUGUCCUAUUUAAAGGGCCUUAAGCCCUCAUUUCCACCUCCCUCAUCACCCUUGAGCCAUGUAAAUAACACUGAUCGAUUUUUAGCUUGUUGUGUGAGAAGGAGAGUCUAUCUUGAGCAUUUUGGUGCACUUUGAGAGAAGAAGAGGAAAGCAUCAAGGCUUGGAGCAAGGAGAGACAUUUGGAUCUAGAGGUUCUUAAUGGAUAGCUUCUGUCUGAGGUUAAAAGAUGUUAUCUUGAUCAUUUUUCUUGUGAGAUCUUAGUUUGGGGAGUUCUAGAGAUUUUCCCCACCCUUCUUGUGUUAUUGAGUCCCUUGAGCAGAUCUUGAGGUUGAAACCUCAUAUCUGGAUUCUAGGUCUUAGGAGCCCAAAGACCCAAGCUUUAUGGAGCUAGAGGCAAGCCUAUGAGCACCAAACCCUUGUUGGAGCUUGUAUUGGCAUUAUGGAGCAAAUAUGUAAUGCAUGAACGUAAACAUCGAAGCUUUACGUGACAUUCGAGCCUUAGGAGACUAGAUCUAGAGUUUGGAGGGGUAGAUCUGCCUUAAAACAUCUGAAUGAGAAUACAGAUUGAAUGGACUCGCCGAGUCGGAUAGGGUUUCCCCCGAUGAGUCUGGAAAUAGGUAACUCAGCGACUUGAUGAGACAACUCGACGAGUUAAGUUGGGUUUUCACGACAUUUCUAAGGAAAUGAGGGGACUUGGCAAGUCACAUAGAUGCACCCGGCGAUUCAGGUCAACAAGGACUGUUGACUCGAGUGUUGACUUCUCUUGACUUUAGGGUUUGGUCAAGGCAGGGAUUAUGGGGACCAUGGAGGGGUAAAAUGGUCUUUUACCCAUUCCAAGAGUUUGAGAGAGAAUAACUUAGUUUAUUUAGAGUCAUCAUUUAAAUGCUAAUUAGAGAUAACUAUCUUAUGUGUUAGGCGGAGGCUAGUUCGAGAUUCGUGUACGAGAUUAUUUACUUGCUUGCUUACGAGGUGAGUCUUAUCACUAUACUUUACCUAGAGUGGUAAUCUUUUUGUGACCGGAGGGUCUUAUGUGCUUAUGUUGACUAUUGUGAUAUCCUGCAUUACAUCUUUGUGUUUUGUUCUAUGUUAUUCUGAGCUUACUGAGUUAGGACCGAAGGGUCCACCCGAGUUGUGGGACCGGAGGGUCCCACUGAGACACAUUGACCACAGGAUCUUAUUUGAGCAUAGCCAUGAGAGGCUAAUGAGAUAUGUGUGGUAUUUUAGGGAGCUCUCUAAGCUUCGUGCUUAGUUUGUUAUGAUUUAUGUGUUUCAGGUACUUCUCAGGAUCACGGGAACGCACCGGCUUGAUUGUACACACACGAGUUGGAGAUAUGUUUCGGAGGAUCCUGGAAUGUGUUAUGAAAAACUUUUAAACAUUUUUUUUAUAACUUGAUAAUUAUGGGUAUUUUUGUGAAUGUGCCAAUGAGAUUAAUGUGAUUUUAAAUGAAAAUUUUGUUGAAAUUUUACUGUGUUACAAUGAUUACGACAUCCCUCUUCAUAGUUCGAAUUGUGAGAAAUGGCAAAUUGUUUGAACAUUAGGGACUUAGGGGUCCUUUUAUGGAGUCACAAACACCAUGAGCAACAAGAUGAACAAGGAGAGAGGGAGGAGGAAUAAAAAAACAUCCAAGAUACUCCAAGGAAUGCUUAGCCACGUUUUUGGGAGCCUUAGGGGUCCUUUUAUACUUGUGUGGGCUGCUAGGAUUUUGGAUGAAACCCUAAUUCUCUGCUUAGGCCUUAAGCAACUCAUGGAGUCCCUUUAGAAAGCCCUUGGAUGAAUUCCAUAUGGUAUUCCCAUAGAUUUCGUCCAAUCCCUUUUCCAUUAGGAAUCCAUAACCCACAAUGCAAUUAUCUUAUAAUUACAAUAUUAGUCCCCCAAGUUUAAUUAAUCUCUUUUAGCAACAAAUUAAUUUUUAAUUAAUUAUUGACUAAUAAUAAUUAAACAAUAUGAUUUCUUCUUUAAUAUAUUAUUCACAUAAUAUAUUAAUAAAUCAUAAUUAAUCCUCUUUCUCCUUAAUUCAUCCUAUCAGUUGCUAUGGUGAAGGCAACCCAAAAGGACCAUGCUCACAAUCGGGUCAAGUACAUACCAAAAUCGUUAUGGGCUUAGAUACCUAAUCAAACAGCCUCCCACUUGGAUAAGUCUAAUUACUAUUUUGCAUAUGACUACAGAACCUGAUCAGCAAUCGUAGCUUUCAAAAGCUGCUGUCAACUCUCGUUUUAUCAGUAACACGUCCUUUAGAUAAAGGGUCAUAUAUUCCUCCAUUCUAGAUAUCGAAUAGACUGAGACAUGGAUUUAAAUCAUUCCCUCUGUCUAUAUGUUGUUUCCUAAUUUUCGAUUUAUGACGACUGACAACAGACUUCAAAUGAACACAUCAACUUAGUCCCGGCUUGGCCAAGCGCUUAGGGUAUCAUCACUAAAUCAUCGAGGGGCCAACAAUUAUCGCUUUUAUCCCACUUUGGGUAAAAGGAACGGAUAAACUUCGACUUAAAUGCUUGCUUGUAGCUACUCAUUAAAUCACACACAACAAUAUGUUCUAUAACACCAAGUUACUAGUGCGAUUACAUGUUAUCAAUGUGCAACUGACCUGCAGAAUACAACUCACACAUCUCGGUUUCAAGAAUAUAAGAUAUUAUCGUCUCACCAAUCACUCGUGAUAAAAUCCAUGAUGUGAUCCAAGUGAGUGUGGUUUAAUCCAAUACUCUAAUCUUAUACCAGCACUCAUGAACCCUCCAGCAAACUUUUGCUAUGUCUACAACGAUUUAGACAAUCUACAGUCAGAUUCAUGACAGUGUUCUUUCAUACCUACUUCCAAAGCAUGAGCGACUGUGGAGGGUUUGGAUAAUCUUAUUAUUAGGGAAGUCAAAACAUGCAAAGUAAACAUAAGAUUAAUACUAAUCCUAUAUGGCCCCAAACUUUUGAGUAUAAAUAAUACACAUUUAUCUAAUCAACAUAUUGAUUACUCAUUAUUUAUUGUUUCGGGUAAUCAACUUAUUACUUGAAUUAUAACAACAGUUGUCCCUUACACCAAGCAUGCACACUAUGUUUACCUAUGGUCCUUACUUUGUGAAAUAGAUCAAUUGAAACAUUUCCAAUGAUGCUCAUUUCACAAUUCCUAAUCUUUAUCAUAAGUGCAAGAAUACUGAAUUCUCGCCAAUACUAGAAUAUGUUAGAUUCUAACAUUUUAUGCAACGAUCCUUUCGUAAUGUCACGGCACAAAAGUCACCAAGACUCGGCCAAUGAAAUUACAAAGUGCUCUAUUGGACAUUGUUACAAAACAAUUCCAUAGAUAUGAAGUUUCACAUAAAAAGUACAUUCCUUUAAACAUCCUUCUUGCAUAAAGUUUAUAAUCUAGACAUAAAUUCUUAACAUCUAACUCCCAAUAUGGAAACAUUUCCAUAUUUUCCAUAUUACAACUCAUUCUAAAUAGAGUCUUAUAUAUUCAUAAUAAUGUCAAUAUGGUCAAUUCAUUACUAUACUUCCAGUUGUCCACAAGCGAUCAAUCCUUGGCGAACCUUAGAUCGUUCUUGACAGUUGUUUAAUUAAUUUAGCCAAAUCGGGUUCUAGUCCUUUUUCCCUCUUAAUGUCCUAGGCAUUUGGAAAAUUUUAGAACGGUCAAAUAUUACAGCAAAUGCAAUCGAUCCUAUACCCGAAACAUAUGGGACACGAUUCAUAACAAAAAACGUGAUACUUUACCAGUUUCUUGCUAUAAUAUUUCUAUUUUCCAUGUUCUCACAAUUCGAACUAUGAAGAGGGAUGUCGUAAUCAUAAUACAAUUUUGANUGUGUGUGAAUAUAUAUAUAUAUAUAUAUAUAUAUAUAUAUAUCUUGGACUAAAAUUUGAUUAAAUUUUCUCAAUCUAAGCUUUUAGAUUUGAAACGAAGUAUAACAUUAUCUCCCUUAAUUAUAGCAAAACAAUUUUUCAACUCAUGCAACUUUGCAAAGUGAAACUUUUGUUUUCUAUAAUUAAUAUUGAUAAUUGCAACACUUGAAAUAAUAAUCAUGCUCCCACUAACAUGAUGAUUAUAUCCAUACCAGCAUAACAUUUAUGCUCCCACUAGCUUUGACACGUAUUCAGAAAACAGUUGGACUUCUAGAAAGCAAUACUUAUUGACUUCUAAAGUUCAUAUUUCUAAUACGAUAUGCUUCAAUAAGGCUUUAUCUAAGCUUCUCAAACUCAUACACAUUUCCUUAGAUAACUUGUAUGUGUGUCUAAACUAAUUCAAAACUUAUGUUACUAAGUCCCAAAUGUUCAGACUAAUCGCUAAAUCUCACAAUUCGAACUAUGAAGAGGGAUGCCGUAAUCAUAAUCGAAUUUGAGAAUGCAAUUUACACAAUCGCUAUCUCCUUAAAAUCUCUCUUAGUGAAAGUGUUUCCUCACAAUCAUUUUCAUGAAACGGAGAGAAACCUUAUGACACUUAGAUUUUAUGGUGUAUGUGUUCCUAUCCAUGUGAAUUUGUCAUAACCAUAAUCAUAAGAUAAUGUUUGUGAUCAAAUCCAAACUCAUAAGGACAGAACGUGUUCAUUCUUAAUUUCUUGCCAUCAAGGUCCCACCAUUGCUUCUAAUUUAUUUAGUAACUCACCUAUACCAGUCAAUGUACUUUCAUUGAACAAGGUGUCUUGUCUCUAUACAAUCAAUUGAGAACUCAUAGAACUCACAUGCAUAGUUGACCAAACCGGAAUGGCACAGAUUCAAGAAUAUGUCAACAUGAUAGGUUACAAACCUCACAUCGUGUGCUAGUGUCUAAUAUGUUUACUCUUGAUUAGUUUUUGAACCUUUUCAAGAUCAUUUAGACUCCCACUGACCUCUUGACAUAUAAUAUUAUCUUGUCGAGAAACAUUUCUUGACAAACAGAUAUUCAAGAGUUAGUGCGGAUUCUUGUCAAGACAAACACUACACACAAUUGGUCUUAGUUGGUCUUUGUCUUAUCCAAGACAUCACAACUUACUAAUUUCAAACGUGUAAGAGUAAGAAAAACAUUUUUCUACUUCAUAUUUGAUGAGUGUGUUAAAACUUCUUAAGAUAUGUCACUCAAGUCACAAUCUUGGAGUAUGACUGUAAGACUUGAUUUUGGAAUGAAGUAUGACUCAUCCUUUUGAUUUAACCAUUUUAACAAUUUCUGAUUCCUCUUCUUAGCCAUACUAGUGCACUAAGGUGUCCUUAGAGGAUUAAUUGUGAUAUGGUUUCAUAAUCAAUAAGACGAUCAUAAAACAUGAUACUAAAGUACUCUCCUAUCUUUUCAGAUUAGAGAAACUUUUAUCUUUCUGCCUAAUUGAUUCUUCUUAUUCGUUCUGCUAUUCAUUAAAACUGUAACAUUCCAAAAUUUGCAAUAAAUUUGAACUUUUAAAAACAACAUAAAUCAUCCAUUUAAUAUAUUUUAUUCAAAACAAAUGAAAUACCAAACCCCAAGAUCAAUUAUGUUUUCAAACAUUAUUAGUUAUAAUUCUAAAAUUUAUGAAAAGACAACAAGUUCAAUAUUAAUUCCAAAAAUCCGCCUCAAGCCAGUGUGUACAAUCAUGCCCGACCAUCCUGUGUACCAGAAAAUAGUAUUUUUAAGGGAAAAAGAUAAGCACAAAGCUUAGUGAAUUCCACACAUACACAAUAUCAUAUCAUAUAAUCCUUACCCCAUACACGAAUACAAUCGGCAGCAAACACAUAACCAUGCAUGCAUGUCAAAGAACGAAUCAAUCAGUAAAAGACAUACUCCUACCGGGACACAUUGGCUAGGCCCGAUCCCCCUUGCUCAGUACAUCGAGUCCUUGGGACACGUUGGCUAAGCCUGAUCCCCCGUACCCGAACCCAUUGGGACACAUUGGCCAUGCUUGAUCCCCCUUGCUCAGUUCGUCAAGCCUUUGGGACACAUUGGCUACGCCCGAUCCCCACUCGGAUGCGCCGAGUCCUACCAUGCAUAAUCCUCAAUACGUGAGGCAAACCACUAGACUCUACCCCGCCUAGUAAUACCCACAUAAAUAAUACAAUACAUAGCACACACGAGCUAAUGUAAAGAAGAUAUAACACAACAUGGUGUAGCGAGGAACUCACCUCAAAGAACAGAGAAACCUCCAAAGCAACCCAAAACUCACCCACACCUGCUUUCCCUUCAUGCCUCCUAAUAAUAAUAAAUUGAGUUGGUUUUAGUUAUUAAAUUGUCUUAAUUAUAAAUAUAACUAAUGGAUAAAUUUUCCAGAUUUCUACAUAAAAAUUAGGGUCUGUUCGGGACCUUUUUUCGCAAUCUUAAACUUCAUAUUUUCAAAACUGUAUCACAUGAUGAUAGAUUAGGUUCUUAUCUUUAAAAGUAGUACUUACUCGCCUCCAUAUGAUUUUAAUACAAUUUAUGGCGAAUUUUAUAAAACUGCUUCGCAUAACAGAUCAUUCCGGACCAGUCUGGGUAAAUGGUCGUUUUUACCCUAGCUAGAGGCAUUUCUGGAUUUUGGUCAAAAAUAAUGAAGUGUAGAGGACUCAAUUAUGAAACUUUGUGCACUGAUUUCGACCAAAAAGGGUUUUCCAUGAUCGAGAUAUGAUCUUUUAAAGACAGGGGCAGAUUAGGAAAAAAUCCUGAAAUCACAGCUUUGACUUUUUAGGGUUAUUUAGCUCCUUAACCCAUUAAGACCUAAUCCAAAAUAAAUUAUAACCUGGAAAAGAAGUCCUUAAUAGUAGACAUAUAGUCUUGAGUCAAAAUGACAAUUGCCACUUCUAAUCCAACUCAAAGCACAACGCUUUUAUAUGCAAAACGAAAUUAUAAUGUUAUAAGAUAAAUUAUGGACUUAGGGUUUUUAGCUUACAACAUUUCAACACCCGAGCCAUAGUACGGACCUAAUAACCUUGCUGGAAACAUCACCACCCACUGCCAUCAUGGAAUUGGUGGCCGGAGGUGGCUGCCACCACCCAAACGGUGGUGGUGGUGGGUUUUACCAAAAGAAAGGAAGAAAAGGAGAUUAUGAUGAAUAUUUACCUUGAAACAAUGGCACACUAGAAAUCAAACUUCAACUCUUCACUUGAUUGCAGCCCUAUCUCUUCCCUUCUGCCCUCUCGAUCUCAUUCUUGGUUCUCGGUUUUCUUUUCUUUACCGCUCCCUCGGCCAUAACUCAAAAUCACGCACACACACUUCACGAUUUGGAUUUUAGGGCUUCUAGGUAUAGGAUGUAUUUCAUUAAAAUAUUGGGCAAAUGGGCUAGCAAGAAGAGGCCGAUCAUGAGGCCAUAAUCCCAUCAAAAAUAAGACUCAAUUUUAGAUUUUUCAUAAUUUUGCCCUCAACUAUGCCAUAAUGACCAAAACAGCCCCCCAAACAAAUUUCUUUGCAUCCAUAGGUUCCUGAAUUGACAAUUUUGGUCCUUCCUUUAAAAAUUGGUUACAAAACCUCCAAGACAUUCCUAAUUAUAUUUUUAUAUUAAUUAUUAUUAAUAUUAUUUAUUUACUUGUAUUUACGCCACUAUUCCGUGAAUAAAUAACUAAUCGGAAAACAGGUUGUUACAGAAACUUUUCAAUGAUUCAGAAUUAUAGUUAAUCUUGUAAGCAUAACCACAUUUAUUAAACUUUUGGUAAAUCAUGACGAAUAAUCUUAUCAUUCUUUGUGGCGAACUUGACUAGUGCACAACAUUGUGUACCAGUUCUCCUAGUCCUUCUCUUGACUAUUUGUCAAGGAAUGAUCUUAAUUUUCUAAAUAUGAAGGUUCUCAUUCAUCAUACAAUACAAGUUGUAUGAUUCCAAGUUUCUAUCCAAUUGAAACUCGGGCGACAAGAAUCUUUUCUUAUUUGGCAAAUUCUUGACAUUACCACAAAUAACAUAACUAAGAAUCACACCCAUUUCAACAUUGCUCAAAUUAGAAAUACACAAACAUCAAUUUUCAUUCAUGCCAUUGCAAGGAAAUAUAUAAAUAAGACAAAACCAAAAUUUAUUUUAUUUAUAAAAGGUGCGGAAAACUUGUCUUUACAAUGCAAUUCAAUUGAAAACUAUGCUAUUACAUAUUCCUAAACAAUCUAUCAUAAUUCUCUAAGUAGUAGCUCAAAAAUACGAUCUUUGAAUUCAUGCGAUCGUAAUCCAUUUCUUCGCGAUCAGACUCAGCUCACUCUUCCUUUAAGUUUCAUUUCUCUUCUUCGAUCCUACAAAACACCAAAUGUAAUCUUUUCACAUCAUGUAUUAAGAAUCUAUAAAAACAAAAACUUAAUAGAGUUAUAUAGUGGAUUUUACCUGAAGCAGAGUCAUACAUCUUGACUCUCCCAUCUUUUAGAUCUCCCAGGUAAUUAGGUAGCUUCGUAACUAAUGCCCCCUCUUUUGGCAGUAGAAACAUAUGGAUUCUUCUGGAAUGGUACAUAGGACUAUCUCAAACUCAACCUUUCUCUUGCGUAGAGAAAAAAAUUUUGGACUUUCAAUAUUUCCAUUUCCUAUAGAAGGUUGGGAUAUUGAUUUACCAGACAAAUUUGCUUGACCAGUAUGCCAAAUCAUUUCUGAUUCAGCAGCAAUAAGUAAAUAAGUCAAAUCAAUGAGGGUUACAUCGUGUUCCAUCAUAUAGUACUCUCAAAUAAACUUACCAUAUGAUUCGGAAAGUGAGUGAAGAACCAAGUCAACAGCCAACUUUUCCGAGACAUCGACACCCAACAUUCCCAAUCUAUAAAUAUGCAACUUCAUAUCCAGGCCAUGAGCGCAUACCGACUUUCCAUCUUCGUGUCUUUUCGCCAAUAGGGCUUGAGUGACCUUGAACUUUUCAAGUCUUCGAAUACGUGGGCCGGGGAGAAUUAUUGGAGGAGGUGGAGGAAGUGAAGAGUGAUUUCCAUUUCCACAAUCCAAUUGUGGAACAUCAUCUUCAAAUGGAAAACUUUUUCCAACGGAUUCAGGAAGACCAUAGUUGUAAGACUUUUUCAUCUACAAAACGGGAGAAAAUUCAAGUUAGUUGAUUGAGUCCUUAAUAAAACACCCAAAUGAGAUAUUAAGGCUAGGACCCAACACAAUAUUCUACAAAUUGGAAGAGGGAUGUCGUAAUCCAAAUUGCAGAACAUUUGAAGGUAGGUAAAUGGCGAUUUACCAAUUUCCACUAUGAAAGAAAAAGGAAUUAUUAGUUUUAAAUGAAUUGAAACUCCUAGAUCUUUUGAGAUUCAUUGAACUUUUCAAUGACAUGUUUAAAUCUCGAUUGUGCCCUUCAUUUGUGACUAAGAUGUCGAGGAUCACAAACAAGGUGUGGAUAACCAUGCAAAUUAGCUUGGUACUCUCGAUGUUACAAAUAACCUAAUCAAUGUGUCGGUUAACCACACACACUCCAUUGAUCUAUAAUAAACAUCAAGCUACCCAUUGCCAUCCUUCAUUGGUUCCAUAUUAGUGUGCCAGUUAACCACACACACUCCACUAACGACCAAUAAAGGUGCAAUGUGUAAUUUCAUGGAUUAGCACCAAUUCCACAUUUUUCCUAAAGUAACUAAGAUUUGGGAAUUUAUAAAAGUGUUUUUUUACUUCGUAUUUCAUUAUAGUUAUAAUGGAAUGUUGUGUCCUAUCCUACCCGUUCGGCUAACGACCCUCCACUAGUCAAGAGUGUGGUGGGUAAGAGUGGAUACCCACUCAAUCAUCAUUUUAUAGGCACUUUCCUUAAACACCCCUUAGAGACCAGCUUCAUGAAUGAGGCCUACUAACGGUAAGACUGACCUUUUACUCAUACAUAUAUAAUAUUAGACUUUUAAUUUUAUAUAUAGUAUAAAGGAGUAUUUUACACUUUUAAAAUACUAGGUGGUCUAAUUUAACAAAAUUAUACUUUUAAUUUAAUUAAAUAUAAACCAUAUCAUUAUGGAUUUAUUAACUAUCUUUUAAUUAUACAUUUAAUUAACUUAAUAAAACCGUAAGGGUGUAAUUUGAACUUUUCAAACAAUUAGGGUUUUAGAAUUUAAAAUUUUUAAAAUUAAACUUUUAACCAAAAAUUUAAAUUCCAAAACUUGAGGGCAAGUUUUGAAACUUUUCAAAACUAUCUAGAUCAAAUUACAAAUAAUACAAUUAAUCAAAUAAUUGGUGAUUAUCUAAAUAUGACCUAAUUCAAUUUCUUGCAAGAUAAUUCAUCAAAUAAUUCAAAUAAUCAAAUUUUAUCAUAUAAGGAAAUAAUUAUUCAAUUAAAUGACAAUUAUCUUCUAUUUUGGUAAGGAUAAUCACUCCAUAUCAAUAAAAUCAUAUUUUAUCAACAAAAAAACAUUUUUGGUAAUUAUCCCACAACAAAAUAGGACAAAAUCCUACAAAAUCAGCCAUCUGCGACUCUGACUCGUUGAGUCAACACUAGGUUCGUCGAGUUCCCAGUGGACUCGGCGAGUUCAGUCAUGGAGUCGGCGAGUCCAGCCCCCAGAAAGUAGAAUUUUGCGAUUUUAAGUUUGAAUGACUAUGUAAUAUGUCAAAUACAUUAUACAAACAGCCUAGGCUCUGAAACCAUUGAUGGGUUUUGAGCACUACAUCAAUCCUAUGGUGUACAUGCAAACCCUAAAGCUUUGGAUCUAGUUUGUCUAAUGAACAUGCAAUAAUCAUCCAAAGCUCAUAAACCCUAGAUCUAGCAUACAAUAAUUGAUAUUAUCAUAAUAAAAGGGUUUAGAUCUUACCUUGAUUGUUAUGUAGCAAUAACAAUCUCAAUUCCUCUUGAUCUUGACUCUUAAAAGCUUAGUGCCUCAAAUGUAGCACCUCUAAUGGAGUCACAAACACCAUGAGCAACAAGAUGAACAAGGGGAGAGGGAGGAGGCACCAAAAAUGUCCAAGAUACUCCAAGGAAUGCUUAGCCACGUUUUUGGGAGCCUUAGGGGUCCUUUUAUACUUGUGUGGGCUGCUAGGGUUUUGGAUGAAACCCUAAUUCUCUGUUUAGGCCUUAAGCAACCCAUGGAGUCCCUUUAGAAAGCCCUUGGACAAAAUCCAUAUAGGCUUCCCAUAGAUUUCGUCCAAUCCCCUUUCUAUUAGGAAUCCAUAACCCACAAUGCAAUUAUCUUAUAAUUACAAUAUUAGUCCCCCAAGUUUAAUUAAUCUCUUUUAGCAACAAAUUAAUUUUUAAUUAAUUAUUGACUAAUAAUAAUUAAACAAUAUGAUUUCUUCUUUAAUAUAUUAUUCACAUAAUAUAUUAAUAAAUCAUAAUUAAUCCUCUUUCUUUUUAAUUCAUCCUAUCAUUUGUUAUGGCGAAGUCAAUCCAAAAUAACCAUGCUCACAAUCGGGUCAAGUACAUACCAAAAUACUUACGGGCUUAGACACUUAAUCCAAUAUUUAUAACUCACAAAAAUCGGCCUCACUCUUGUAAAGAAUCUAGGUGUCAAUUUCUUGAACCAAAGGGCUUCUUAUAUAUUGUGGUUACAUUAUGGUUACACCAUGUAAACCCUAAUGUACAUGACUUUCCGCAUUCCUCAUGAUCCAUGGGUUUUAACCUCCAUGGAGUAUCCGUGGGUCACCACAUGGGUCAAGCCCAACAUAAGGAAUCAUGGAUCAUUAGCCCACAUUAUAAGAAUGAAUGAUUUAUACAAUCAAUCCCUAUAUAUUUAAUUAGUCUCUUUUGACCACAAAAUUAAUUCCAAAUUAAUUCUUGAUCAAUACUAAUUAAAUAAUAUGAUUUCAUAUUAAUAUAUUAUAACUUAUAAUAUAUUAAUAAAUCAUACAUAUCCUCUUCUCAAAAGUCCAAAUUGUUCCAGUGAAGUGCAAACCAAAUGGAUCAUGCUAAAUCGGGUCAAGUACAUACCAAAUAUAGUUAUGGACUUAGACACCUUAUCCAACAGUCUCCCACUUAGAUAAGUCUAAUAACUAUAUUUGCAAGUACGAAUUCAAGAACCGACCAACAAUUGUAGCUCUUAAAACUUUGUUGAACUAGAAUGCGCCAUUUUAGACAAGUGAUCAUAUAAUCCUCUGUUAACAAUAUAUCAGCCAGACAAAUACAUGGAAAAAUGUCAUACUUAUUGUCCAACAGUUUGUUUCCCGAUUUACGAUUUGUUUGACAUAGAACUUAUUCGAACACAUCAAUUGAGUUCUGAUCGGGCCCGACACAUAAGUCAAAAAAAUCAUCGAGUGGCCCAAGAUAUCGCUUUUAAUCCUCUAAGGACUAAAAGGAACAGAUAAACUUCAACUCAUAUGCUUGUAAUAACUAUUCACCAAAUCAUACACAAAAACACGUUUUAUAACAUCAAGUUACUGAUGCGUCUUCAUACUAUCAAUGCACAACCAACUCAUAGUCAACAAAUCAUAUCUCUUGGUUUGAAGACUUACAUGAUAUUAUCGUCUCACGAUCACCCGAGAUAAAUUCCAUGAAGUGACACAAGUGAGCGUGGGCUUAAUCCAAUACUCAGAACUUAUGAGCACUCAUGAAUGUCAUAGCAAUGUCUAACCAUUUCAGACAAUCUACAAGCUAAAUUCAUGACAGUCUUUAUUCAAUACCUACUUCCAAAGUAUGAUCGAUUGUGGAUAGUUUGAAUAAUCUUAUUAUUCUGGAAGUCAAGACAUGCAAAAUUGAAACAAUAGUAAAUAAUUGACACAUGAUAACAACUUUACUCAUAAAUAAACAACAACUUUUACUUAAUCAUCAAAUGUCAAUUACAUUUGAUCUAUUACAAGUUUUAGAAAUAACUAUCUAAUCAUUAAAACUAAUAUCGUCCUUCAGCCUGAUGUGCCUUGCGUGCUGCAAAUGCUUAACCCUAUUCAGUCCCUUCGUGAGGGGAUCUGUUGGGUUCUCCUCUGACGAUACCCUUUUUGCUACGAGGAGUCCUUCUUCUAUCUUGUGUCUUAUGAAGUGAUAUUUUCUAUCAAUGUGUCUGGAUCUGCCAUGAUCCCUUGGUUCCUUGGCUAAGGCAACCACACUGUCACUGUCACAGAAUAUCUCCAUAGGCUGCUUUAUAGUUGGUACAACUACAAGGUCUCCAAUGAAGUUCUUCAGCCAUAUCGCCUGCUUCACCGCUUCGCUUGCUGCUAUGUACUCUGAUUCGUGCAUUGAAUCAGCUACAGUCUCCUGCUUGGAACUUUUCUAAGUAACUGCUCCUCCAUUCAGGGAAAAUACCCAGCCCGAAUGAGAGUGGAAAUUAUCUAUGUUGGUCUGAAAGCUAGUGUCACUAUACCCUGUCACUCUCAAGUCAUCAAUCCCACCGAGGAUAAGAACCCAGUCCCUAGUCCUUCGCAGGUACUUAAUAAUAUUCUUUACCACAGUCCAGUGAGCCUUAGCAGGGUUUCCCUGAUAUCUGCUGACCAUGCUCAAAGAAAAAGCCACAUCAGGGUGAGUACAAGUCAUAGCAUACAUAAUCGAGCCAACAACGGAAGCAUAUGGUAAUCGACUCAUCUCAGCUAUCCCAGCCUCUAUACUCAGACUCUGAGUCUUACUCUGUUUGGAAUUGCUCUGGAUUAGUAAGUCACCUUUCUUGGAAUUCUGCAUGUUGAACCUCUUCAACACCUUGUCCAACUAGAAACUUUGACUAAGUCUAAUCAGUCUUUUACACGUGUCUCUCAAUAUUCUUAUCCCUAGCAUAUAGGUACCUUCUCCAAGGUCCUUCAUAUCGAAACACUUCCCAAGCCAGGAUUUCACCUCCUGCAAGGUUGGGAUGUCAUUUCCUAUGAGCAGUAUGUCAUCCACAUACAAUACCAAAAAGCUAACUAUACUCCCACCAACUUUGACAUAUACAUAGGACUCGUCCUUGCUUCUCGAAAAACCAAACUAUUUGACUUUCUCAUCGAAACAAAGAUUCCAUCUACGAGAUGCUUGUUUCAAUCCAUAAAUGGAUUUCUUAAGCUUACACACUCUAUUAGGGUACUCUACAUUAACAAAACCCUCUGGCUGACUCAUGUAAACAUCCCCAGCCAACUUUCCAUUAAGGAAAGCGGUUUUGACAUCCAUUUUCCAUAUUUCAUAAUCAUGAAAUGCAUCUAUGGCUAGAAUAACUCUAAUAGACUUAAUCUUAGCUACUGGUGAGAAGGUAUAAUCAUAGUUAACUCCUGGAGUUUGAAUAAAGCCCUUCGUAACCAGUCGUGCAUUAUAAGUGUAUACUUUCCCAUCCAUGUCGGUCUUCUUCUUGAAGAUCCAUUUGCACCCGACUGUCUUACGACCCAGUACAUUGUCAACCAAGUUCCAAACUUGAUUGUCAUACAUGAACUGAAUCUCGCUAUCCAUAGCCUCUUUCCAUUUUGCAGACUCACGGCCUGCCAAGGCUUCCUUGUAGCUGUUAGGUUCAUCUAAAUUUACCAGUGUGCUAUCACUGAUAAAUGUAUCACCUUUUGUAGUAAUAUGGAAAACAUAAAACUUAGGUAUAUUCCUAACUCUUGUGGAACGCCUCAGAGGUACAGAUUCGGCAAUCGUCUCACCAGGAGUUUCCUCCUCAUGUUGAUCACUAUUGUUUGAGGUUCCUUCACCGCUUGAUUCUUGAAGAUCUUCAUGGUCAAGUUACCUCCCACUGUCUCCUUGGCUUAUGAAUUAUCUCUCACGAACGACUCCUCUCCUCGCAAUGAAGUCAACAUUGUCACUCGAUCUGUAAAAGAGAUAACCAAAGGAUUUAUGUGGUAAGCCGAUGAAAAUACACCACUCACUCUGAGGUUCAAGCUUGUUGUGAGUCUCGUGUCUCACAAAAUCCUCGCAACCCCGAACCUUGAUGUGUGCCAAUGAGGGAAACUUCCAUGUCGACAUCUCAUGAGGUGUAUUGGCAACCUUCUUGGUAGGGACUAGAUUAAGGAUACGGAUGGCAGUCUCUAAGGCAUACCCUCAUAAUGAGAUAGGUAACAAAGCUAGACACGUCAUGGAACGAACCAUGUCCAACAAGGUUCGAUUGCGCCUCGUAUUCACACCUUUAAGCUGUGGUGUCCUCGGAGGUGUCAAUUGUGAAACAAUUCCAUAUUCCUUAAGAUAGUCUAGGAACUCGAUACUAAGAUACUCACCACAUCGAUCGGAUCGGAGCAUCUUUAUCUUCCUGCCUAGCUGAUUCUCCACUUCUUGCUUAAACUCUUUGAAUCUUUCAGAGGUUUCUGACUUAUGCUUGAUUAAGUAGACAUAGCCAUAUCUACUAUAAUCAUCAGUAAAAGUCACAUAAAAGCGGUUAGCAUCCCUUGUGGCGGUUCUAAAGGGUCCACACACAUCUGUAUGUAUGAGGUCCAACAAACCUUCACCCCUCCCACAAGAACCAGUGAAGGGUGAUUUAGUCAUCUUUCCAAGCAAAUAAGAUUCACAAAUAUCAUCUGACUUUAAGUCAAAUGAUUCCAAGACUCCAGCCUUUUGGAGUUGGCAUAUGUGCUUCUUGUUCACAUGUCCAAGACAACAAUGCCACAAGGAUGCUUUAUCCAAACUAGUGGAAGAAUCAAUAUGAAAUACAUUAUUUCCUAAGUUAUCUACAACCAUCACAAUUUCAUAUACACCAUUACAAGGUAAUGCUUUAAAAUAAAAUAAAAAACACCAUUAUAAUAAGCAUUUAUUGCACCAAUUUCAUUAUCAAACGAAAAUGUGAAACCUUGUUUAUACAAACCAUGAAAAGAAAUAAUAUUUCUGUCCAUUUCAGACGAGUAACAACAAUUAUUCAAAUCUAAUUUUCACCCCCUGCAAAGAAAUAAAGAAUAAACUCCAAUCUUGGUGACAGGUGAAGCUUUCCUAUUCCCCAUGAUUAAGUUUAUCUUCCCGUGCUCCACAUCCUCACUUUUUUUUGUCUCUGGAAAUCAGAACAAAUGUGAAUACCACAACCUGUAUCAAGGACCCCAAGAAUUAGUAUGCGGUGAGUUAUUAGACAAUAUAGUGUAAAUACCUGCAUGGGUGGGUUUUACUUUUGCAUCCUUAACAUCCUGCAAGUACUUAGGGAAGCUUCACUUCCAGUGCCCUUUAUUAUUACAAUAGAAGCACUCUGCUUCUUUUGGGUUGGAGGAGGGAGUAACAGGACCGACUUUAUUCUUGCUAGAAGAGGACCCAUCAAGAGACUUUCCCUUGUGACCCUUGGAAGGGGUCUUCCUCUUCUUUCCCUUGCCUUGCCCGAUUGCCAAAACCGGGGCAGUAGUAGGUAACAACAUUCUUACCUUUGAGACUACUUUCAGCAGUCCUCAAAAGUCCCUGAAGUUUGCUAAGUGUGACCUCCUCCUUGUUCAUAUGAUAGGUCAUGCGAAACUGGUCAUAACAUGGAGGUAAGGAAUGGAGAAUGAUAUCUAUAGCAAGCUCCUCAUCAAAGUUCACAUUUAACUUAAGCAAACGGUCCACAAAUCUUUGCAUUUUCUGCAAGUGGGUCGUGAUGGACUCUCCAUCCUUCAUCUUAUUUGUUAUCAUGGAGGUGAUGAUUUCACACCUCUCUUGAUUUGCACUCUGAUGGUAUCUUUCCAUCAGUUCUUGGUGCAUUUCAAAAGGGUAGAAGUCCUCAUGGGACUUUUGGAGUUCUGUUGUCAUAGUCUCCAACAUGAUACACGAUACCUUAGCAGCAUCCUUCUCAUGGGUAGUGUACUUAGCAAUCUCCUCAGGAGUAGCAGAAGACUCAUCGAUGACCUUAAGCUCCUUGUCAAGGACAUAUUCUUUGUCCUCAUAGCGCAUGACCAUCCUGAUGUUCCUAAUCCAAUCAUUGAAAUUAGUUCCAUUGAAGAUGACUCUCCCACAAAGGUUCAUGAGGGAGAAGGAGCGGGUAGGGUUUGAGCCAGAAGCAUUGUUGGAAGACAUCUGAAAAAGAAGAAAGACAAAGUUUAGAUUAGAUAUAGAGUCCUUAAUAUAACACCCAAAAUUAAAUAUUAAGGCUAGGACCCAACACAAUAUUUUACAAUUUGGAAGAGGGAUUCCGUAAUCCAAGUUGCAAAAUAUUUGAAGGUAGGUAAAUGACGAUUUACCAAUUUCCACCAUGAAAAACGAAAUUGAUUAUUAGGUUUUAGAUGAAUUGAAAUUCCUAGAUUCUUUUAAGACUCACUGAAAUUUUCAAUGGCAUGUUUAAAUCUCGAUUAGGCUCUUCAAGUUUGUGACUGGGAUACCGAGGAUCUCAAACAAGGUGUGAAUAACCAUGCAAAUAUACUUAGUACUCUUAAUGUCAUUUAUCACCUAAUCGAUGUGUUGGUUAACCACACACACUCCAUCGAUCUAUGACAAACAUUAAGCUACCCUUUGCCACCUUUACAAGUCCAUGUUAGUGUGCCGAUUAACCACACACGCUCCACUAACGACUUGGUAAGGUGCAAAGUGUAAUUUCAUGGGUUAGCAUUGAUUUCACAUUUUCUUAAAGUAACUAAGAUUGGGAAUUUAUAAAACAUUUACUUACUUUAUAAUUAUCAUUAUACUUAAUGAGAAUUAACGUCCUAUCCUACCCGUUCGACUAACGACCCUCAACCAGUCAAGGAAGCGGUGGGUGAGAGUGGACACCCAUUAAACCNUGAGUUCAAAUUGGAUUUUUUUGUGUGAUGUUGGUGAGUGAUGUUUUGAUGUGAUGUAUUGCUUAGGGACAAUCAAAAGAUAAGUAUGGGGUAUUUUGAUAUUGUCACACACACACACGCACACACACACACAUAUAUAUAUAUAUAUAUAUAUGUGUGUGUGUGUGUGUGUGUAUUAUUAAACUUAUAAUAUCAUAAUAGUAUAAGGGUUAAAUUUUAAACUUUUAAAAUUCUAGGGUUUGGAAUUAAAGUUUUAUUGUGCGACUUUACAAAUUCCAAAACUUGAGAACAAGUUUUGAAACUCUUCAAAACUUUUCAACUUCAUAACAUAUGAGUUUAACGGUCUUUUAAAAUGAGACUCUUCAUUUUUCUAUAACCUAUGACUUUUAAUGAUUCAUUUAAAUGAAAAACUUUUGGAAUUCCAUAACUUGAGGACAAGUUAUGGAGUCCAUUAAAGUCAUCAAGAUCAUCAGCUAAACUAACAAGCAUGUUGUAACACCCAGAAUCAAAAAGACCAAGAAAAGAAAGGAAAGCCCUAAGUCAAAGGAGUCAACUCAUCGAGUCCAAGGAAUGACUCGGCGAGUCGGAGUGGGAUCCAUGUGCAAGGUUAGGUGACCGACUCGACGAGUCGGCUAGUGUACUCGGCGAGUCUGUUCUGGAUUGGGAAACCCUAAUUUCGGGACUUGGCACCCUAUUUAAGCAUCUUAUUCCCAUUUCUAGGGCUUCAUUUAAAGCCCCCACUAUCCAAAGCGAAACCCUAGUGUCCUCCAUGAAAGCGUGAGCAAUUAUUGUGUGUUCUUGAGUGAUUUGAAGUCUAGAAGAAGAAGAAGAAGAAGAAGAAGGAGUUGGAAGAGCUAAGGAGUGAUUGUAGAUCCUGAAGGAGUCCCUCUUCCUCAUCACUUUCUGGUAAACAAGCUGUUACCUUGAUCUAUGGUUUCUUAGAUCUCUUCAUGUCCCUUUUAUGAGACGUUUGGGACCAUUUCCAAGGCCAACCCAAGUAUUGAGCCUUUGAGGAAGAAUAGAGACUAGAUCAGAGCAUAUUUGAGCCUUAGGAGCUCUGAGGAAGAAGCUUUUCUCAGCUAUGGUUUCCUUUCAUGGCUUAGACCUCCAUUGUAGCUUGGAUUUGGUAUUCUAGCCUCAUAACCCCUUGCAUGCACGUAAAGUCAGCAACUUUACAUGCAAUGCUAGCAGAAGGAGUCCAGAUCUAUGAGUUGGAAGUGUCGGAAUAGACUGCAAGAGACAGAAUAGAUUUGUCACAAGGAGGACUCGACGAUUCAGUUCAUGGACUCGGCCAGUCGGGUCACAAAACCCAAACCCUUCCGUUUAUGAGUCGGAUCAGUGAGUGGGGUUAGAAAAGGACUCAUCCAGUUUGUGUCCGUGAUGGACAUGAAGAUCAUGGUACUCGACGAGUUCAAGGAGGAACACGGCGAGUCCAAGGCAAUCUCCUUAGCUGAUGAAGAUGGACUCGGCGAGUUGUAGAACAACUCGGCAAGUCGGUUGAAGAUUGUCCCGAAGUGUUAGAUGAAGGAGAACUCAUCAAGCUCUCACUAGACUCGACGAGUGGAGUCGGGGUUGUUUGAGAUUUAAGGAGCAUGGACUUCGCGAGUUAGUAGAACAACUCGGCGAGUCGAGUCAACUGGAAGGUUGAAUUUGACCAGGACUUUGACUUUGACCAGAGCUGACUUAGUUGACUUCUAGAGUUCAGUUUGGGACUAAGUGUUAUAUUGAUAUUAGUAGCUCGGGGAGCUAGUCGAGAAGCGGUUCAGAGAGUUGUCAGAUAGCAGCCAGAGGGUUAUUAGCAAGCUCAGAAGUGCAGGUGAGUUUCCCUUUGAGUGAAUGGGUCUACUGCCACAAUGUCGAACCAUGUAGUUAUGAGUAGGAAGACCCAGGGGUUAGCCAUAGGCACUGGUUGCCAGUAUGAUAUUCAGGACCAAGGUCCAAUGGCGGGCGGGUGCCCAAGGAAUGGUUUGCAUGAUAGAGUAUAUUUGUUGUUUGUGUGAUACUUGUAUGUGCCUGGUAGGGAGGUGAGUGUGGGCGAGGUCCCGUAUCUCACUAUUAGCAGAGUAUGGAUGGGGUUCCAUAUCUCAUCAGUAGUCGAGCAGGGGCAAGGCCCAAGUUAAGAAUGGAGUAAGUGUGGGCAAAGCCCGUAUCUCACUAUGAUCAGGAGUGUGGACGGGGUUCCAUGAUUCAUCACUAGUAGGGCAGGGGUGAGGUCCAAGAUAGGCGAGGCCUUAACAUAGGAAUGCAGUAGAGUAGUUAUGGUUUAUGUGUUAGAUGAUAUCUUAUAUGUUUGUAUAUGAUUAGCGGUCGGGGCCCAGAGACAGGUGGGGCCUAAGAGAAACAGAUCUAUAUCUGAGCGGGGCUCGAAGCCAGGCGGGGCGUAGAGCGGCGGGGCCGUUGUAGCGGGCGAGGCUCGAGGUAGUGGGCAAGGCCCGAAGUAGCGGGCGUGGCCCAGUAUUUACAGUAUGUGUUUAUGCAGGGUAUGUGGUAUGUUGGGGAAAUCACUAAGAUUCGUGCUUACAGUUUUCAGUUUUGGUUUCAGGUACUUCCGGUAGCGGAGCGAAGAGCUCGGGAUGAUCGCAUGGCACACACCAUAGUUAGUCAGGCUGGGAUGUUUUACUCUGAUAAUAAGAACAUGUUUUGAAUUGAUACUCUGAACUUAUGUUAUGACUUAUAAUAUGGUUUUAUAAAUAUGGUUUUAGUAAUGUUUUAAAGGAAAUUUUUAGUCGUGAUUUUUGGGUCGUUACACGUGUUCAAGUUCUUGAUUAAACUCAUAUGAACAAGAUAAUUCAAAUCAAAUGAAUUCCAUGUAAUUAGACUUAUCAUAUAAACUAAUAAAAAACAUGAAAUUUUGACAAUUAUAUUUUGAAUUGGAGAAGCAUGAUCAUUACCACAUCAAAAACAGGUUUAUCAGUUCAGAAACAGUUUAGGGUAAUGAUCCUAGUCCAAUUCCAACCUUAAAAGUCAAAAAUUUGCACUCAUGGGUUUCAACUCAUCGAGUGUAUGAACAAACUCGGCGAGUUGGGCUAUUUUUUGAAGGGACUCCGCGAGUCCCCCAGUGGACUCGGUGAGUCCACUGUCCAGAAUCAAAAUUUUCAUUUUUAAAGCACUUCUAAGAAUGUAGCAUCAAGUAUAAUUGAAAAUAAGCCUAGCCUCUGAUACCACUAAAGGGUUUUAAGCAUUCUAACCUCCUAAGGUGUACAUGCAACCCUAAAUACCUUGGAUCUAUGUUUUCUCUAUUAUACAUGCAAACUUUCAUUUUCCAAGGUAUUACCCUAACUAGCAUACAAAACUUUGAUACUUGGGUAAUAAAACAAGUUAGAUAACAUACAUUUUGUUAUAGUUUGUUGCUUGGGGCUUUAAGAGCCUAGCACCAAUAAUGUGAAUGCCUCAAGUGGAAUCACAAAUCACCACUAACACUUGGAAACUUGGAAGAGGACUCUAUAGCUCACAAAAAUCGGCCUCACUCUUGUAAAGAAUCUAGGUGCCAAUUUCUUGAACCAAAGGGCUUCUUAUAUAGUGUGGUUACAUUAGGGUUACACCAUGUAAACCCUAAUGUGCAUGACUUUCCACAUUCCUCAUGAUCCAUAGGUUUUAACCUCCAUGGAGUAUUCAUGGGUCACCACAUGUGUCAAGCCCAACAUAAGGAAUCAUGGAUCAUUAGCCCACAUUAUAAGAAUGAAUGAUUUACACAAUCAAUCUCUAUAUAUUUAAUUAGUCUCUUUUGACCACAAAAUUAAUUCCAAAUUAAUUCUUGAUCAAUACUAAUUAAAUAAUAUGAUUUCAUAUUAAUAUAUUAUAACUUAUAAUAUAUUAAUAAAUCAUAAAUAUCCUCUUCUCAAAACUCUAAAUUGUUCCGGUGAAGUGCAACCCAAAUGGACCAUGCUAAAUCGGGUCAAGUACAUACCAAAUAUAGUUAUGGACUUAGACACGUUAUACAAUAGAUUAAAUAAUAUAUGUUUUAUUUAUAUUCAAAAGUUUUGAGACCAUAUUGGAUUAGGUUAUUCUUGUGUUUCACUUCGCAUGUUUUACUUCCCGAAUAACUAGGAUUAUUCAAACAUCCACAGUCGAUCACAAUUUUGGAAAUAAGUAGUGAAUUAAGAUUGUCAUGAAUCUGACUGUAGAUCGUUUAAGUGCUUAGACAUAGAAAAUGUUUCCUGCAGUGUUCAUGAGUACUCCUAAAAUAUGAUUUAAGUAUUAGAUUAAACCCAUGCUCAUUUGAAUCACUUCAUGGAAUUUAUCACGGGUGAUUAUGAGACAAUAAAAUAUUAUAUUCUUGAAACGGAGACAUAUAGUUGUUGUUUGCGAGUUGGUUGUGUAUUGAUAAUAUGUAAACGCAUCAGUAACUUGAUCUUAUAAAACGUAUUGUUGUGUGUGAUUUGAUGAGUAAAUAGUACAAGCAUAUGAGUCGAAGUUUAUCCGUUCCUUUUACCCUAAAUGGGUUUAAAGCGAUAUCUAUGGCCCCUCGAUGAUUUAGUGAUGACACCCUAAGCGCUUGGCCAAGCCUGGACUGAUUUGAUUUGUUCAAUUAGUCAGUCGUCAUAAAUCGGAAAUCAGGAAACAAACCUUGGACAGAGAGAAUGAUUAUAAUUCAUGUCUCAUAUCCAUACGAUAUCUUAUAGAACGGAGGAAUAUUUGAUCCCUUAUCUAAUGGACGUGUUGCUGAUAUGAUCAGAGUUUAACAACGGCUUUUGAAAGCUACGAUUGCUAUUCAAAUUCUGAAGUCAUACUUGACAUAAUAGUUAUUAGACUUAUCCAAGUGGGAGACUGUUGGAUUAGGUGUCUAAGCCCAUAGCUAUAAUUGGUAUCUACUUGCUUUGAUAUGUAGCAUGGUACUUUUGGUUUGCCUUCACUCAUGCAACUUGAUAGGAUGACAUUUGGAGAGAAGUUAAAUUUAUUAUUUGGAAUAAUAAAUUGGUACUCAGAAAUAUUUUAUUAUAUGAAUAAUAAAUUAGUACUCAGAAUGAUUUUUUUAAUAUAUUAUAAGAUUAAUAUAUUAUUUGGAAAUCAUAUUAUUAAUUAGUAAUUAGUCAGAAAUUAAUUUGAUAUUAAUUUUAGGAUUAAAGAAACUGAUUAAUAAUGGAGGGGUUGUUUUGCAAAUCAUUGAUAGUUGUAAAACUGGGCUUAGGACUCCUUGUAAGUGGAGUGGACAAAAUUUAUGGGUGACCUCAUAAGAUUUCGUCCAAGGGCUCAUUAAGGAGGUUCAUGGGUUGCUUUGGGCCUAAGUUAGGAACCAGGGUUUCCUUAUUCAAGUCCAGCUUAAAGGUUAAGCAACCUAGUCAUAUAUAAACCCUCUUAACCUAAGGAAUUUCACUCCCCCCCCUGUGCAUUCUAAUAGAACCCUAGCCUAUUUCCUCAUCUCUCAUACUCAUCCUUUGCAUUGAGUGUUUGUGACUCCAUUAGAGGUGCAACACUUGGGGCACUAGGCUUUCGGAAUUCAAGAUCAAGCAAGGAUUGUUCUUGUUAUUAAAAUAUAACAAGUAAGGUAAUCUUCUAACACUAAUAUAUAUGUAAAUUUCAAAAUUGUAUAUACUAGAUCUAGGGUUAUUGAUUUGGUGUUCAUAUUUGUAUGAUUCAAUCAUGGUUCUAAAUAGCGUGAGGCGUGGCGUGGCGGCAAGGUCAAGCCUCAAGCUUAACGAGCCAGGGCGUUUUUCAAGGCGUGAUGUGAGGCGGCGAUUUUGUAUUAAUUUAAAAUUAUAUUACCACAUAAAUAUAAAUUUAUAUUAAAUAUAACUACUUUUUAUAAGUGUUAGAUCAAUAACAAGUAACAAAAAUUUAACGAAAACCACAAUACCUGUAUUUCCGAUUAGAAAAGACAUAACAAAGAGCAAAAAAUCGUGUCUCAAACGAAAAAACAUGCGCCAUAACACGCCAUAACUGAUGGGUUUUAGCUUUAAGAACAUCCUAUGUGCUCAUACAAACCCUAAUGCUUGGAUCUAGGUUUCUCUAUUGUACAUGCAAUUUAUCCAAGACUAUAAACCCUAGAUCUAGCAUAUGAUAAUCAAUGUAACAUUUAAUUAGGGUUUAGNAGGGUUUAGAGCAUACCUUGAUUGUUAUGUAGCAAUAACAAUCUCAAAUUCUCCUUGUAAUGACUUUAGAAAGCUUAGAGUCACAAAUGUCACUCCUCUAAUGGUUCACAAACACCAAGAGCAAGAGGAUGAAGAAGAGAAGAGAAGGAGGCUCUCAAAAACGUGUGGAAACCCUAGACCAUUAGUUCACCACGUUUUUGGAGCAUAAGGGUUCUAUAUAUAGUGAGGCUAUUAGGGUUAUCUAACAAGGAAACCCUAAUUUGGAUGCUUAAGCCCUAAGCAACCCAUGGACUCCUUUCCUUAAAGGCCUUGGACGAUUUCUAAUGGGUUUCCCCAUAGAAUUCGUCCAACCUUAUAAUAUAAGGCAAUCCAUAGCCCAAUUGCAAUUAUCUUAUAAUUACAAUUCCAGUCCCUUAAGUUUAAUUAAUCUCUUUUAGUCACAAACUUAAUUCUUAUUCAUUCUUGACUAAUAUUAAUUAAACAAUAUGAUUUCUCCUUUAAUAUAUUAUUCCCAUAAUAUAUUAAUAAAUCAUAUUUAAUCCUUUCUCUCCAUAAUUCAUCCUAUCAAGUUGCUUUGGUGAAGGCAACCCAAAAGGACCAUGCACCAUCGGGUCAAGUACAUACCAAAAUAGUUAUGGACUUAGACACUAAUCCAACAGUCUCCCACUUGGAUAAGUCUAAUAACUAUUCUGCGUAUGACUUCAGAUCCUGAUCUGCAAUCGUAGCUUUCCAAAGCCGCUGUCAACUCUGAUCCUAUCAGAUACGCGUGUCCUUUAGAUAAGGGAUCAUAUAUUCCUCCAUUCUAGAUAUCGUAUGAGACAUGAUUUCUAAUCAUUCUCUCUGUACUAUUUCUCGACUUCCGAUUUAUGACGACUGACUAAUUGAACAAAUCAAAUUAGCCCUAGCCCGGCCGAGCAUUUACGUUUGUCAUCACUAAAUCAUCGAGGGGCCCAAAGAUAUCGCUUUUAUCCUACUUUGGAUAAAAGGAACGGAUAAACUUUGAUUCAAUGCUUGCUUGCACUCACUCACCGAAUCACACACAACAAUAUGUUUUAUAACACCAAGUUACUAGUGCGUUUACAUAUUAUCAAUGUGCAACCGAUUUGCAAGAUACAACUCACACAUCUCGGUUUCAAGAAUAUAAGAUGUUAUCGUCUCACCAAUCACUCGUGAUACAAUUCAUGGAGUGAUCCAAGUGAGCGUGGGUUUAAUCCAAUGCUCAAAUCAUAUUCAUAAGCACUCAUGAACGUUGCAGCAAACAUUUGCUUAUGUCUAAUACUCUUUUAGACAAUCCACACACCAAUUCACGACAGUCUUCAUUCAUAUCUACUUCCAACAUAUGAACGACUGUGGCCCGUUCGAAUAAUUCGAUUAUUCUUAAUAAACUCAAUUAUUCUGGAAGUCAAAACAUGCAAAUGUGAAACACAAGAAUAAUACUAAUCCCAUAUGGCCUCAAACCUUUGAGUAUAAAUAAAACACCUUUUAUUUAUCACCAUAUCGAUUACUCAUUAUUUGUCGUUUCGGGUAAUCAACUUCUUACUUGAAUUAUUACACUUGUCCCAUGCUCUUAGCAUGCACACAAUGUUUACCUAUGGUUCUUACUUUGUGAAAUAGAUCAAAUUGAACACAUUUCCAAUCAUUCUCAUUUCACAACUCCAAAUCCUUUUUCAUAAGUGUGAGAAUAUCAAAUUCUUGUUACUUAUAAAAUAUGCUAGAUUCUAACAUUCUAUGCAAUGAUCCUUUCGUAAUGUCACUGCACCAAAGUCACAAAGACUAUUGCCAAUGAUAUUACAAAGUCCUCUAUCGGAGAUUGUUACAAGACAAUUCCUUAGAUAUGAUGUCUCUCACUCAAAGUACAUUCCUUUGAACAUCCUUUUGCAUAAAAGUUUCUAAUCUAGACAUAGAUUUUCAAUAUUCAAUUCCCAAUAUGGACACGUUUCCAUAUUUUCCAUAUGACAACUCAUUCUUAAUAGAAUCUUAUCUAUUCGUAAUGAUGUCGAUAUGGUCCAUCCAAUAUGGAAACAUUUCCAUAUUUUCCAAUACUAUACUUCCAACUACUCACAAGCGACCAAUCCUCGUCGAACUUUGGAUUGUCCUUUGAUAGUUGUUUAAUUAUUUUAGUCAAAACCGAUUCUAGUCCUUUUUCCCUCUAAAUGCGCUAGACAUUUGGAAAAUUUUAGAAUGGUCAAACAUUAAAGCAUUUGCAAUCGAUCCUAUACCCGAAGCGUAUGGGACACGACGCAUAAUGUUUUAUUUGCUAUGUUCUCAAAAUUCGAAUUGUGAAGAGGAAUGUCGUAAUCAUAAUCGAAAUUUUAAGAACACACUAUGUACCUUUGACUAAAUUUAUUAACAUUUCUCAACCUAAUCCUUUAGAUUUGAAAUGAAGCAUAAUAUUCUCUCCCUUAAUUAUAGCAAAACAACUUUUCAACUCUUACAACUUUGCAAAGUAUGACUCUUGUUUUCUAUAAUUAAUAUUGCUAACCUUGCAAUACUUUCCUUAAUAAUCAUACAAUCAUAACAUUUAUGCUCCCACUAUCAUGAUGAUUAUUAUAAAACAUAACACUUAUGCUCCCACUAGCUUCGACAUGUAUUCAUAAACAUCUUAACUUUCAGAAAAACAAUGCUUAUUGAAUUUCUUAAGUUCAUGUUUCUAAUACUUAGUGCUUUGAUAAUCUUUUAUCAAGGCUUCUUGAACUUAUACACCUUUGCCUUCGAUAGUUCAUAUGUGUGUCUAAACAAUUAAGACUAAUUGCCAAACCUCACAAUUCAAAUUAUGGAAAGGGAUACCGUAACCAUAAUCGAAUUCGAGAAUGCAAUUUUACAAUCACUAUCUUCUUAAAAUCUUUCUUAGUGAAAGCAUUUCCUCACAAUCAUUUUCAUGAAGGAGGAAAUCUUAUGACACUUAGAUUUAAACGGUGUAUGUGUUCCUAUCCAUGUGAAUUUGUUAAAACCAAAGUUUACGACAAAUUCAAACUCAUAUGGACCGAACUUUCUUAAUCUUGAUUUCUUGCCUUAUGGUAGCACAGCUGCCCACCAUGUCUUCCAAGUAGUUAAGCAGCUCACCCUUUCCUAUCAAUGUACCUUUCAUUGAUUAAGGUGCUUUGCCUUUUAUGCGUUCAAAAUGAGAACUCAUAGAACUCACAUGCAUAAUUAACUCGAUUGGAUUGGCACAGAAUCAAAAUAAUGUCAACACGAUAGGUUGUAAACCUCAACUCGUGUGCUAGUGAUGAUCGAUAAGGUUUAUUUGAUUUGUUCUUGAAACCUUUCAAGACCAUUAAGACUCCCACUGACUCCUUGACAUAUAAGAUUCUCUUGUCAAUAACCAUUUCUUGACAAACAAAUAUUCAAGAGUUAGUGUAGCUUUUAUCAAAACACUUCAUAAAUUGGUCCUAGUUGGUCUUUGUCUUAUCCAAGACAUCACAACUUUCCACAUUUAAUGAAUGUUAUAAACCUUCUUAAUACUUAUCACUCAAUGUCACAAUCUUAACUCUAAGACUUGUUUUGGAACGAAGUAUGAUUGACUUCUUGAUUUAACCAUUUCUUCAAUUCUUGAUUCCUCUUCUUAGACAUACAAUUGUACUAAGACUCACUUAGAGGAUCAAUUGAGAUAUGGUUCUUAAUCAUUACGACAUAUCAUAAAGCGUAAAAGGUACGCUCCCUUCUUCUUAGAAUGGAGAAACUUUUAUCUUUCUGCCUACUUGAUUCUUCUUAUUCGUUCUGCUAUUGAUUUAAACCUUUUCAAUCAAUUCAGAAUUACACUUAAUCUUAUAAGUAUAAUCAUAUUUACUAAACCUUUAGUAAAUCAUGACGAAUAUCUUUGUUACUCUUAUGGUGGACUUGAUCAACACGCAACUUUGUGUACUCGAUCUCCUAGUCCUUCACUUGACACUUUGUCAAUGAAUUAGUCUAAUUUCCAAAUAUGAAAUUUCUCAUUCAUCGUGCAACCAAGUUGCAUGAUUCCAAGUUUCUGUCCAAUUGAAACUUGGGCGAUGAGAAACUCUCCCUAUUUGGUAAAUUCUCGACUUUCCAUAAAUAACAUAAUAAGAACCAAAUCCAUUAUUGCUAAUAAUAGAAACAUUUUAACAUCAAUUUUUCAUACACGCCAUUGUAAGGAUAAAUAAAUAAAAUUUAAAAUCAAAAUUUAUUUUAUUGCGGAAAAAUUUGUCCUUACAAUGCAAUUCAUUGAAAAACUAUGCUAAUACAUCUUUCUUAGCAAUCUAAUUCUAACUCUAAGUAGUAGCUCAAGAAUCUAAUCUUCGAGAAAUGCGAUCGAAAUCCAUUCCUUCACGGUUAGAUUCUGCUCACUUCUUCCCUUAAGCUUCCUUUCUUUUCUUCGAUCCUACAAAACAUCAAUUGUAAUCUUAUCACAUUAUGUAUUAAGAAUCUAGAAUAGAAGCUUAAAAGAGUUAGUUAAUGGAUUUUACCUAUAUUAGAGCCAUACGUUUCGACUCUCCCAUCUCUUAGAUCUCUUAGGUAAAUGGGGCAGCUUCGUCUCCAAUGCCCUUUCUCUUGGCAAUAAAAGCAAAUUGACUCUUUUGGAACAUGACAUGGAACUACUUCAGACAUUGCCUUUCUCUUAUGAUCAAACUUUUCGAUCAUAGCAUGUCUUUCGUUGCCAUUGUCUAUAUCCAUAGAGGUCUUGAAGGCAGAUUCACCAAUCAACUUUGCUUUUCUAUUGCGCCAAACCAUUGCUGAUUCAGCAGCAAUAAGCAUAUAGGUGAGAUCUAUAAGGGUCACGUCGCGGUUCAUCAUAUAGUACUCUCUUACGAACUCACUAUAUGAGUUAGGAAGUGACUGAAGAACCCAAUCAACAGCCAUUUCCUCACAGACAACGGAUCCCAACAUUCUUAACCUAUCAAUGUGUGACUUCAUCCCUAGGACGUGUGCACACACCGACUUUCCUUCUUUAUGUUUACUUGCCAAAAGGGCUUGAGUGAUCUUGAACUUUUCAAGCCUUUGAACUUGUGGGUUAGGGAGAAUAAUUGGAGGAGGUGGAGGAAGUGAAGCAUGAUUUCUUGUUCCUCGAUCGAAUCGUGGAAUAUCAUCUUCAUGUGGAAUGCUUGUUCCACGGGAUUUGGGAAGACCAUAGUUGUCGAACUUUGACAUCUACAAAACGGGAGAAAACGAAUUCAAGUUAGUUGAUUGAUUGAGUCCUUAGUAAAUCACCCAAAUGAGAUACUAAGGCUAGGACCCAACACAAUAUUCUACAACUCGGGAGAGGGAUGCCGUAACCCAAAUUGCAGAACAUUUGAAGGUAAGUGAAUGACGAUUCACUAAUUUCCACCAUGAAAAACGAAAAAGAAAUUUAAGUUUUAAAUCUAUGAAAACUCCUAGAUCCUUUGAGAUUCAUUGAACUUUCAAUGGCAUGUUUAAAUCUCGAUAUGCCCCUCUAGUUUGUGACUGGGAUGCCGAGGAUCACAAAGCGGGUGUGAAUAACCAUGCAAACUUACAUGGUGCCCUCACAUGUUACGGUCACCUAUUCGAUGUGCCGGUAAACCACACACGCUCCACCGAACUAUGACAAACAUUGAGUCACCCUUUGCUACCUUUGCUUAGAACCAUUUAGUGUGCCGGUAAACCACACACGCUCCACUAACGUCUUCGCAAGGGCACAAAGUGUAAUUUCAUGGAAUUGCAUCAAUUCACUUUUGCCUAAGUAACUAAGAUUGGGAAUUUGUACUACUAGAAAACAGCCCUUUAAUGAUGCGCAAACAAUGACACUCGCUGAUAGAGGACGCGCAUUUGUGCGUUCCCUAAAAAGUAAUGUCGGUUUUGCAAAAUUUGAAGGAUAGAGGACAAGCAUUAGUGCGUGCCCUAAAAUUAGUGUCCAACAAAAAUGUGUUGUUUUAUAUUUUUUUAAGGAAGGCGCGCGCGUUCUCUUGGGGGAAUGAAUUCCCAAAAAAUUAAACACCCCGCCUAAUGCAUCUCCUUCUUCUCCUUCUAAAAUCCUCUACCAAAAAACCCUAAUAAUCCUUUAAGCAUCUCGUCUUCCACUCUCUCUGCAUUCUCUCUCUCUCUCUCUCUCUCUCUCCCUUCUAUUUCCAAGCCCUAGGCCGCCACCACCAGCAUCGAACCUCAUAAGCUUUAAGAGUUCAAAGUGCCUAAGCAAACACUUACCCUCCCUCUGCAUUCUCUCUCUCUCUCUCUCUCUCUCUCUCUCUCUUUCUGCAUUUAGGAAACAAACUCUGCUCCUCCACCCUCCUCUACGAUCUUUUCCUCAACACCUUCUCCUCCGACCCAUCUCUCCUCUACGCCACCAUCGCUGAUCUACCAGUCGCCCGUUAACGAGACUCUGCCUGCAUCUCCUUCGCUACAACAGGUAAGAGAUCAUCAUUAAGCUUCAAAUGAUUUCCUGACGGUCAAAUCCGAGAAUUAGUUUGUUAAAAUCAUGGAAUUAGAGCCUGGUAGUGCAAAAGACUCAAAUGGUUUUUUCUUUCAAGUGACAUCCUCCAGAAAUGCAAAGCGGUGGUAGUCAGCCUUUCACAAUGUCACCGCCAUGGUUGGUACCGGUGUCCUUAGUCUUCCUUAUGCUCUAUCUUAACUCGGAUGGUAUCACUUUCCUUCAAUCCAAGUCUUCUCUGUAAGAUUCUUUUUUGGUUUAAACGAUGCACACAACAUGUUCGGUGAAAAUCCUCACACAAAAUCCACUUUCAUAAUAUACAAUCUGCUUGAUUCAGGGGCUUUGGAAUCACAGUACUAGUCCUAUCCUGGGUGAUUACACUCUACACACUAUGGCAAAUGGUGGAAAUGACACGAAAUUGUUCCAGGAAAAAGAUUUGACAGAUACCGUGAGCUAGGGCAACAUGCUUUUGGUGAAAAACUCGGGCUUUAUGUUGUAGUCACUCUAUACAAGGACCUGAUUGUACUUCUCGGCAUCGGUCAAUAAAGUUGUUGAACUCAAUUCUUAGUUGGGGAGCAACUGAAGACAACUUCCAUUAAUUUAAAGAUGUUUAUAAGUUGUUUUAGCCUUUUUUAACGAGGCACUUUUGUCUUUUGAUUCAGGAAAGGCAAACAUCAAGAGAAGGACUUCUUACUGUCGGUAGGGAAACAAGAGGACCUGCACAAGCAUGCCAUAGCUCCGAAUUCAAGUUUUUCUUUUCUCCUUUAAUGAGCAAUAAGAAACAAUCAAUAAAUUAAUCAACACACACACAUAGCUUUAGGUUAAAUUACUUGAUUAAUGAAGAGUAUACCACAAGGCCAUUAUGCAUGUGCCAGCUCAAUAGUUUCUUUAUGUCUAGCCAAUUCUUUUAUUCGAUUUUAAAUGUUAAAAAAAUUUCUACUGAUUAACGUUUUUUUUCUUUCUGCAGGCAAUGGUAGUAUUUUGGUUGUUUUUCUGUUUCUCAUUGUUAUGUACUACUUAAUUUUUUUUACCAGUUGCAUUGGUAAUACAUGGAUUUUGGUUCAUUUUUUUAGGUAUUUGAGGUGAUGAGAAAACAAGAAAAGGCUCAUCUUGCUGAAUUGGCUGCAGAGAAGGCUCAUCAGGAAGCCAUUCAGGCUCAACUUGAUAUUGUGAGUAUUUUUUAAGUCAACCUUCAUAUGCUUUUGUCUGUUUUUGUAUUUUUUUUAUUUGGGAAUUACAUUACAUAAUAGUUAAUAAUCAUGUUCAUAUGCACGAACAGCAGCGUAAACUUGCAGAAGAUCAAAUGAAUUUAGUAGAAAAACAAUCACAAGUUAAAGCCCAAAUGUUAAGAUAUGAAGAUGAAUUGGCUAGGAAAAGAAUGCAGGUUUGAGAAUCUCUUUCACUUUCUUACUUUCUCUCUUUCUCUCAAAUACCCACACACACUACAUUUUUUAUAGUCCAGUUUUCCAUCUUCAAUUGUAUAAAAUAUCUGCAAACAGAUCAUGAAGCUCAAAGACAACACAAUCCUGAAUUGGCUAGAAUGCAAGAGGAACAGAUUCAAAAUUUUUAAGGUUGAUACAAUUUUGUACCUUCUCUCUAUCUCCACACACACACACACACACUCAAUAACCCUUUUUGAAGAAACUUGUGUUGUUAUACAUGAAUGUUGUAUCAUUACUUAAAACAGAAUUUUCAACACAAAUGUAGACCCGAUCUUUUUCUUCAGACAGUGGUAUGUUUUUCCUUAUAAGUAAAUUCAAUACAAUCCAUAUUAAUCUUUUUUUUCUUUUAUAAUGACUAAAUUAUAUCCUUUUUUUGUGUUAUGAAGGUGACUUGGUUGAUGUUGUUGUCCCUUUUGUGGGAGAAUCCAUUAGUGAUGGCACUUUAGCAACCUUUGUAAAGAAUAUGUUGAAAUUGAAUAGCCAAAUUAUUUCUCUUUCAUUUUUAUAAUUAUUUUUUUUUUGGAAAACUUUUCUUUUGUUGUUCAUAGAACCUGGAGAUCAUGUGGAAGUUGAUUAUAUGAUCCAAUUGACCAAAUCGAAACUGAUAAGGUACUGUUUUUUUUUAUGGUGAGGGCAUUUUUCGUCUUUUGCACAUACAAGGAUAAUGAGUACUAAAUUUGUUAAUCAGGCAGGUGACAAUUGAUGUUGGUAGUCCUGAAGCUGGAGUUAUCAAAGAGGUAAAUUGUAAUUUUAGUAUGAAUUCACAAAUCACAAUUAUAGAAUUAUCCUCUUUAUUAAAAUUACUGAUAUACCCUUUUAACCAUAACUUAGUUUGUUGCAAAAGAGGGAGAUACAGUGGAGCCAGGUACAAAGGUUGUAAUGAGUAAGCAUCUGAUGAAGUCGAUAUGUAAGUGAUGAUAUUAUUUAUAUAUUUAAAUAAUUCACAUCACAUUUUCAAUGAUUUAAAAUUUAUGUUAUUUAAUUUAGGACAGAUUUAAUGCAACUUCGAUCUGAAUAUAAAGAAGGUUUCCUUGAGAAGCAUGGAGUGAAAUUUAGGCUCAUGUCUGGAUUUGUGAAAGUACGUUACAGCUUACAAAUCAAUUCUCUUGCAUUUUUAUUUUUUCUUUUUUUUAUUUAAUUAUGGUUGAAGUAUAUUUUUCAGGCUGCUGUUAGUGGGCUACAAAAUCAACCAAUUAUUAAUGUUGUUCUGAAUGUAAGCAUAUCUAAUAUCACUGAUGAUGGGUGUGACAAGUUUUCAAGUAAGGAUCUAUAUCCUUAUAUUUAUUUUUUUCAUUAAUUUAUCUUAAAAAUCAUUAAUUUAUAACUAUGGAGGUCUACUUAUACAGAAUUGAAGUCUCUAAAAGUGCUGAACUUGGGAUUCAAUGAUAUGUCAGAUGCUGUCUUGUCACACCUAAAAGGUGGAAUCUCUUAACAUUCGUAUGUACUUAACAUUCAUGUGUAUUUUCCAAAAGUUCAUACACACAAACUUUUACAAAUGCAGGUUUGAUAAAUUUGGAGAGCUUGAAUUUGGAUUCAUGUAGAAUUGGGGAUAAAGGACUUGUUCACUUAGCAGGUAAUUCUUUUAACAACCAUCUUUAUUAUAUAUUGAUGUAUCCAUAUCCAUAUGUUGAUAAUUUGAUAUGUGUGUGUGUUUCAGGCCUUGUUCAUUUGAAAUGUUUAGAGUUGUCUGAUACAGAAUUUGGAAACAAUGGUCUUCGUCAUCUCUCUGGUUAGUAGUAUAUUUGAUCAUGAUCCAAUCUUGUUUGACCCUUUGACUUGGAGUUGACUUUUACAUGAUCUUGAUUGUUGCAGGUUUGGUAAAUUUGCAAAGUUUGAAUCUUUCAUUCACACUUAUUACAGAUGGAGGUUUGCGACACUUGGCAGUGAAACGGAUAUUUGCAUUAAUUUCACAACACCUUUAGGACUUUAAAGAUCUUUAUUAUCCAUCAUUUGCUGAAUGGGUUUCAUGUAUGGUACAAACCUUUUCAUCCAAUCAUAUUUAUCUUAUUAGAGGGGCUUUGUUUCUACUAUAUGCCAAUAUGCUUUCCUGAGACUCUAGUUCUUUUGGGUUCAAAUGCAGUCAAACCACAAGCUUCUGGGGCCAAUUCAGUUGCUGCGACCUUUUCUGAAUUCAAACACCUUCUUCUUAUGUAUAAGUUUAAUAGCAAAUUCAGUACUUUCUUGUGUAUAAGCUCUAUUAGAAGAUAAACAUAUUUUUGAACCCUUUGAGAUUUAUCCAUUUGUCUACUAUUGGAAUGAUUAUUUGUAUGACAUUAACUUUUGUGCAAUGUAUUAUAUUUUUUGUAUAUGGUAUUUUAUUUUCUAUUAUGAGACAUGAAAUGCAAAUUUAAUUUGAAAAUUAGUAAACCUAUAAAUAAUUUUUUUUUUAAAAAAAAAUUAAAAUUACGAUACGCAAAAAUGUGUGUCAUCUUUAUUUAUGACCUGGCCUUUCUUGACAGCAACUUCAAUGAUACGCAUUGCAUGUCAUAAAUGCGCGUCGUAAAUGCGCGUCGUCUAUAGAGGACGCGCAAAAGCACGUAGUCUCUCGUUAUGACAGGGCCUUCCUUGACGCGCAUUUGCGCGUCGCCUGUGCGUUUUAUGACGCGCAAUGAGCAUCGUAAAAGGCUGUUUUUCUAGUAGUGUUGUAAAACAUUUAGUUACUUUUGUGCUUCAUUAUACUUAUAAUGGAAGGUUUUGUCCUAUCCUACCCGUUAGGCUAACGACCCUCCACUAGUCAAGAGUGCGGUGGGUAAGAGUGGACACCCAUUCAAUCGCCAUUUUAUAAGCAAUUUCCUUAAACACCCCUUAUAGACCAGCUUCGUGAAUGAGGCCUACUAACGGUAAGACUGACUUUUACUCAUACAUAUAUAGUUAGACUUUUAAUGUUAUAUAUGGUAUAGGGUGUAUUUUACACUUUUAAAAUACUAGGUUGUCAAAAUUAACAAUUAUACUUUUAAUUGUAAACCAAAACUUUUAUGGAUUUAUUAAACCUCUUUUAAUUAUACACCUUAAUUAAUUAAUAAAACCAUAAGGUUGUGAUAUGAACUUUUCAAAACACUACUAGGGUUUUAGAAUUUAACAUUCCUAGAUUAAACUUUUAAUUAACUUUUAAAUUCCAAAACUUGAGGGCAAGUUUUGAAACAUUUCAAAACAUUAGGGUUUAGAAUUUAAAUAUACAUCAAAAUUAAACUAUUAAUCAAAAUUUAAAUUCCAAAACUUGAGGGCAAGUUUUGAAACCUUUUCAAAACAUUAGGGUUUCAACUAUUUAAAUUUCAAAACUAAACUUUUGAGUUCAAAUUUAAACUAUAAAACCUAAAGGGGAAAAUUGAAACUUUUCAUAACACAAGGAUCAAAUAACAAAUAAUAUAAAUUAAACAAUUAAUUUCACCAUUAUCUAUAUUUGACCUAAUUUCAAUUUCUUGCAAAAUAAGUUACCCAAUUAAUACAAAUAAUCAACUUUAAUCAUAUAAGGAAGUUAUUAUCUAAUCAAUUGGUAAUUAUCUUGUGUUUUGGCAAGGAUAUUCUCUAAGAAACAAUAAAAUUCAUAUUUUAUAGGUUUAAAACAAAUAUGGUAAUUAUCCUUAAGCAAAACAGCAACAAAAUCCGAAAAUUCCUAUGUCUGACGCUCCGACUCGCCGAGUCACACUUUGGAACUCGCCGAGUAGGGCUGACUCGCCGAGUCAGGUUGAACAGUAAGCCAGAUUUUGAUUUUCAGCAACAUAAUGCAUCAAUAUAAUAGAAACCAAUCUAGGCUCUGAUACCACUGAUGGGUUUUAGCUAUAAGAACAUCCUAUGUGCUCAUACAAACCCUAAUGCUUGGAUCUAGGUUUCUCUAUUGUACAUGCAAUUUAUCCAAGACUAUAAACCCUAGAUCUAGCAUAUGAUAAUCAAUAUAACAUAUAAUUAGGGUUUAGAUCAUACCUUGAUUGUUAUGCAGCAAUAACAAUCUCAAAUUCUCCUUGUAAUGACUUUAGAAAGCUUAGAGUCACAAAUGUCACUCCUCUAAUGGUUCACAAAUACCAAGAGCAAAAGGAUGCAGAAGAGAAGAGAAGGAGGCUCUCAAAAACAUGUGGAAACCCUAGACCAUUAGUUCACCACAUUUUUGGAGCAUAAGGUUUCUAUAUAUAGUGAGGCUAUUAGGGUUAUCUAACAAGGAAACCCUAAUUUGGAUGCUUAAGCCCUAAGCAACCCAUGGACUCCUUUCCUUAAAGGUCGUGGACGAUUUCCAAUGGAUGUCCCUAUAGAAUUCAUCCAACCUUAUAAUAUAAGGCAAUCCAUAGCCUAAUUACAAUUCCAGUCCCUUAAGUUUAAUUAAUCUCUUGUAGUCACAAACUUAAUUCUUAUUAAUUCUUGACUAAUAUUAAUUAAAAAAAUAUGAUUUCUCCUUUAAUAUAUUAUUCCCAUAAUAUAUUAAUAAAUCAUAUUUAAUCCUUUCUCUCCAUAAUUCGUCCUAUCAAGUUGCUUUGGUGAAGGCAACCCAAAAGGACCAUGCACCAUCGGGUCAAGUACAUACCAAAAUAGUUAUGGACUUAGACACUAAUCUAACAAUAACGCGUCAUGGCGCGCCAUAUCACGUCUUGUCACGCGCCACGCCUAACAGCAACAUUAUGAGGCUUUUUGUAAUGGCAGAGCCACGCUCACGCCAUGGCGCGCCUUUUAGAACACUGGAUUCAAUAGAGAAAAACUUAGAUCCAAAGCAAUUAGGCUUGCAUGAUCACACAGGAAUGUAGAUAUGCUCAAAACCCAUCACAUACCAUAUGCAAGAGUCACACAGAUAUCUAGCAUCCUAAUAUAACAAACCAUGGAUCAGCAUUGGUGCCUUUGACCUACUAAGCACAGUGAGGAAACUCACAUCUAGCUGUCGAAUCACUCAAAUGAAUCUCUGUUUGCAAGUCCGGGAAAUCCCCGCGCUAUCAACAUCAAAUAACAUCCAACUAAUAAUUGGAUUUUGGCCCAUAAUGGAGAAUCUAAGCUACUUAGCCCAUAACCAGGGUAACAGACCAUUUUAACAUUUAUCUAACUUGGUCCAAAGCCAAAUCCCAACUCAACUACUCCAGAAGGACCAAAUCCUAAAUAUAAUCCAAAGCCCAAUUUAUGUCCCAAUCUUCCAAAUUGGGCCCAAAACCCAUCAUGUACCUAAACCCAAGGAAUACCAACAUACUAGUCAAAAGUUCAAAACAGAAGUCUAAUGAUCCAACAUGGCCCAAAAUUACAAACCCAAAAAACCCAUAUGUUGAGUACACGAGGCGUACUCAGCCCGCACGCCCAGCGUACUCCCCUAAUAACUAAUCUUCUUCAUUAAACACUUAAAUAGUUAAGACAUUUUGUCAAACAUUUAGAUCUGGUUCUGUCACACCCCAAAACCAAGAACGGCGGAAACGUUCUGGGGCAGAGGACGUCAUGUAAAGUAUCACAAUAAUUCAAAGUAGUAAACAAGCAACAACAUCAUCCAUUGCAUUGAUAGGAUAAUUUUAAAUACAAGUGUGUUCUUUCAUAGGAUAAAACAACAUAAAGAAUAAUCAAAAUAAAAGACGAGUCAUGACUGCUCCAUCUUCACAACACCUGGUCGUCGUACCUGUCUAUUUGUGACCUGAGAAUAUAAGUUAUUUUGAAAGUGUAGAUCAUCAUAAAGCUAGUGAAUUCAUAAGUAUUUUAGUGUCAUUGAUUAGUAAAACUUGUGAAGAAAAGACUUGUAAAUGUUUGAAAGAUAAGUUUGUAUUUCAACAAUGUAAACUUUUGUAUAUGUUUGAAAACUCCUAGAAAAUCCUAUAUUUUCUACUAGUAUAAAAAGUAGUCUUCUACCAAGACGCGACUAUUUUGUAUGUUUGUCUCUUUGUAAAAAUGAAAGCUUUUCCCAAGUAUGACUAUCAUUACCAAAAUAUAGUUUUAUAUUACCCUUUAUGUAAGAAGAUCACAAUUUGAAUAUAAUGGGAAAAUGUAUAUGUGUGCUACAGUAUUAUUUGUAUUAAUUACUGAAGUAAUAACUACCUUAAAACCAACGGUUUAAGGCAAAAUGUGAUAUGAUCGUUACCAUGCUAAUCUGACUAAAACACGACGAUGAAAGACGUUGUAAGAAAUGACAUUUGGCACCCGUGGACUUGCAAGUCCCACUGUAGCGAACAACAAAGGUGUAGGAUAGUCAAUCCAGUAUAGAUCUAUAGGCAAACUCACGCUCUCCCUCUAGGAGAUUCUGGUUACAAAACGUGACAUAACGAAAUGGUCGAUGUGUCAUAAAUUAGUAUCUCACAUUAUGUUAUCUCUAAACCUUGUUAUAGUAUACUUGUUAUAGUAAUAGUAUUCUAUGUAUGUAUAGUAUUCUCUUUCUAGUAUUCUCUGUUAUAGUAUGCUCUAUCUAGUAUUCUCUGUUAUAGUAUGCUUUAUCUAGUAUUCUCUGUUAUAAUAUUAUCUGCAUAGUAUUCUCUAUUAUAGUAAUAUUCUCCGUUAUAGUAUUCUCUGUCUAGUAUUCUCUGUUAUAGUAUUCUUUGUCUAGUAUUCUCUGUUAUAGUAUUCUCUGCCAAGUAUUCUUUGUCUAAUAUGUAAUAGUAUAUUUGCAUAGACUCAUGAAUGAACUGACUCUUGUGUGAUUCCUUGUACUAGGAAUAGUAAGUAGUAUCUCCAACUAUACCUAUUAUAGUUACUAGUAAUGUAUGUAUAUGACUGAAUGAAGGUAUGCCUUUGUUACCCAAAGGUACUGAACUGACUGAUAGAACUUUUAUGUCUACAUAUGUAUACAAAAUAUGUAACUAAUAUUUAGACGACCUUCGGACAAAUAACCGAUACCCUAAGGCCACAUCCAAACAAGGAAAAGGAAUUAAAGCGAGUUAGCAUUCCUAAGUCCUUUAAAUAUUACUUACAUAACUAUACAUAUAUAGGCAUGCAUUUGACAAUAUAAAAGUAUAAAAGAAAUCUUGUAAAACAUUUGAAGAGUUUAAUAAUAAAUUUGAUGACUUGAUGUCAUUUUGUAAAAUGAUUUAAAAGCAGUUUGUUGACAUAAACAGUUUGAAGUAUAAGAAAUCCUUUGUUUGAAACAUAGUUUGAAAUACCUGAAAACCUUUGUGUGAAACACAGUUAUAACGGAGUUUGAAAGGAAAAAUACAGUAUGUAAGACAGCUUGAUAAAGAGUUUAACAUGUAAAAACGUUUGAGAAAGUCAUUUUGAAGUAGUAUACUGAGUAAAACAGCUAAAAGUGUAGUAAAUCCAUUUGUAUGCUAGUUAUUAAUCACAUCUGAUUGAUAUAAUAACUAGUAUGAUUCAACUUGUAUUCCCCCUUAUAAAAGCAUUUAUAAACAUUUAAAAGGUUAUUUAAAGAGUAUGAACUCACCUGUAGUGAGUGGAUCAUAUGGAAGUGUCGGACAAGGUGCUAGGUGUCAAGUGAAGACUUGAACACACACAAUGAUCCUAAUAACAUAUAAAGACAUAUGUAUGUAUAAAAUUAGUGAUUAUAACACUAAUUAUACAAGUAUAAACACCCUAAUGUGUGGAAAACACUUUGGUCCAAGUGUUAGGAGGCCAUUGGGUUGCAACAAAGGAGUGCAAGGUAUUAUUAGUGAGUUUAUGGCCCAUGGACCAUACUUAAUGGAGUUUAUGGCCUGGAGGAGUUUACUCCUGGCCGUAAACUCUCUAAAGGGUCUCAAUUUGAGGCUUAAAGGUAUGAUGUCUUAAGUGGUUAAGUGCUCCAAGGCUAAACAAGAGGCUAGGUGAGUUUAAGGUCCAAGAAUUGACCUGAACUUGUGUUUACGGCCUGAGGACCACUUCCCCAUGAGUUUACGGCCGUAAACUCAUAGUAUGGAGUACCAUUUUGAUGUUUGAGGUCCCUAGUUCAAUGGUGGUUGGUUCUAGGCUAAGUUCUGAGCAUAAGGAAGGAAGAGAGGGCAUCAUUGCACCUUUAAAGGGAGUUUACGGCCUUGGGAGAUCCUUGGCCGUAAACUCUCAUUCAUCCUUUGAUUCUUGAUGUUUCUAAGGCCUAAACAUGUUAAACCUAGUGUACAAUGAGUUAGAACAAGAUUACUUAUGAUCUAGGAGCUUGAAUGGUCGGUUUUGGCCAAGAACACUAGUGUGUGUUCUUGGUUAUCUUGGUGAAACUUAAAGAUCUACACAAAUGGAAUGAUUUCACGAAUGAAAUCAUGUAAGAUCACUAGAUCAAGUAAGAUAUCUACUAGUUAGGGCAAGAAACUUACUAGUUUUGUAGAUCGGGGAUGAAGAUCGGGAUGAUAGUUGAGAGGAUUUGGAAGAAAAUCAGCUAAGGAAAAGAAAGGAAAGAACAAAUGGCCAACAUUUCAUCAUAUAAGGUGAGUUUACAGACCACAUGGAGUUUACGGCUGUAAAAUCCAUUGUGGUGGCCAUGAACUCAUGGUUAAUGUGUUUUAGGCUUGUUCUUUGUCCUAUAGCUUCAGCAGAUAAACCCCGACACUUAUCCCUUAAGUGUACAAGGCUCAGAACACUCAAACAGACUCCAAAUUGUGCUAAAAGUUAGUAGGAAUGAGUUUGACUUUCAAUGAAGUGUUUGACUGUACAGGAUAGAAAAUUUCGGGUUGUCACAGGUUCCUACGGGGUGACUUAUCGCGUAAAGUUGGCAACUUUACACUCAUACAUGGCUUAAUGGGACUCAAAGCUCCAAAGAGAGCUUAAUAAAGGGAUUAAUACUCGCAUUAACUGAAAAUAUCCAUAAAUUUUUCAUUUUUAUGAACAUAAGGCCUAAAUGGAGCAUAGAUCUAGCAUCCAUUGCUUCUGGAGUGGAUCAAAAUCUCAUCUUUACUUCAAAAGACUCAAAAAUACCCAAGAAACACCAUAAAGUAGAUCUAACACUAAUGAUCAUCAAUGUGUGAGAUUUUUACCUCAAAAAUCUUGCAAAUGAGAAGGUGAUCCUUGAUCUACAAACCUAAGAUACUCCUCCAAAUGUUCCUCUUCUUCUUCUUCACCACAAAACACCAUCAAAUCACUCUCAAGCUCAAAACUCACCAAAUGCUCUUAAGGUUUCGUUUUCAGGGUAAGGGAAGAUGGAGGCUGCUCAAAAGUGUCCAAAAGAUGUUAUAAUGAGGUUUAAAUAGGGUGCAAACCCUAAAAAUUAGGGUCUGCCUCAAAACUGCAUACGCUAUGUGUACUCCACGUACGCCCAAGCAUACGUGGGUGAAACCCACGAUCAUCAAAAGGGCUAGUACGCUAAGUGUACUCAUAGAGUACGCCCACUGUACUAACCAGCGAACCAAAAUUCUAACAAUUUUGCAUUAAGGGAUAAAAGUGAAACUUACCAAAACUUGAAUGUUACAAUUCUCCCCCACUUGAAUCAAACUUCGUCCUCGAAAUCCGCUACCUCAAAUAGCUCUCGGUAGUGCCCCCUCAUCUCGUCAUCCAGCUCCCAUGUCCAUUUUGAACCUUUCCUGUGCUGCCACUAAACUUUUACCAACUCAACAACUGUGUUCCUCAAGGUUUUUGUCUUCUAGUCAAGAAUCGCUACCGGUCUCUCGAUAUAAUUUAGGAGAUCACCCACUUGAAUAUCCUCCAAUGGAACCACCGUGACGUCAUCCACUAAACAUUUCUGCAACUGAGAUACGUGGAAAUGUUAUGGAUCAGACUGAGCUCCUCGAGAAGAUCCAAGCAAUAUGCAAAACAGCCCACCCGGGCCAAAACCCUGAAAGGACCGAUAUACCUAGGGACCAAUUUGCCCCUCUUCCUAAAUCGGAUGACACAUUUCCAAGGUGACACCUUCAGGAGAACCAUGUCCCCAACCUGGAACUCUAGAUCCGAUCGGCGCCUGUCGGCAUAACUCCUCUGCUGACUCUGAGCUGUUUGGAGUCUACUCCAAACCUGUUGUAUCAAAUCAGUUGUCUUAAGUACCACCUCGGUACUCCCCAUGACUCGCUGACUCACGUUGCCCAAACAAAUAUGGGUCAUGUAUUUCCUCCCAUAAAGCAUCUCAAAAUGAGUUUGAUCGAUGCUGGCAUGAUAGCCGUUGUUAUACAAAGAUUCUACUAAUGGAAGAUAUGUAUCCCAAAUCCCACCAAAAUCCAAAACACACGCCUGAAGUAUAUCCUCCAAGGUUUGAAUAGUUCGCUCGCUCUGACCGCCAGCAUGCUGAUGGAAAGCCAUACUAAAAUGGAGAUGAGUACCCAAAUCGUCGUGGAACCUCUUCCAAAAUUUGGAAGUGAACCAGACAUCCCUAUCUGAAAUCACCAAAACCGGCACCCAUGUCAUUCUACAACCUCCCUAAUGUAUACCUCGACCAACUUAUCCGCAUGGAUACUCUCCUGAAUCGGGAUAAAAUACACGCUCUUGGUCAAUCGAUCCAGGAUGACCUAAAUCAAAUCCACUCCAUGCACAGUACGAGGAAACUUCAUAAUGAAAUACAUGGAAAUCUCCUCCUAUUUCCAAACGGGAAUAUCCAAUGACUGCAUCUUGUCGUGAUGUCACACCCCCGAACCAAGGAUGGCGGAAACGCCCGGAGAUGGAGGACUUCAUGUAUAGUAUCACAACAACGAGUAUAAUAGUGCUCAAAGUAAAUACAACCAUUAUAAAUAUAAUCGAGAAAGUUACAUGAUUUCACAAGUUACAUGUUUCAAAAUCGAUUACAAUAUAAUGAAAAAAUGUUUUCCUUGACAUCGUAGCGUCCCAUCCUCAAAAGCUGGUAGUUACAUGUUUUACUGAUUACCUAAGAAUACAAGUAGUUUCGAAAAAGUGUCAACAUUUAAGUUGGUGAGUUCAUAAGCUUUUGGAUGUAGAGUUUGAAAACCUUCAUUUGUAAUUGCAAUGUAUACUCAAGAAAAAUCCAAUAUUUUCCUUAUAAAAUGUUAUGUAGUCUGAAAUCCCAAGACCGAGUGUAAUGUGUUACUUCGUACUUGUAACAAUGUAUGCAGAUUUGAAUAAAAUCCCUUUUUAAGUAGAAAUUCCUGUAAACUAUAUGUGUCAUUAUCUCCCUAUGUGAGUCGCUAUAACCAUACUAUAACAAAGAUAACCUGCUGCGACGUUCUUCAGGCGUCAGAAUAGAUAUGACAUUUUUCACCCCCGACUGGCCGGUCGGAUUGUUGCAAGCAACAUGGGUGUGGGUUGUCAAUACCAAUAUAGAUCUAUACACAAUUAUCAUGCUCCCCCUACAAGAGACUCUGGUUAUAUAAACCUUUUCCUAGUGAGUAGUAGUUUAGCUAAACAUAACUAUAAUUAUUAUGUUUCAUCUUGUAUGUUUGUAAUGACUAAGGACUCUUACAAUCAGUGAGUAAUUUCUGUUAUUUAAAUGUAACUUAACAGAAAACACAUGUAAAAUAUGGAGUCAUCAAAGAUAAACACUUUGCUCAACAUGUUACAAAGUGUUAUAUAAAUUGUAAGCUGUUUAACUGGUUUUUAACUUUUCUGCACUGUUUUAGAAAAAUCACAAAAAAAUCAUACGAAGUCGAAAACUGAAUCCGUAAAUUUUGAGAGCUUAGAAAAUGUGUCUAGUUUGUUCAUAAUUUUUAUUAUGAUUUUUAGUGAUCUUUAACUUGUGUGAAAAUGUUCAUAUUCACAUACUGGUCCGAAUUCGUAGCUACAGUGAUAUACAGUUUUGUAAAAAUCACGAUAAAUUGUAGAAAAAUCGUAUAACAUGUGAAAGUAAUCAUUUUAAAGGUAUAAACCUGAACUAUUUGCACAUGGUACAGUUUUGAAAACUAAGAAGUUUAAGAUGUUCAAAACAGUCUGUGAAUGGAAUUAAACUUUCCUAUUGAAAGCUGAUGUUUGAGUUUAGUUAAGUUUUUGGUGUUUUAACUUGUAUUCCCCCCCCCCCCCCCUAAAACUUAAAGAAAACAUGAAAAUGUGGGGGUAUUAACUCACCUUGACUGAUUUCUUGGGAUGGAUGAUGAAGAGAAAAGGUUUCCAAGUCAACAACACUUGGAAAAUGCUUGAAGAUUUGAAGAUCCUAAGAACAAAUUUCGCAUUCGUAAUCAUUUAGCAGCUCCAUCCAUCAUCUUUGCCUCAUGUUGUGCUCCUUUUGAGUGAGGAUGUUCUGAAGGCUUUUAUGAUCGGUGAAGAUGGUACACUUCGUUCCAUAGAGGUAGUGCCUCCAGAUCUUUUAAGCGAACAUCACUGCCCCUAAUUCGAGGUCGUGCGUGGCGUAGUUGACCUUGUGUGUUUUUAGCUAUCUGGAUGUGUAGGCAAUGACCUUUCCUCUUUGCAUUAACACACAUCCGAGACCUUGGUUUGAUGCAUCGCAAAAGACCACGAAGUCUUCGGUUCCUUCUGGUAGGGAUAGAAUCGGAGCGUUGCACAGAGCCUGCUUUAGCGUUUGGAAUGCAGCUUCUUGCUUUUCUCCCCAGUCGAAGGUCACUCCCUUCUGAUUCAGGGUGGUAAGUGGUUUAGCAAUUUUGGAGAAGUUUUAGAUGAACCUCCUGUAGUAGCCGGCAAGGCCUAAUAACAGACGGAUUUCUGUGAGCGUCCUUGGUGUCGACCAGUUUUCAAUUGCCUUAACUUUGGAAGGAUCCACGCGUAUCCCUUCCAUGCUAACUACAUAACCAAGGAAACUCACCUCUCAGAUCCAAAAUUCGAACUUUGAAAAUUUCGCAUACAAUUUAUCCGCUCUUAGAGUCUCCAAAACUUUUCAUAAGUGUUGGCCGUGUUCUUCCUUACUCCUCGAGUAGACCAAAAUGUCAUCUAUGAAGAUAAUUACAAACUUGUCUAAGUAAGGUCGGCACACCCGGUUCAUUAGAUCCAUGAACACAGCAGGUGCGUUUGUUAGUCCGAAGGGCAUUACUACGAACUCGUAGUGACCGUACCUGGUUCUAAACGUCUUUUUAUGAAUAUCCCCCUCUUGGACUCGUAGUUGAUGGUAUCCCGACCUCAAAUCGAUCUUUGAGAAGUAAGUCGCUCCUUGGAGUUGGUCAAACAAGUCGUCGAUUCGGGGCAGAGGGUAUCGGUUUUUGAUGGUAAGUUUGUUCAACUCGCGAUAAUCGAUGCACAUACGAAACGACCCAUCCUUCUUUUUCACAAACAGGACUAAUGCUCCCCAAGGCGAGAAGCUCGGUCGGAUGAAUCCUUUGCUUAGCAGUUCGUUUAGUUGACUGGACAGAUCCUGCAUCUCGGCUGGCGCUAAGUGGUAUGGCACUUUGGCUAUAGGGGUAGCUCCAAGGAUUAAAUGGAUUCGGAAGUCGACCUGUCGUGCGGGCGGGACUCUAAGAAGGUCUUCUAGGAAUAUGUCAGAGAAGUCACAGACCUCCGGAAUGUCCUUGAUAUCUUUCUCCUCUUGCUUCUUAUCGACUAUGUGGGCUAGGAAAGCAUGGUAUUCGUUACGGAGAUACUUUUGUGCUUUGAUGCAAGAGAUGAUUUGUAGGUUCGCACUAGGUUUGUCAUUGUAGACGACAAGAGUUUCGUUACUCGACAGAUUAAGGCGAACGGCCCUUUCGUAACACAGAAUGUCAGCACAAUUAGAACUUAACCAAUCCAUUCCAAUGAUGAUGUCAAAGCUUUUUAUUGAGACCGACAAUAGAUCGAUUUUGAAUGAGUGAUUGUCUAGAGUGAGGGUACACCCUGUGUAUAUGUCGUUAGUGCUUUCUGUCUUUCCAUUUGCCAUUUCUACGACCUAUGUAUCUUUUAGUGAUUGGGAUUUUGUUUUAAUAAGUGUUUGAAUUUGUGGCUAACGAAACUCCUCUCCGCUCCACUAUUGAAUAAUAUGCAUGCAUAUGAGUUAUUGAGGAGAAACGUACCGAUAACCAUAGUGGGAUCUUCCAUUGCUUCCCCUUUCCCUAAGGCCAAGACCCUUCUGACACUGUCGGUGUUUGUGUUUCUAGAUUUUGGGCAGUCCCUCUUAUAGUUCCUAGUUUCCCCGCAGUCGUAACAGGCUCGGCUUGCUCCAGCGUUGGCGGCCGGGUUGGCUUGUUGGGCAGUCUCCCUGUAGGAAUGGGCGGUAUGCCCUUUCUUGUUAUAGUUAUUGUAGUGUAUCUCGCGACAAGGGCCAGCGUGAUAAUAGCUGCACUUGUUACAUUUGGGAAGAUUCACAGUGUACUGUCUCAGAGGGGUUGGAGCGGCGGCAGUAGUGGCAGCGCGAACCGCUACUACUUGUUGUUUCUUGGCGGAAUCCUGGGCUAGUUGGUUUUUGCUGUUGUUCCAUAAUUUCCUUUUGUUGUUUCCCUUUUUUGUUUGCUCAGAGGUGGCCACCACGGUGCCAUGGAUGGCACGGUGGUCGAUGAGUUGCUGUGCCAAUUGCUUGGCACUGUCAAAAGUGGUCGGCUUUGAAGCCAACGCAUUUCCUUGGAUAUGGGGUGUUAAUCCCUAGAUGUAUUUUUCCACCUUUUUGCUUUCCGGGGUGACCAACCCGGGACAUAUUAUGGCCAGAUCGUUGAAUAUGGCUGUGUAGGAUGUGAUGUCAGAGCCCGUCAUUUUAAGGCCCCAAAGUUCCUGUUCCAAUUUAUGAAUUUCUCCCCUUAGGCAAUAUUCCGCUAACAUAAGGGCCUUUAGAUCGUCCCAACUCAUCGCGUUUGCUACUGGGAGAGUUAACGAUUUCACAUGACCGUUCCACCAGGUAAGGGCUCGGUCAGUGAAGGUGCAAGCUGCAAAUUUAACUUUGCUUGCUUCAAGACAGGCACAUAUUUUGAAGACUGAUUUAGUCUUCUCAAACCACUGCAUAAGGGUGAUGACGCCCCCGGUUCCGUUGAAGGAUUUGGGUUUGCCAUUCGAAAAAUCUUUAUAGGAACAUUCCUUCGAACGUCCCUGACUAUCCCCCUGAUUGGAGGUAGCAGCACUAGUACCCGACCCACCAGCACCAUUUGUACCAAUUUGCGACAUUGCAGCUGCCACGGCUGUUGUUACGGCAGCUUGGAACAUUGCAGGGUCAAACCGUGGAGGUGGUGGUGGAGAUGGUGGUGGAGAGGGUGGUACGUUUUGAGUAGGCCUGGGAUUUUUCCGUGGUGGCAUAAUUCUGCCAUAAAUUUGAAAAUUUUGGUAAGCCUUUAAUAGUAGUGAUCAGUCGGUUUUUUUUAAGCUAAAAUUGUUUGUGUUAUGUUCCGACUUUUAAAGUAAUUUCAAGUAAUUCAUGCUGGAGAGUUCAUAUGAUUUUGAGCCCAUGAAUUUAGUAGUGUCAGAGUGCAAACUUGUGAUUUGAUCCAUGCCAGGUCCUUCUACAUAUGCUUAGUGUAUGUUUGUUAUAUGUAAUUAAGAUCAAAUAGAUCGUUGAAUCUAAUGGGUCUGCCCCAAGUCCACAACCAAACAAGGAACAUGGUCUAAAGUAGAACCACCAUUUCUAAACCGAUAGAAUCUUAAUUGCAUACAACUUUAUUGCCUAUACCAAGUAGCUGUAUACUCACCAUAAGCAACGACAUGUAUUGUUUUUUGAAGUUAGUGAUGACACCGCCAAUGAAAAGGUGAUGCUGUAGUUUCCACUUAGCUAUUUAUGAGAAAUUACCAGGAGAAUAUGUGGAUGAAGAUAAAAUAUAAUUUAAAUCAACCUAAUUUCCAGGUAAGUGAGUCAAAAAUGCUUGAGACAAUCUCACCAGGUUGUUAUGAUUUUCUUAAAAAAAAAGUAAAUUGGAAAUGAAAGUAAAAAGAUGUGCAAAUGAAAAUUAUGUAAUCUUAUCAUGGCAGAUGAAUUUCUUAAAAAAAAUUAUAAUUUUUAUGUGAUUAAGACCAUAUUAAAUGCAUAAAUUGAAUAAAGCUUUCAGGUUUAAGUGGUACCAUGGGCAUUUGAGUCAAUUUGACAUUUCUUAAGUUUCUCAUGGGGCGGGGUUGAUUUGAUUCAUUUUUACUCACUUUGAUAUAUGUUUGAUCCACAUCAAUUCCAGUAUGCCACCGUUACGGAAGAUUGGGUCACAUACUUUAUUUGUCAACUUUCUACAUCUUUUUCACUAAGGAAUAUGUACAAACUUUCACAAAUUUUGGUGCUUCCUUAAGGAUAAAACUAAAAAUGGGGAUUAACUAUUUUUCUAAUUGGGUUACUGAAGCAAUUGUGUUCUUUGGUAGCUGCUACAUUUGGCUUAAAUUUGGAAGCAUAUGCAAGCUUAUAAUGGCGACAAUGGACUAUUUUUGUCCCUUUAAGAGCUACUACACCGAUGUUUAUGAUCCAAGACUAUAUUAUAGUAGUCCAAAGAUUGGAUGUAAUCAAAGUGAAUAAAAGUCUAAGAAAAAUCAAGCUUUUUUCCUAAUCCAUUUGCAUUGAUUUAUGUUAAACUCCAGCUGCCAUUGACUUUUACUUCCAGUUCAUGUAUAGAUGUUCUCUUAGCUAUAAUCCUAUUCAAAUACUAUUUGGUGAUGUUCUUUUUAACAUGAAUUGCAUUUGUUAAGUUAGCCUAAUCAUAUUUGUGGUCGUUUUGUGAUGGACUUUAUCUAAUCAUUUAAAAUGAUUUGGCAUUUUGGAAAGACCAUCUUAGAUCGACCAUGUUGAUCAUCUCUAAAAUUACAUUAUCAUUUUGACUGUUUAAAAAGUGCAUUAUCAUUUUGGUUUUCAUACGAAUGGACUUAGACAUGGACAUGCUUUAAUGAAUUUGUUGGGUGCUUUACUGCUACUAGUGCUUAUUUUUCUAAAGUAGUAGUAAGUUUUAUUUUUUUAAAAGAGUAUAAAUAACAUGUAUUUGAUGAUCAGGUGUGCUAAUUAGUUUUUUUUUCAAUAAACAAAGGGAUGCUUUAUUCCUGUUGUUGUUACCGAGUUUAUUAACACACAAUGAUGAGAAUGUUUUCCAACAUCUUCUCAUUAGACCAAGGGGUGAUGACUAUUUUUUUUACAUAGAUACUUAUUCAAGAUUUAGUUGUAAACAAACCAAUCAAUUUUAGAGAUUUAAUCAUGCCGCAUGUUUGGUGGGGAAAUGGUUAAAAGUAAAAUUCAAUGGAAUUGAAUUGAUAGGAUAAUAUAUUACAAGUAGUUUAUAUAUUAUUCUUAAUAAAUGAUACAUUUAUGUUGAAUUAAGAAAUGUGUAUUAUAUAUUUCCAAUUUAUUAUUUUUUUAUAAAAAUAAUUUUAAUUAAUAUUUUAGUUAUAUAGUAUUUCCAAUUUAUUAUUAAAUGUUUUCACAUACGGAAUAUAUAUCAGAUAAUUUAAAUAAUCAAUUUAAAAAUCUAAACAAAACGUAUGAUUAUUAUUUUAAUAAAUUUUUAUAAAUAUUUAUCCAUAGUUUCUACGGGUCUAAAUAUUAUAGUCUACUUAAAUGAAAUCCAAAUAAGAAAUAAUCACGGGUGAAGGAGACCACCGAGAUCCAAUAGUGAAAAAUGAAGAUAAUGAAUAAGGAGAUAUACAACUGAAGGGGCUGAUUUGGGUAAAUUGAGAAAUCUAGGGUUUUGAAUAAAACUCUCUUUCUCUCUGUUUUGGUGCAGAAACUGAUGGGGAUUCAGGCGGCCUCAUCGUAGGGUCUCAGGAGGCAACGAGCAAACCGCUCGCCUCAGCCAUUCACGCGGCUUCAAGGCGGAGAUGAAACAUCAAGCGAGCUGCUUAAACCAACCAGUGCAUCAACCAUCUGAUCCUAACCCUUCCAUGCGACUUCGAUUCGAUUUCGUGAGGCAGCGACCAAAACGCCUGGUCAUCCAAAAUUAGAAUCGCUGCUAUUCUGAUUCUUCGCUGUAUGUUUCAAUCGACUUGAAGUGUCCUCGUGAGGCUAAGAUGAGACUGACUGGUUUUUCAGUUACAAGGUUUACCUAUUUUAACUCACAAUCUGAUCAUUUCCAUGUAUAUUGACGUGUUUGGCUGUAUAUAUAUCUGAUUCUAAAAAGAAUCGAUUUUGAAACCUUAAUUUUCCAAACUUACACUUCUCAUUUUUGGUGAUGAAUCUAAUCAACCGAAUUACUGGUGAGGAUGAUUAAUAUCCAUUUAAUUACCAAACAACAUACUAGAAUGAAGUUUAGAAGUGUUGAUUUGUUUAACAGAUAAAGCAGGCUAUGUGAGUGCUUUGGGUUUGCUCAUGACAAUGCUAUCUUUGAUGUAUGUUGGAUGAAGCUACAGAAAAAUCUAAUCAUUCAAUCACAGUUACAUAUAUUUACUGUCCUUUUUAUUGCUGGAAGGGAAGAGACAUUUGAAUCCAAAGGGAGAAAGAAAGUUGUGUUCCAAAUGGACCAAGUAAUGAGUUGAAGCCUAUACCAUUUGCUGAAAUUGUCACAAAGUUGGGAGGAUUUGAAAACUGAAAAUUUGAGGUUGUGUUGUUAAUUUGUGCAUCUAUGCUAUGACUUCAUCUUUUGAGUUAAACACGACACUACAUGUUGAUUUUGGCUCACAAUUAUGUCAUAUUUGGUAUUUCACUUCAUCUAAUAAUUAGUGUGGUAUUCUGUCACUAAUGAUGCUAAGAUAGUCCUUAGGAACAUUAAACUGAUAGUUUAUGUUUGUCAACAUACUGAAGGAUGAGUAGUUUAGUGAUAGAAAUAGGAGACUAGGAUUUGCAUUUUGCAAUCCAUUAAAUUUGUACUUUUUAGGUGUAGUACAAAUCAGUUGCAAUGAAUGAGAGCCAUCAUGCAAGAAAAUUCCAAUGAUGA
This 126918-nucleotide long non-coding RNA is filed under the name Lactuca sativa (garden lettuce). Its description in RNAcentral is "long non-coding RNA (LSAT_LNC001331)". The record is from RNAcentral. Lineage: Eukaryota; Viridiplantae; Streptophyta; Magnoliopsida; Asterales; Asteraceae.